RNAcentral lists this long non-coding RNA (100145 nucleotides) under Ananas comosus (pineapple). RNAcentral describes it as "long non-coding RNA (ACOM_LNC012052)". Lineage: Eukaryota; Viridiplantae; Streptophyta; Magnoliopsida; Poales; Bromeliaceae. The record is from RNAcentral.
GAUAUAAAGUAGAAUCAAGUAAUCUACUUACAUGAUUUACAGGUAUUGCAUAUUGCAUAGCAGCGAGGCAAGGUAUGGUUUUAUUUGUUACAUAGUCAAAUAUCUAUCUAUCUAUUUGUUGAACUAACCUACUGUUGCCUCCUUUGGACCUGGUGGGUCGAGCUCUUCUCUUGGGUGGCCGUACCCACUGGGAACUAUAUUUAUAUAGUUCUCACCCCCGUGUUGUUUUGGGGGUACAGGUUGCACGCGAGCGGCACGGCGGCGCGAGGACAGGGCGCAGUUUCAUAGAUAGCGCCCCACCACUGAGACCGAGAUAGUAACACUUGAAGAAGUCAAGUUCAGAGUUCAAAUUGUAAUGAAACAAAUUUGUAGUAAUUUGUAUAAGUUUUGUAAUAAGUUAAAGGCUUAUGUAAUAUUGUAAAUGUAAAAAUCUGAGAUAAAUGUUGUAAUAGCAUAGUUUGCACUUUAUGUUUUUGAUACUUAUGCAAUUUGUGAUUGAAUACAGUUCCUGGUUGGAACCUCUUGUAUUGCAUAGUAUAGAUUGUGAUGCCUAGAACGUACAGGGGAGGCUCUGUCCCUUCGGCGGUCUGUCGGCGUGCCCGAAUCCGACCAAAUAGGCGGAGCUCGGGGCGUGACAUAGCAUCAUCAUGAAAUCAAUGCAAUACUAUACUCAUCACUCUAGUAUUCCAUAUACACUAAGGUUCUCAUAUGCUACUCGUCAUGGGUUAACAUUAAUUAGAUGCCACUCGUCAUAGCUUAAUGUUCUCAAUACACUACUUGCACAUAUUCACCCGGUUGUCAUUUACUUAGGUUCCAAUCCACUAUGCACUAUCACAUAUAGGGUUAAGCUAUGUCACAUUAACCUCAUGCAUACUAGGUUCAAGUACUAAAUCAUUCAAGCUACAUUAACACUAGCAUGCAAAUACAAAUAUAAACACCUAAGCAUCCUAUAUGUAUUAUGCUCAAUAUGCAAAGAUAGUCGACAUAGAACUUAGACAUAGGGAGCAGCUCAACUGCUUCGGGAUGGUCACCACAGUAUGGGCCAUUAUCAGUUCCGGUAAUCCGUUGGGCUUAUAAUGCCGGCAGAGUUUAUGGACUUGAUGAAUGAGCGGUCUUUAGGGCAUUGUUGGUCGAUGCGUCGGCGGUGUUUAUAGACGCUGUAUUGGUUAUUCGAAAGAUGCGAAGAGGAGCAUGGGAAGAGCAUCUGAGAGCUGUGUUGCAAAAUCAGACAGAAGAAGCUUUAUGCAAAGUUAAAGAAAUGUGAUUUUUGGCUAAGGGAGGUACAUUUUAGGUCAUGUGGUAAUCGGGCGAUCGGAGUUUCGGUAGACCGAAGAAAGUAGAGGCGAUCAAGGAUUGGCCUCGACCAACGAAUGUACGAGAAUCCGAGUUUUUGAAUGGUUGGCGGAGUUAAUACCGGCGGUUUGUGGAGGGGUUCGCCAAAUAACCCUCCACUACGCAGCCUCACGCAUAAAAGGAGUAAAAGUACGUGUGGAGCGACUGAUUGCGAUCGGAGCUUCGAGAGUUAAAGAACAGGUUGAGUCGACCCCGGUGCUAUGCUUUUCACUCCGGGGAGAGACCUUUGUAGUGUACAGUGAAUGCCUCGUAAUUGAGUUGGGUUGUGUUAAUGCAAAUAGUGGCGAGUUAUGCAUAGCAUCGCCGGCCAAUUGAAGUACGAGGGCAGAACUACCCGAUUCUACGACCCUCGAGUUAGCGCGGUGAUUUUCGCGCUAAAGCUUUGAGGCGAUUACUUGUAUGGUGAACCAUUGUUGAGGUAAUAUACCGAUCAAGAGCUAAGUUGUAUUUGUUCACCAGAAGAGUUUGAAUAUGGCGACAGCGGCGGUGGUUGAGCUGUAAGGUACUAUGAUGUCAGCAUAUUUAUACCACCCGGAAAAGCAAUGUCGUGGCGAUGCUUGAGUAGAAAAUCGGCGGAGACAAUUUAGCGACGGCGAUUAGCCUCAAGCGCCUCAUUACAAAGAAUGCAAGAUUUUGGUGUUGGGAAGUUCGGUACGCGGAGUUGCCGCUUACACUUGCACAUUGGUUGUGCAACCGACCUUAUUCGAGAGAAUUUUAAGGUUACAAGCUUGGAGCCUUAUCAUCAGAAUGGCUGGAGUGAUGUUGAGUAGCGUAAACGAGACUUUGGCAUUGAAGCUGAUGGGCACUUCGAUUUGAAACGAUGGUGUUGCCUAAAGGAUGAGUUGCGAGGUGCGAUUAUGCAAGAAUGGCAUAAUUCCCUAUUAUUAUACACCCCGGCGGACUAAUAAUGUACAAGGAUUUGAAAGAGCACUAUGGUGGGGGUAUUAAAAGAGAUAUGGGGAGUCGUUGGACGCAAAUGUUAACGUGGCCAACAAUGUGAAAGCUGCAAGCGCGAUUUCCGGCGGGAAGUUACAAAAGUUGACCAGGAUACGGGGUUUUGAAAUGGGAAAAUAAGCGAUGGACUUUGUUACCGGUUUGCUCGAUCACCAAGGCGGACAUGCAUGCGAUAUGAGUGAUAGUGGAUCGAUUGACAAAAGUUCGGACAUUUUGCUAGAUACUGACUACGUGGUCGGGAGAGCAAUGCUAGCGCAAGUUUAUCUUCGACUGAGGUUGUGAGGCCUACAUGGGGUUCCAGUAUGAUAGUUGGAUUCGGACCCAUGUUGCACAUCCACUUUUGGUAAGAGUUUGCAGGAUGCAUGGACGCGGCUCGACUUCAAGUACAGCGUUUCAUUCAGAGUGAUGGACAAUCAGAGGGACGAUUACAAAAUCCUUGAGAUUUACUGAUCGAGACGUGUGCUAGAUUAUAAAUGGAGGGAUGGCAUGAUUUCUUUGCUAGGCGGAGUUCGCCUUAAUAAAAGGUUAUCAAGAAACAAGUUAUAGCGAUGGCCGCUUUUUGAGGACUGUUAGUGGACGUAUAGUGUCGUUUCCUAUCUAUUGGAGCGACGUGGGAGAGGCGGCUCUUGGCAAGCCGGAUGAUAGUGGGAGAGGCGGUAAGGAGAAAGUCGCCUUUGCGCCGUUCAACGGUUGGCGAUGGGCAAUGAAAAAGAGUAUGCGAAAGCGGAAGAAAAGAUUUAGAGUUCGCAUUGGUUCUGAAGACUGGUAUUUUUAGAGUGUCAGCCAAUGCGAGGAGCUUAAAAACGAUUCGGGCUGUCGUGGAAGCUAAGGUCCCCGUUAUGUGGACCAUUUUGAGGAUAUAUGGACGUGAAGACAUUGUGGGUAGCGGUGGCAUACAAGCUCGCACUUACACAAGACUCGCGGGAGUUCACAAUGUUUUCAUGUGUCGAAUUCCAAGUUAUAUCGAAAAGCGGCAUAUGUUAUUGGAAUACGAGCCCGUGGAGCGUACAUGAAGAUAGUGUCAUGAGGAGUUACCCGUGUGCAUCCUCGAUCGAGGAAGUUAAGAAAGUUGCGGAUAGUCCAAAAUUCCAUAUGUAAAAAGUCCAAUGGAGGCAAGCCACGCGGCGCGUAGAGGCACUUGGAGCUCGAGGAAAACCAUGCGGGAGAGAGUAUCCGCAUUUAUUCGAAUCGACGAGUUAAGCAGGUAUUGCGUAAUUUCGCGGACGAAAUUAUUGUUAAGGGGAGUGGAGAAUGUAACUAUACGAAAUUCGGAAAUAAAAUGUCGAACUUUAGUCAAUGACAAAAGUGAUGAGGAAAUGGAAACAGCUUCGGAAAUCCGAAAGGUAGUAAAAAUGAUUAAAAAGUGAGUUGUGGCAAGAGUUUCAAGAGUCCUAAAGAAUUGAUUCUGCAAAACUGGCAGUAUUUUCAUGCUCUCGAGGGACGGUCUGAAGGGACGAGACGGUCGCGAACGCGUUGCAGAUAUGACGAGCAGACCGAAAAAUCGGCUUAAGUCUUGAAGGAUAGCUUCUGGGAACCGUUCUCUGACCUGAGAGACGGUCCCCAGGAGACGAUGCCCUAAGAGAGUACGGUUGCCCUGCGGCGCAGCAGCUCUCGCUGGGCAUGUGGUGGGACGUUCGGGGGAACGCGUCACUGCUCGGGAGAGACAAAAAAGCGUCUCAUAGCAUCUGCAGCGAAAUGCCCGAGUUCGGCAGUGUAAUUAAGUUGAAAGUUGAGGAGGUUUAUGAUUUUUGCAGAACCAUUGAGUUUAUAGUAUUGGGGUAAAUGAGAUUUUCUUUCAUUUUCACCCUCUCACACUUUUCUCUCCCUGUCUCUCUAGAAGAACAAAAGAGAAGAAGUUUUUUUUAUUUGUUAAGUCAUUAUUAGACAUUAUAUGUGUAUUAUUGGAAAAAGAAUUAUUGGGUAAAGAAAGUGGUCGCAGUGCUGAUAAUGGAGAAGAGAAAAGAAAGAAGUUGAAGGAACGUGCGGGGUGGUCUCCUUCAUCUAGCUGGGAAAAGAAAAGGAUAAGCUUGAGUAUGUGGCCUGGCUUCAAGCCCUAAUGUUAGAGGUAAAACCCUAGGAAAUGGUGGGGAAAAUGAACGUGAAGGAUGGUUUAUUAGAUGACAAUAUUCUGAGUAGUGGGGGUUGAAGCUUCAAUUUUGCUUCUUUUAGAUGACAAAUCAAUUGGUUGAGCUCUAAGUGAGCUUGUGCCACCUUUAAUGGUGAAUCCAAACUAGGCGUUUUGGAAAGGCCUAAGAAUGGUUCUAAUGGGAUUGUUUAGAGUAUAAUUGAAAGGCUACUUAUGUUGCCCAAUGAGAAUCAAACUUGAGGUUUGUAUGUGUAUUGAGUUAGUGGCCACAAAAAUUGGGGCUUUGCUCAUGAGGGUUUCUAAGCGCAAUUGACCUCUAAAAACCUAAUUGGGGGUAAUUCCGACGCGUUGGCGCGCUCGGAAUUAGAUUUCGAAAAGUGUUGAUGAAAAAGUUAUGGGCGAAUGUCCUAAUAGGUUCGUUUUGCCGCAGGAAUAGAGAACGAAGCAUUCUAAAAAUCCUAAAAAAACGUCGGGCACCUAAAUAGACUACAAGGUGGGUGGUGCUUUCCAAAAUAUUGAAAUUCUUCUAUGCUUAUAGUGUCAUUCUUGAGAUAAUGUUUAAUUGAUAUUAUUGUUUGCAUGCAUUUUAGGGUAAAGUAAUGAAAAGAAUGUGAUGUAUAGAUUGAUGUAGUACAACUUGCAUAAUGUGAUGGUUAAGGAAACUUAUGAAAGUUAAAAUCCUAUAUGUAUGCAUGAGAUGGAAAUUGUGAAGGACCAAGUGUGAGCAAAAGAACAGUGAGUGGACAAUGAAUAGAGUCGAGUGGCAUUUGAAAAAUGUAAUAGUAAAGAGACCUAGAGUUAGUUGUGAUGCAAACGAUCAAGGUAAUGUAGAAUGGAUGAAAAUGACAAUGUUGAAAGUUAAUAGUAAUGUGUGGAAUUAAAGAAUAUAAUUGCUAGAGCUAGCAAAGUAAAAGAAAUUAAGAAUGUGAUUUGCAUGAGUUAUGCAACAUUAAAGUGAUGUAAAUGUUAACACUAGAGUAGUGUAGGCAGAUUCGAACUUAUAAAUCUUUUGAGUUAGAUUGGUCAUACUUGUUAUGAGUUCCAAAAGUGCUCAAAACAAAAAAAAGAGGAAUAAGUAAGGAUUCAGCUACAAUCCAAAAAAAAAAAUAAAAAAAAGAAAAAAAGCGCUUGAGCAAAACAUCCGAAGAUUACAUAAUGCAUAAUCCAAGAGGUUGGCAAGUAAACGCGAAAGGACGCGUUUAGCUGUAGUAGUUCUGCGCAUGAUGGAUUAAUUGUGAAGCAGUUAAAAGUGGCGAAACCCCGGAGUAGCCUUGGAGUUAAAGCAACAAAAGUAUGCCAAGCCACAAAGUGGUAAAGAACAAGGAACAAGAGUAAGUUAAAAGAAUAAAGAACUUGCAUAAUAUGCAUAUAUUUUAAUGCGAGAUAUUUCUUGCUAUUUGUUCGGAUAAUUUAGAUCAUGUUUAGAUUGGUUAUAUAUCUAUGUAUCCUUUUUUUAUGCCUGAGUUAGAGUCCUGUGGGAAAGUCGGUGAUGUUGGGGCGAACCACUGGGAAUUUGUUGUAGUUAUCACCCCACUAUGUUCCACAGAGGCCAGGUGACCGGAGCGUAUGGCCGGCGCGACGCACCGAGUGAAAGAAUCGCGCUUAGUCAGGGGCACCAAGGUUGAGUUAUAUUUUGUUAGUAAAGUACUUUAUGGAUCAUUUUUGUUAUUUGAUGAUAGAAAUGAAGAAAAGAAGUGUAAAGCUCAUUUUGAGGAAAAUGUGAUUAGACAGGAAAUAGAUGAAGUUAUGUAAUGGAAUACAAAGAAUUCAAAUUACUAGAGAAUGCAAUGUAUAUGAUCGAAUAAUGAAAUCUGGUUAUCUUGUGAAUGUUAGUUCCUUUUUCUUUCACUAAUGGCUAUUGUUUACCCUCGUGUAAGCGUUUGUGUAUGUUUUCGCUAGUGUAUUUCUUAUGAGUUGGAAAUGUGCAUGUGAUGACUUGGCGUGAUAGGGAACUCUGUCGUUCGGCGUUGUUGCGUUGCUGGGUCGGGCAAAUUGGCAUCCAGGUCCCGGGGCGUGAACUAGGGUUGGUUUUUAUACUCUAGAGAUGUUUUGUUGGAACUAAUGGUGCUAAGAAGAUGAUUCUUGCAUGGAUUUGGGGUUUUUUGGAGUAGAUUUGAUGAUGGAACUAAGGUCCAAAUUGGAUGUUUUAGGAAAUCUAGAGUUUUAGAUCUCAUUUGAGUUUGGUUGUAAACCAAUUGCUUAGGUCACUAUAAUGCAUGUUGGCGGUGACAGUCGACGAUUCGUCGCAGUCGUGUGCGGAGAUAUUUGCCAAGCGGGAGGCGUUUCGGCUUCAUUUCCGCUGAUGAGGCGAAAGAUGUCUGACGAGAUGAUGACUUCCGUUCUUUGAGUCGCGGGCAAUGUCAAAAGGUGGGUGUNNNNNNNNNNNNNNNNNNNNNNNNNNNNNNNNNNNNNNNNNNNNNNNNNNNNNNNNNNNNNNNNNNNNNNNNNNNNNNNNNNNNNNNNNNNNNNNNNNNNGCGUACCCGCUUGCUCCGGCCUGCCCAAAAGAAGCUCUAUCGGAAAGACCCUCCCGCAGAAGGUUCGGCGACAGGCUUCCAAAAUGCUGCCCGGCUUCUUCAUAAAUCGGGGUUGAUCCUCGCAGACAACCAAGACACCAAUCCGCCCGGUUCCCGAUAUCACGAACAACAUCGGGGGGAAACGCAAUUCAAGUUUAAUGUGUUUUUUAAGAAUUUCUUGCUCUUACUCUUCCCAGGCGGAUCGUCACCCUGUUUAACUUGCGGAAAACUUGUCUGUGUUUGUUAGCUUCCGCUUCACCGUGUCGGGGAGUAGUUCGCGAACACCGCGUCUCUUUGAACUCCUCCAAACAUAAGCGGAAGAUCCGUACGGACCAUCCGCUUCACUCGGCUUCCCACCACCCACCGUCGCCCCGCCUUCCCUAAAACAAGAUGGUGGCCGAAGGUACACUUUAUAUCCUUUCUCCAGACUGAGGUAUUCAAGUCCUCGGAAGAGCGUCUCUUCCAUUUUGAGUCGAUCCCACCGACCUCCACGAUCGGCGGCUCCACCAAACGCCCUCGAAGGUAGUGGUCGAAACUUUCUUGAAGCUUUGAGAUGAGAGCCGCCAGACGUGCGCUUCGCUCCGCAUCGACUGGGCCACGCUAUCGGGAUUCGAGUUCCCGACCCCGGUCGGUACUACCGUAAACUGGAAACAGCCGCCUGCCGCCGCCGCCUCCUCAACAACACUCGGCACUACCCACAGGGGCGCGACUUGGCUCGACGCCCGCCUGGGCUGCGGCCGCCUGCGCGCGCUCCAAGGUCUUCCUGGCCGAUGAAUCUGUUCCCUUGCGGCUUGAACAGACUCCGCUUGGUUGAGGUUAAGUGGCGAAUACCCCCGGGCUAAGCUUAAUGAUUAAAGAACAAAGAACAAAAACAAAAGUGUAAAGUGUAAAGAACGAAAGAACAUGCAUAAACCUGCAUCUUAUUUAAUGGUGAGAUAUUUCUUGCUAUUUGUUCAGGCAUAUUAGUAUCAUGUCAUAGAUUGGUUACUAUAUUUACUUAUCCUUUCUAUUAUGCCUGAGUUAGUCCUAGUGGGAAGUCGGUGAUGUUGGCCGAACCCACUGGGAACUUUGUUGUAGUUCUCACCCCACUAUUUUCACAGAGCCGGGACCGAGUGAGCCGCGAGCGACCGCCGGUAAAGUAUCGCACCGUAGACAGAGGCCACCAAUGUUGGGUUUCAUUUUGUAGUAAGUACCUUAUGACCAUCUAUUGUAUGUGAUGAUUAGUAAUGUAAAGAAAAAGAAUGUAUGUUCAUUUUGAGUAAAUGUGAUGUAAGAGAAGAUGAAAGAAUGUAAAGAUUUUGAUGUUCGAGGUGGAUAGAUACAAUGUAUAUGAUCUAAAUGAAUCAUAUUACUUGUGGAAUGUUUAGUUUCCUUUUUCUUUCACUAAUGGCUAUUGCUUACCCUCGUGUAAGCCUUGUGUAUGUUUCGUUAGUGCACUUCUUAUUGAAAAUGUACAUGUGAUGAGCCUUGGGCGGAUAGGGGAAACUCUGUCCGUUCGGCGUCUGUUUGACGUGCUCGGGUCGGGCAAAUUGGCACCGGUCCCGGGCGUGACAUGUGGGUCAAGCUCACCUCUAUAGCAAACCAAGGUUUUGAUCUCUUAGAAGCAAAAGAAAGCUUUCAAACCUUUUAAUCAUUUCAUUAAAACCCAUUUCUAGGUCAUUCAACCCAUUUUAGGGUUCUGAUCAAGAUUAGGUUCAAAGCUUACCUUGUAAGCCCUCCUUUCUUGCCCUAGAGAGAAGAAGAUGAAGCCCCUUUUGCUCUUUGAUUCUUCUUCUUCACUUUCUCUCCUUCUUUUCUUCUUUUCCUUGUCUUCUCUUCUCCUUCUUUGUCUUCUAGAGAGAGAAGAGAGGAGAGAGGUGAGAGGGUGAGGGAAUGAGAGAUGAAGGCUCCUCAGCCCAACAUAACCCUGGGUAGCAAAAUUGCUAAUAAACCCCCUCACCUUUUACUCCUUGAACACAGCCUGACUGGGCAGAUUUCGGGCUCGGGGAGCCGUUCCCCGACUAGGACCGGGUCUCCGAGAGCUCUCCCAGCGCAGCCAGAGCUGCUGCGCGCGAUGCAUCCGGUCUCUGGUCUCUCCUAGGGGGACCGGUCUCUCGGGGACCGGUCUCUGGGACAGGGACCGGUUCCCGAGAGCUACUUUCUCAGGACUUAGCCGAUUUUUCGGCUGUCUCACUUCAUACGCGUUCGGGGACCGGUCUCUCCUUUCAGGGACCGGUCUCCGAGAGCUGAAAAUCUGCAGUUUGCAGAAUUCAAUUCUUUAGCUCUCGAAAACCUUCCACAACUCACUUUUAAUCAUUUUAACACCUUCGGACUUUCCGAAGUGUUCCAUCCUCGCACUUUGGUCAAUUUGACUAAAGUUCGACAUUUUUAUUUUUCGAAUUUUCGGUAUAUUACACCCUCACCGCGCAGCCAGCCAAAAACUUGAAAAUUUGGCUAAGUCUUGGAAACCUAACGUUCGGGAACCGGUCCCUGGUCGAGGAGACCGGUCCCCGACUACGAAAAUUGCCCAGUAUGGGCUGAUGUAAUUGUUCGGAGUUGACGGGUUUAGUUGCUAUUGUUGCAACAUGUUAUAUGCUUAGCCCUCUUUCUCCCACAGCCCAUUCUCACCUUCCUCUCAUUUUCUCUCUUCUCUCUCUAGAACUCUAGGGUUUGGUGGAGGAGAAGGAGAAGAAGCAAGGAGAAGUGGAUUGUGGUGGCUUUGGUGGGUCUAGCAAGCUCUCCUACAAGAAGGACUUGGAGGAGCUUUGGGCUAAGGUGAGGUAUUUGCACAAAUGAGUCUAGGGUUUGGUUUUGAUCCCUAAGUUUUGGAGUUUUGAGUUGUUUCUAGCUUUAGGAACCCUCUAUAAGCCUUGAACUCUAUGGAACCCUUGAGAGCUCAAGUGCUCUCAUGGUGGAUGGUUAGGGUUCACCAUAGAUGCCCUAGGGAUGGUUCCAUAUGCUUGGGAACUUUAUUAGAAUGCUUCCUAGGUGAUUCUAAGCUAUUAUUUGCUUAGGGUUGAGAUCAAGCUAGGAGAAGUGCCAAAAUGACAUCAUUAGGGCUCAAAUUUGGGUCUUUUGCCCUAGAAUUUUUCAGGAACAAAUUGACCUCGUGGAAACCUAAUUGGGGGUGUCCUCGACGCGUGGGACAACUCCGUUUAACAUUACGAAAAUGUUUAAAAAUAGUUUAUGUAUAAGGGGGCCUAAUUUGGCACUAUUUUGACUAUAGGACGCGGAUUCGGCGUUCGUAACGUUCGGGAGUCUCCAUUUUCAUCAUCUACUACCACUCAAGGUGGGGGGUGCACGCCGGAAUCGUUGGAUUCCCUUCUAUGUUUGUUUCACUCUUAUUGAGCAUAUUGUAUAUAGCCAUUCGUGCAUAGUAGGCCAAUCUUACAUGGGACUAGAAGAUAGAGUUUCAAUAUUAUGCUUCUAAUAUAGAUGAACAUAGUGAUUGAACAAGAACCGAAAUGGACAUGUAUGAUUGAACCCGAGAGAUGUAUGAAUGCAAGACUUGGACCUUGAUUGUAGUAAACAAGGUGACAAUGACAAUAGAGACGUGAUUGGCCUUGAGAAUGAAAUUGUUACACAAGGUUUAACAAUAAGGGUAAUGAGACAAGAACUAUAUAGAACAUGACAUGAACAAUAGGUAAGAACCUAUCAAGACAUUGGCAUUAUGACUAGUGGCUAUGUAUCCUCAACUUGAGGAUUGGAUCGAGGCUCACAUGGACUUAGGCUUGAGGGAGGUCGCUCCCCCUCAAGCGGUGUACUUCGAAGUGUAGACACCAACGGGGAAGUACCCCGUCAACGAUCCAUCGGGUGGUUGUGCUUAAAGCCUCCCCCGGUAGACGGGAGAUGGAAUGGUGAGCUUUUGGGGUUAACAAAGUUAACCGGUAAGAUUGGGUACAGAAAGAUAAAGUAAUGAUAAAGAACAUGCAUACAUGCAUACUAUAUAUUGUUAAUUAUCUAUAUCCACUGACAUUCUUUUGCAGGCAUAGUAUUAGAUGCAUAAGUACCGGUUACUUUUCUUUCCUUAAAAUACUUAUGCUUGGAUAGACCUAGUGGGUAAGUCGGCGAGGUCGGAUGCCGAACCCACUGGGAACUUCGUUGUAGUUCUCACACCACUAACCCUACAGGUCCUAUGCGAGCGGGGCAGCGGAGGACCGUGGCAAGGGUUUAGCGCCGUAGAUCGCGGCCACCAGGAUUAUUUCACAUUUUGCAGUCAUUCCCUUUUUGGGUUUACAUGUAUCAAUUUCUUUCGCUGAUUUAGAAAGUUGUGAAGUUGAUAACAAUUAUGUAAUUUGGUGAAUGGCUAAAUGUAAAGAAUGAUGAAUGAAAGUAUGAAAUGUAAUAGCUCGGUUUACUUUUAUUUGGUGCAAAAGCAAUCAAGUAUUAUAUAUGGUUGAUUGUAUUAGCUUAGAGCUUUCGCUUCCGUUGUUGCUUGCCCUCGUGCAAGCCUUGUAUAAGUGCUAAUCUCAUUGUUUGAUUGCUUUAUUAUAUAUGUUUUGAGCCUUGGGCGGACAGGGGAGGCUCUGUCCGUUCGGCGUCUGUUGACGUGACCCGAACCGGACCAAAUUGGCGGGGAUUGGGGCGUGAUAGAUAUAAUGGUAGCAAAGCGAUGGAAGAAAGCAAAAGUCUAGGAAUGACCUAGGAACCAUAGGUUUGGAGACCUUAGGAACUUAGGAAAACGUUUAACGUGAACUUGGUUGAUGUGGAAGCGAAUGAUUGGGUUAACGGUAACACUUCUCUUGAAGGAAGUAGAGAUGGACUAGAAAGCUUAAUUGUUGUCUACUUAAGGGACUUUGUGGGGCGGCCGACCACAUGACACCGAGAGUGGAAAUGAUUAUGCUUGUUGCUUUCGCUUAAUUGGGUAGUUAUUUGGAACAUGUAACAGUUGCGUGUAUCGAGUACUAAUGCGGGUGAUGCGUUUCAGGAACAAUGUCCUCGAGGCGCUACACGCGUAGGGCCACUUCGGCAUUGACUGAGGAAGUGCCCGAGCAGGCAGGAUCGGAUGAAGUGCGCGAGCUGCGAGCCCAGGUAGCGGCUUUGGCCGGGGCUAUGCGGCUACAAGGGGAGCAGAUUGGACAGCUGUAAUACACUGGAUCUUAGCAAAUUGCAAGAUUCGAGUGUUUGAUCUGUGUGUGGAGCCUUUCCACAGUUUUUGGAGGGUCGUUGAUAGUGUUCCGACCCCUGGCGCGCAUCCCGAGGAUGUUGGAGUGAGACUUGGCACCAAAAUUGUAAUAUACCGAAAAUUCGGAAAAUAAAAAUAUCGAACUUUAGUCAAAUUGACCAAAGUGCGAGGAUGGAACACUUCGGAAAGUCCGAAGGUGUUAAAAUGAUUAAAAGUGAGUUGUGGAAGGUUUUCGAGAGCUAAAGAAUUGAAUUCUGCAAAACUGCAGUUUUUGAGCUCUCGGGGACCGGUCCCUGGUGGGAGAGACCGGUCCCCGAACGCGAAAGAAAUGAGACAGCCGAAAAAUCGGCUAAGUCCUGGAAGGAUAGCUCUCGGGAACCGGUCUCUGCCUGAGAGACCGGUCCCCCAGAGACCGGUCCCACAAAGAGAGACCGGUUGCACUGCGCGCAGCAGCUCUGGCUGCGCUGGGACAACGUUCGGGAACCGGUCCCUGCUCAGGGAGACCGGUCUCUGCCUGCGCGGAAUGCCCAGUUCGGGCAGUGUAUUAAAAUAAAAGUUGAGGGGUUUAGCUGCAAUUUUGCAACCCAAUAGCUAUGUAUUGAGGGGUAAUGAGAUUUUCUCUCAUUCCCACCCUCUCAAACACUCUCUUCUCUCCCUCUCUCUCUAGAAGGCAAAGGAGAAGAAGAAGGAAAGAAAGAAAGGAAGGAAAAGAAGGAGAAGAAGGUGGAGAAGAAGCUUUUGGAGCAAAGAGGCUCCAUCUCCUUCCUCUCUAGUGCAAGUUAGGGAAAGCUUUGAGGUAAGCUUCAACCCUAAUGUAGUAAAACCCUAGAAAUGGGCUUGAAUGAACCUAAAAAGGGUUUUAAUGGAAUGAUUAAAGAGUUUUGAAGCUUUCUUUUGCUUCUAAAGAGAUCGAAACCUAGUUUUGCUAUAUAGGUGAGCUUGGACCACCUCUAAUGGUGAAAUCCAAACUAGGGUUUUGGAAAGCCUAGGAAUGGUUCUAAUGGAUUAUUUAGAGUAUAAUGAAGCUACUUUUGCUUCCCAAUGAGAUCAAACCCUAGGNGCUUAUAUAAGCCCCAUACUCUCUCCUCUCCGAUUCACAGCCAAAGAACACCCUCUCCUCUUAUUUUUCUCCUUCUCUCUCUCUAGAAACUCUCUCCCAAGGUGGAUUGGAGGAGAUUGGAGGAGGAUUUGGAGGAGAUUUUGGAGCUUGAAAGUGGAUCUUCAUCUUCUUCUUCUUCCUUAGCUUGGAGAAAGAGCUUGGUUGAGGUAAGCCUCUUGCCCUCUUAUGGUAGAUUGUUAGGGUUUGGCUUUGAUCUCUUAGAACACUUGGUUCUGAUCCUCUUACAUGAAAGGAAACCUAGGAGAGAUCUUGGAAUCUCAUGCAAAACCAUGUUGUUCAUGCUAUGGAAACCCUAGGGUUGAAAUUGGGGUUUUCAUAAAUAUGAGGUUUAUAGUUAAAUUGACCCCAUAUAACUUCAAUUAAAGGUAAAACCGACAUUGUGGACAACUUGAAUCGAAGUCCCUACGGUAGUGUGGCGAGUUAUUGAAGAAAAGGAUCGUUUUCGCUUCGUUUGCGCUGAGACGGGCAGAAGCAACGUCCAAAAAUUACGAAAUUAGAAUCCUAGCAUCGCGGCAUCACCAAAAGGUGGGGUGUCACGUCCCGCGGUCGCCAAUUUGGUCGAUCCGGGCCCGUACACAGACGCCGAACAGACAGAACCCCCUUUGUCCGCCCAAGGCUCAACAACAACGAGUACAUGUAUAAAGAAAUAAACAGUUCCCAUGAUAACAUUUCAAUAUACAUGGCUUGCACGAGGGCAAGCAACAAACACAAGUGAUAGUAAGCUAGCUAUACUGAAAAUUCACUGUAAUUUAAAACUUUCAAACUGAACUGGAUAACUGAAAUAUUUAGCUAUUUACAUGCUUUAUAAUACAUUCAUUUACAUGUCUCUGUACAUCAAAAUGUCUCACAUGAACUCAAAAUGGUAAACUACUAUACUCUGGUGUCAGCUAGCUAAGCUGCGGGGCUCUUGCCACGGUCCUCGGCCACACCGCUCGCACUGGAACCUGUAUGGUUAGUGGUAUGAGAACUACUGAAAGUUCCCAGUGGGUUCGACCGCCGAAUUCGCCGACUCACCCACUAGGUCUACUCAGGCAUAUGUAGGCAAGAAAGUAAGCAGAUAGUAACCAACUAUCACAUGUAACUACUACAAUGCCUGUACAAGUUGAAAGAAUAAUAUAUAAACUGUAAAUAUGCAUGCAUGCUUUUACUAAGUUUACCCAAUCUCUUGGUUAACCUUUUGGUUAACAAUUACUCACUGACGCUAUCCCAAAUAUCGGGGAGACGCACCUGCACCCGGUGGGACCGUCAACUGGGGGAGACGCACCUCCUGGUCCAGUAAAGAUGACUACUCCGGAGCUCAUCGUUCAAGGAGGAGCGACCUACCUUGAACCAAACGAAUGUGAGUAUGAUCUGAUCCUCCUUUAGAGGAUUCAAUGUUUAAACAAUGCUACACUUUAACUCUAACUAGCUCUUUAUACUAGUUUCAUAAUUUCCAAUGUCGAUGCUAACCAAAUCUCUAGUCAUGAUGUCACCAAGUUUACUAUUGUUAUAGUCCAUGCAUUCAUAGGGUUCUAUGUCUAGAAUCAAUGCUCAUAUGUUCAUAUUAUUCAUAGGAAUUCAGAUAUUCAAGUUCACUUGCAAUAAGCCCAUACCCUAUAAUGCAUGAAUACAAUUCAAUUUAUAUGAAUAUGCUCAAUGAAAUAUCAUAGACAUAAAAGGUGAUUCAAAAAUUUCGGAUAGCACCACCCACCUGUAGUGGUGUCAACAACUAGAAUCCACGUCUCGAAAUGCGUCGACAACUAGCUCUCGCGAGUCAGUAUAAAUAGAACUAGAACCCGUAGUUAGCGCGUCGUCGACCUGUCGGAAUGUCAAUUUAGACUUCCGGGCGUAUUUAACUUUCAUUAUAUAAGAGUAAAAGAGAUGAAACUGGGGUCACAUUUACAUAUUUUUCAAGUUAGCCUUUCAAUUCCAAGUAUCUAUGUAUAUGUUAGAUACUAUCAUUAUAUAUUCAUAUCAGCUCAAUGCUGAUUUCAGCAUUAAGCUGAAAUCUAAUCUUAUGCUGCAUUUUCAGCAUUACACCUCCUCUUUGGGCAACAAUUAUGAGCAUAGGAUCAUUAGCUCUUAUGCUCAAAACUCUAUUAGAGUAACUAGUCUAAUUCUUAGUCAUAAUUAUCUCAAUUUAUUACUUAAUUAAUUUGCUUCAGCUCCAACAGCACCUAAUUUCAAUGCUGAAUUCUAGUUUGUGCUGAAAAUUACUCUACUAGCUCUCUCUUUACAUUUAUUACAGCAUGGCCUAUCUAAUUCUAAUGCUUUACUUAACCCUAUGCAGCCAUAAUUAAUUCUCAGCUGGAAUUUAAGUUCCUUACCUCAAGUCUUAACCUCUCCGAGUUGAACUUUUCAUUUCGGCAGCUCCAACCAGUCCGAGCUCCCAAUUCUGCCACUCCUGACAGCAACUUCCUCGAUAUAUGUCAGUCCUAAUACGAUUAAUUCGAUUAUAGUCACAUAUACUUUGUAUUGAUCAUUUAUGAUACAAUCAACUUAACUUGAACUAAUUAUUAGGUUCAACUACCUUGACUUGAUGACCAAUUUGAUUGUUCUCAGCUUUAACAGCUCACAAUUUCCAUUCCUAAGCUCUCUUUUCAUCCCAAACUUCCUGCUGCUGCUCCACCACUNAGAAAUUCCUUACUACAGGAAUUUCAGCACUUAACUUCUUUUUCCUUUUUUCCAAUUCCUGCAGCAGUAAUUAAUCCAUUUCACAAUUGCUACUAGUUCAAGCUCAGAACUCAAUUGCUUGUUGCCUUCUUCAACUUAGGCAAUCAAAAGAAACACUCAAACCAGGGAUAAACAUUCAGCUUACCUCAUUUCCGAGCUCUACCAGGUUCUUCACAAUUCGGGUCACAAGCAGUUUAAUUAUUGCAUCAACUCCACCAAAUUUUAAUUCCUGGCAGCCAAUAAGGUCCUUAUUACUUCACUUUAAAGCAAGUAACCUAAUUACAAUUAAUUAUAGAAGCAACUUGCCUCAAUUUAAGGUUCUUCUACUUUCUUUCAACAUCAACUAACCCAAAAUUCCCCAAUUCUGAAAUAUGAAAUUUCAGCAACCAUGAACCCCUUUUAUGAAUUAUUCUCAGCUGGACUUCCACUUAACAGCUUCAAUUAGCCUAAUUUCCUGCAGUUCGGCAGCAUCCCACAAGCCUUAAGCUUCAAACGAUCUAAUCCUCCAAUUCGGCAGCAUCCACUGCAGAGAUUUCCUUUAAAUCUGCUUCAUAGAUCCACUCAACAUUAACCAAAACACUUAAGUUAAAGCAAUCGAUUCAGUUAGCAAUCAAGCUCACCUUAGUUCACAACUCCAUCAGUAGGAAUCCUGCUCGGAUCAAAACCUCCUCCUCAACCCGCAAGCCACCAGGCUGGAUUGAAGGCUUCCCCAAGGUCUGCUUCAGUUCCAGCAGCAAAGGUAAUCCCUUUUCUCUUAAUUGUUUACUAAGUAGAGAGAGAGAGGAAAGAGAAGUGAAAAGGGGCUGAGAGGAUAAACAUCCAGUACGUAAGCAACUUCAGGUGAGCUGGUUUAGGUGAUAAGCUUGUAUAAUUGCCACUUAGCCCUUUUAUUUUCAGUAUUUGCCCUGUUGUCCUAUGUGGCAGCAGCAUCAGCAGCAGCUUAGUUAGCAUAAUUCACCCAUUUAGCUCACUUCCAAUUCAUCCAAAUUCUUCUAAAACAUGCCAAGGAUCCUCCCAAAGCUACAAAUUUAAUUUGGAAGCAUUUAAUUUCCAAUUUGGCAUCAAUUUUGAUUAUUUUGGUCAAGAUUAACUAAAAUUUCAGCUUCAUGAUAGUAUUAGCAAUUGGAGGUCUUUGGCACAUCCAAUUCAUUUCGAGUCCACUCACACACUUCCAAAACAUGUCAAUUGCUGUUUUCAAGCUACUAAUUAAGUUUAGAAACACUUAGUUUGCAUUUUAGCAUUAUUGUGACCAAUUUGAUCACAAUUAGCUUAAGCUGAAUUUCAGCCCAUUACAGCCUUCCACUCAGGGUGAGGCCAGGGAUCGCGGGAAGGGAGUUGCUUCGAGCUAGCUUCCUUCGAGGACGAGCUGCUAGGUGGUCUACCUCUCGACUUUUAUUUCUUUUUGCGAGAGGUUGAGAGUUUUACCAGUGUACUAGAGAUCACCACUUUUGUAUUUUGGAGACAGAUUUUGUAUUACUUAUGACUUCUUUCAUUGUCUACUUUACUUCUUUCCUUUGGAGUAGAUGUAGAACUAUACUCGUUCUGAUAUCAUUAGUUGCUAGUUAUUUCACUUCUUCUAUUUGUUCUACUGCUUGCCUUUACUUCCGCUUUUAUUGUAGACGCCUUAUAUGUGUAGACAUAUGGCGGGUCUGGGCACGCUACCGGGAGGCCCUCCGCCGGUCCCGGGACGUGACACUUCCAAUCCAAUCUAGAGGAAGGUUCUAAUUCAAGGAAUCAAGCCUCAAAUGCCCUAAAACGAAAAUACCCAAAUAAACCCUAAAUUUUCAUUUCUAGGGUUUGAUCUCACAAAAACCUCAAAUCAAGGAUCAAAGGGAGAAAUCGAGUCUCUAACCUCUCAAGAAGCUCCAAACUUAGCUCCAAUCCAAGUGAUGUUGAAGAUCUCCGCAGCCACUAGCUCCUCUCCAAGCUCUGAGCCAUCAACAAUGGUGGAGAAGCCACCAAGAUGCAAUAGAGGAGAGAAAACCCAAUAAAAACCAAGCAAAAGGAGUAAAAAUACAAGGGAAGGGAGAGAGAGCUCCUCCUACCUCAACUCCUACUGGUCUCAGCACAGGGGAGGCCCUAAGGGGCGUGGGGUGCACUUCUAGAAGUGCUACAAACGCAAAAAGCCCCCUGCAGUUCAAACUGCUCAAAAUCUGCCACCUUGUAUCGGUACACGGGCCCUUGUACCGGUACAAGGCGCACGAAACUGCCAAACCCGAGCUGCGGGUCUGCUGGAAAACUGCCCUUGUACCGGUACAAGACCAGCCUUGUACCGGUACAACCAUCAGCCCUGUACCGGUACAGCCAUCAACCUUGUACCGGUACAGCACCCUGCUGAGGCUAACCCGAGAGCUGUCCAAUGAAUCCAAUUUUUGGAUUUUGGUACCAAGCUUAAAACCACAAUUCUCGGGAUGCGAGCCAUAGGUCGGAACACUGUCUACGACCUUCCAGAAAGUCUGAAAAAGCUCGACACACAGAUCAAACACUCGAAUCUCGCAAUUUGCAAAGGUCCAGUGUGUUACAAUUAGUGUAGGCAAGGGCUCGAGAAAGCCCCCUGGCUACUAGCGCUCCACCUUGUCAUGUUGGCACACAAGGCAAGUCCGCACGUAUGCCUCUACGUCGUCGUGCAUGCAAGGCCAAUAGUAGGCGGCCUUGAGUAGCACCAGGGUUCGCUUCUGCCUCGGAUGUCUAGCCCAGUUGGAGUCAUGACACUCCUUCAUGAGCUCUCGACGAAGAUUGCCCUACGUGGGCACAUAGACGCGACGCCCCUUGGUAAGGAGUAGCCCAUCGCUAAGUCAGAACUGCUGCGCCUUGCCUUCCUUGACGAGUCACACGAGUCCUUGGCCUUGCCGCUAAGUGCAUCAGCCAUAUGGUUUUCCUUCCCGGGUUUGUACACAAGCUAAUGUAUGUCAAACUCUGCUAGGAAGUCUUACCACCUCGCCUGCUUGGGUGACAGCUUCUUCUGAGUGAGGAAGUAGCUCGUUGCAACAUUGUCCAUUCGCACAACGAACUUGCUUCCAAGGAGAUAGUACCGCUGUAAUAUACCGAAACUCGGUAGAGAAUAUCGAACUUUAGUCGAAUUGACUAAAGUGUGCGAAAGAAAUAGUUGGACAAAGUCCAUUUAACAUUCCAACAAUGUUGGAAGGGUUAAAGUUGAUUUCUAAAGAGAUUAAAGUAUUUUAGCAUUGAUCGGAGCGAAACAAUGCAAAAUUGAAGUCUGGAGCAUUGUUAACCUGUUAAGCAUCGAGGUAAUACCGGUACCAGGCAGGCACCCGCGAAUGGUUGCUCUCGGGUUUGAAAAUUUUAGGCUGUUAAACCGGUGACACCUCUGGUGCGUACCGGUACCAGGUCUGCUACUCGAGAGAGCAGCUCUCGGGUUUGGCUGCUGUGUAAACGUUAAACCGGUGACACCCCCUUGCGUACCGGUACGCAGUGCCCCUCGCAGCAGGCUUUGGUCUGCUGCAGAUAUGAAAAGAGGGAGGGUCUAGAUGCAAAUGUAACAGUCUAUAAUAGACCCCACACCUAUCUUCUCUUGUUCACAGCAAACAACACUCUCCUCUCUCUUAUUUCUGUCUCCCUCUCUCUCUAGAAGCUCUCCCAAGGUAGAUUUGGAGGAGUUGGAGAAGAAUUUGAAGGAGAUUUUUGGAGGUUUAGAAGAUCUAGAGCUCACCUACAAGGAGGAGCUUGUUGAGUUCAUAGGCUAAGGUAAGAUUUCUUGUAAGAUUGAGGUUAGGGCUUGGUUUUAUGCCCUAGAUCUUUGGUUUUGACCUUCUUACAUAGAUGGGAAACCUUGUAGAGGCUAUGGAACACAUAAAAAUUUAUGUUUCUUCAUAGAGCUCUCAUGGUGGAUUUCUAGGGUUUGCUUUAGAUGCCCUAAGAAUGGUUUAAAUGGUUCUAGAUGAGUUCCUAGAGGUUACACAAGCUUACUUUUGCUUGUUUUAGAGAUCGAAACGGUGUAUUGGGCAAAUGGCAUUGUUAGGGCACCAAAUUUGGGGCUUUUGUCAUAGAUGGCCGGGUUUAAAGGCAAAUUGACCUUAUAGAAAUCUAAUUAGGGGUAUUUUCGACUCGUUGGUGAACUCGGUUCGCCAAUCCGAUGAGUCUACGUAAGGAUACUGGGGAAAAAGCCUAAUUUGGCUUCGUUUUGCCGUAGGCGAGAGAAUAGAAGCCCAAAAAUCACAAGAAUUGAACCAUAGCACCUUUACAACCAUACGAAGUGGGUGGUGCUUUCCGAAAUCCUCGAAUUUUUUUUUAUGUCUAAAGUAUCAUUUCAUGUGCAUUUGUGUAUAUUGAUCAUUAUUCAUGGUAGGGUGAUUUGAGAGUAAAUUAUUGCAUGUUGUGAGUACAAAUGCAUAUGAGAUGAUUGUAAGCUAAUGAGAAUUUGUAAAACCCUAUGUAUGCAUGAAUGAUGACAAGAACCUAGAAAAAGUAAGAAUCAAGUGACAUUGUGACAUAAUUGGUUGAGUGUUGAAAGUGUGGCAUUAGUAAAUAUAUAUUGAAUGUUAGAAUGAACACCUAGUGUGUGUGGCAUUAGAGAGUCAANAGUAUCCUCACUUGGAGAGGAUAGAUCUAGCUCACAGUCUGCGUUUGGGAUGGUAUAGCCAUCCAAUCCCCACAUGGAGGGGAUUGUCGUCGAGUACUCCGGAGUGUCGCGCGACUAGGACCACUUGGAGGUCCGGACCACAUGGAGGUCCGCAGACGGUCCCGGGCUUGGGUGCACUUGGAGCUCCCUCCCCACUUUGGGAUUGAAAGGUGAGUUAUUGGCGAACCCUAGGGCUUCGCUACAGAUUGGGUAAAAGAACAGUGAACAAUGCCAUUGAACAUUAUUAUUCGAACAUGGAUCGAAUUUGUUAGCAUGAUAGUUGUCACGCCCCGGGGCCCAGCGGAAGCCCGCCCGGCGCGUGCCCAGACCCGCCAUAUGUCUACAACAUAUAAGGCGUCUAAAAACAACAAUAAUAAAAGCAAUAAUAAAAGACAUCUAGGAGUAUCAGAGCAUAAUAAAUGUCUAAAUGCUACAACAAGAAUUAAGGAUGGAACUGUAAAUUCACUACAUAAGACAUAAAGUAAAUACAAUAGGAAAUCUCAAAUACAAGUGCUAUAGGUAGGUACAUAGGUGGUCUCUAUACAUGGAUACAAAAAUCUCACACUCUCUCAAAAUACAAAAGAAAGAGCAAACCACCUAAGUAAGAACCGCUCCUCGCUAGCUAGCUAAGCGAUCCCCUUGCCGCGAUCCCGUGCCUCCGCCGGUGCCGAAGGCUCUGAAGAGAAAACCAGAAAACAGGGGCGUGAGAACUAUUAAAAAUAGUUCCCAGUGGGCAAUUACUGACUUCAGUGAACUGUGCCACAAGGCCCAAAAGCUACAAGAAAAGGGCAGUGACUAACAAUGUAAUAAUUAAACGGUAAGCGAAAUGUAACCUACUAUAACAUAGAGUCUCCACUUAGCAUGAUUUGCAUAAGUAAUAAAUCAACUAUAACAUGAAUGUGCAUGGAUGUGUAAGACAUGCAUAAGCGUAGAAAUGCAACCAGUCCAAUGUCCUCAAUGCAAAGAUAGUAAAAAUUGUCGUCGUUUACUAUUCUAGUCCAAGUCCACUUUAAUAGUUUUAAAGUUCACGUUGCAUGAUCUGUCACUAAGUCUCAAUCAUAUAAGACCCACCCGAAGGCUGUCUGGCCUGCGCCGUGCCUAAUGGCCCCGUGGUAGUCAACAUCCCCACUCUAGGGAUGAGCCUCCCCCACGGCGAUCCACUUCGGCGCCCAAUCCCGCACGGCGAGCAUGUGUCGCGAUGGCUAUCUCCGGAGUGCCGGCUUGUAGGGAGCGACCCUCACAAGCAUGUGCGAAUGAGCACAAAUGGCAAGCAAGCAAUGAUCUGUCUCAAGUACCAAGUCCUCAUGUCUAAAACAUGGAAUAUGUCAAGUAUCACGAUGGCCUAUCUCUAUGUCGUCAUGUCUCUAACAUGGAAUAUAGCAGAUAUGUAGUGGCCUACCAAUAUGUCUCAAUGUUGCAGUUUCAUAGUUUACUAGUUUCAAGUGCCCCUUUAUGACACUCUGGUUCUCUAUGUCAAAACAUGGUAACUAUGUUCCAAAGUACAUAUUCCGAGUCAUAAUUCUCAUAAGAGAUGUAUUUUUACUUGCACAAUAAACACUUUUCCGUAUGCAUGCAUUCUACUCAUAUAGCUCUACUAUAUAGUAAAAUUUUCAUAAUACACGAGGCAUGCAUUUUAAGUGCUCUAAAAUUCAUAUAAAUCCCAUUUAGCAUAGAAAUGAACUUAAAAAUAUUUUACAAUAAGUAGAAAGAGCAUAGGGGUCAUUUCGCCCCAUUUCCCCGAAGCCAAACCCACCGAUGGCAACGAAACUCCUCGUGCGCUCCAACGAGGGUGUCCUCUAGUCUCCUAGUACCCUAGAGGUAGAGAAACAUGCGUCACAUGAACGAAACGAACCAUCAAUAGCUCAAUCAUUAAGCUAAUCAAGUAUAGGUGAGAAGAACUCACCUCUAGUGCAAAAAUCUCCUCUAAAGCUCCAAAAUGAAGUUAGGGCUCAUCCAAUCCAACCUAAUGGAAGCCUCUAAUCCAAUCAAUCUAGCUUCAAAAGCCCUAGAUUCAAAAUGCCCAAAAUAAACCCUAAUAUCACAAUCUAGGGUUUCAUCUUAUGAAAUCCAAUGAAACUCAAAUCUAGAGGAAGAUAGUGUAACGCUUACCUCUUAGAAGCUUCAAAUCAAGCUCUAAAUCCUUUAAAUCCCAAGAUCUAUCCUCCACUUAGCUCCAAAUCCAAGCUUCUAGCUCCAUCAAUGGUGGAGAAGCAUAAAAGAGGAAAGAAAAGGGAUUAAUCCUUCAAAAUCUAGGCUAGAGGGAGAUUAAAAUCAAAGAGAAGCAAAGAGAAGCUCUCCUUACCUUGCUCCCUGCAGUGGCAAGCUCAAAGAAGAGCCCUAGGGGCGUGGGUGCUGUUAUAGUAUUGCUACAAUAGCAAAAACACCCCUGCAGAACAAACUGCACGAAAUCUGCCUCCUUGUACCGGUACACGGGCUCUUGUACCGGUACAAGGCCGACGAAAUUGCAAACCCGAGGCUCGGGUCGCGCGGUCUGCGGCUCUGUACCGGUACAAGCCCGAUGGCUGUACCGGUACAACCAUCAACCCUUGUACCGGUACAAGGCCAGUCUUGUUCCGGUACAAGCCCUGCUGCAGGCUACCCGAGAGCUGUCCAAAAAUUUCGAUUUUGGAAUUUUGGUGCCAAGUCCCACUCCAACAUCCUCAGGAUGCGUGCCAGGGGUCGGGACACUAUCAACGACCCUCCAAAAACUGUGGGAAAGCUCCAAACACAGAUCAAACACUCGAAUCUUGCGAUUUGCUAAGAUCCAGUGUAUUACAGGGUCAUUUGUGCAUAAUUUCUUUAUAGUUAAGGAACGGAUUGAACUUGACAUCCCUAGAGUUAAGGAUUGGAUCAUACUCGCUAUAUGUCCUUGCUCGAGGGCGGUAGCUCCCCCUCGAGCGAUGCGCUCCGGAGUUUAUCAUCACUGGGUUGGUGCUAUUCCCCAGAGGACGGUCCCCGUCGAGUCGUAGGAGUCUCCUCGACGAUUUGGGAUUUUGAGUUGGUAAGCUAAUGAGGCGAAACCCACGGGUUAGCCAUGAGAUUGAACAAGAGAUCAAAGAACUUGCAUUCUUCAUGAGUUUUACAUUGAGCAUUCUUAUUGACAGCUUUGUUCAGGCAUAUUAGUUGCAUUGUACAGUUGGUUACUUAUCUGCUUUCUUUCUAUUAUGCCUAAGUUAGACCUAGUGGGAAAGUUGGUGAGAUUGGGGCCGAACCCACUCGGAACUUCAUUGUAAUUCUCACCCCACUAUUUCCACAGAGCCCGAACCGAGCGAGUCGGCGAGCGACCACGGUAAAGUAUCGCGCCGUAGACAAUGACUACCAAGUUGGGUUUCAUAUUUUGUUAGUAGCAUACCUUAUACCAUCUUUUGUAUUCGAUGAUUUGAGAUGUUAAAGAAAAGAAUGUAAUGUGUUAUUGUGAGCAAAUGUGAUGUAAAAAGAAAUGAUGAAAAGCAAUGUAAAGAAUCAUGAAUGUAAAUGGUUUAAAGUAAAUCAUUGUAUGUGUAUGUUGUUAGUCUCCUUUCUUUCACUCAUGGCUAUUGCUUACCCUCGUGUAAGCCGUUGUGUAUGUUUCCGCUAGUGCUUUUCUUAACUUGAAAUUGUACAGGUGAUGAGCCUUGGGCGGACCGGAAAAACUCUAUUCGUUCGGCGUCUGUUCGACGUGCCCGGACCGGCCCAAAUUGGUAUCGGUCCCGAGGCGUGACAGGAUCAUACUCACAGUCUGUUUUGAGCUUGUGGUGGUCGCUCCACACAAGCCGUGCACUCCGGAGUUUGUCACACGAGGGGCAGAGUUGAUGUCCCGCAGACGGUCUCGGGUUUGUGAGCGAGGUGCGUCUCCUUACUUUACGAGACGGCAGAGUGAGUCGUGGUCGAACCUUAGGGUCAGCCAAUUGAUUGGGUAAAAUUAUGAAUGGCAUUACUUCUUGGAUAUAGUAGUAUGUUAGCGGAUUUCCUACUAAGUAGUGCAUGCAUUCAUUAUAGUGGAUUGGGCAUAGUAGUGUAGCUUUUCUUACUAUGUUGUCAUUGCUUUCAUAUAUAUAUAUAUAUAUAUAUAUAUAUAUAUAUAUAUAUAUAUAUAUAUAUAUAUAUAUAUAUAUAUAUAUAUAUAUAUAUAUAUAUAUAUAUAUAUAUGUCUGUCUAUCUACUUAUGACCGCUUAGACCUAGUGGGAAGAUCGGUGGAGUCGGCGGCCGAAUCCACUGGGAACUAUAUUUAAAUAGUUCUCACCCUACUUUGUUGCAGGGCGGAAUACGAGUGCUCCAGGUGAGGAUUGCGGUAAGGGCAUAGCGCCCUAGUAGUAGAGACUUUCAUUUUGCAUUAGUGACGCCCUAUGUACAUGAGUGUAGAUGAUGUAUAGGUUGUGAGAUGCUUUUGGAGAGUUGUAUUCAUAUUUAUGUCAUAAUGAGAUGAACUUGUAUCCAUAUUUUGGAAGUUGUAAAUGUAAAUCAAAUGUGGUUCAUGGUUGAAUGCGAUGUAAUAGAUAGAAUGUUCUCUCUUUUACUCACUUGUAUAUUACUUGUGUCUUGCUCUUUCUUGUUAGCGCCUGUGCGCUUCUCGUUGAAUCAUGUAUGUUUUUGAGUUUUCCUGGGCUACUCUUGUACAUGAUUAUUGAUGCUUAGCCUUGGGCGGGUAAGGGAGAUGCUGCCCGUCCCGCGUCUGCUCGACGUGCCCGAACCGGCCAAAUUGGCGAUCGCGGGGUGUGACACCGGACCCCGAGAGCAAGUUUUUCGGCACUCAAGCUGAAACUUCUCUAGCUUGCUCUCCUAUGUCCACCUACCCUAUACAACUCAUUCCAAAGCAUUCGGAAUGAUUUACGGACCCUUCCAACUCCUCUGAAUCCGCACUUCGGUCGUUUUGACGGAAGUUCGGUAAAACUCGACGGGGGUACGAUAUGUUACAAUAACCAAUAACAUAAAAUUCAUGCUAGUUCUACCAAAUAUAUGCCAAUUUUAACUUGUCUAUACAAGUAGGCUAACCAUCAUAUAAUGCAUGUUUCUUAAGUUUAAUGCAUACAACUCUCUACUUUAUAGAGGUAUAACCUUGUCCCAUGAUGUAAAUACACCUAAGUUACCCAACAUCUUAUUUAUAAUGCUACUAGCAUAAUAUGCAUGUCUAAUAACAUAACCGUUCACCCAUUUCGGUGGGGUCAAACCCACCGAAUAAUCGUCGACUUGAUUCUAUUCCUUGAGCGAAGGUGCUCUCUAGCCUUCAAAUACCCUAUAACCAUUUUAGAUUAAUUAGGAGCUUCAACAAAGACUCCAACCCAAAACUCUCACAAUAGAACUCAAUAUACGUAAAACAUACCUAAUAAAAAGCAACCUCUAAUCCCCAAUUGAUCUCAGGUUGAAUCCUUCAAAAACAACCUGGAAAAAAUGUGAAAUACUCAACCCAAAGAGUUCUACAACUCAGCGAAGUGAUAACCCAAAGAUUAAACUCGAACUCAGCCACAACAUAUAUAUAGGAUAGCAAUUAAAAGACUAACCUUUCCAAAACUCCAAGCCGAGCUCACUCUUGAGCUGAGGUUGGAAACUCUCCUAUGUAAGACCUCCUUCUUCCCUUCUAUAGUUCCCCCAAAGCCCUCAAUAUCAGCUGGCAUAAAGAGGAGAAGAAGAGAAAAGCUUAAUCCAUCAAUUUUCACUCAAAAAUGGAAAUUAAAUCUAAAGAGAGAAAGAAGGGAGCUUACCCUGUUUCCCUCAAGCUUCGGCACAGAAAAUACCAGCUGGGGGUCGGUUGGACUUUUAAAGGGAUAAGCAUGGCUGCAAAAUGACUAAAAACUCCUUUACCAACUCACUCUGCCACAUCGAGUAUCGGUACUCAUGUUGAGGUACCGGUACCCGGCCUCUAAACAGCUAAAACCCGAGAGCUACGCAGCUGGAUUUAUUACAGAGCACCGGUACCCGCGCAAUGCCAUAGCGGUACUCAGCUCCAGCUUCUCAAAUCCGAGAACUACGCAUCUGGCAACCCUUUGAGGUACCGGUACCACACUCAGGUACCGGUACUCAACACUAAAACCUGAGCGUUCCAGGUUUUAGUGUCAGUAGCUCUGUCAGAGCUCUGCCUAACACUUAAAACAUUUAUGCCGCUACACUCUCAAAGUAUCUAGAGCAGCUCCAAUUACUAUUCUAACACUAGAACUUUACAAUUUGCUAAAGUUCAGUAUAUUACAUAAAUUUUUGAGAAAAAGUAAAUAAUAUUAAAAAUAAAAAUAAAAAAGGUUAUGUCGGGCCACUAAGCCAACAUGGUGGCCUUGCACAGCACACGCCCGCAUCGUAGGCCAUGUUGUGGUUUGAAUCCGUUGCCUUAAAACAAAAAAGAGGUAUAAAAUUAUCUCUACUACUAUGCUAUUAAAAGAUCAAUCCACUAGAAGCAAGCUCAGGAUUAUAUGUAUAUAUAUACAUUCAUACAUAUAUACAUACAUACAUAAAAUAUCGUAAACAACUUACGUUUUAUUUGACAUUAUUUUUUUUAUUUUCUUAAAUAAAAUUGAUAUAUAAACGAGUAUGAACAUGAAUCGCACGUAGCUUGCAAUCCUUUCAGGGGUUUGUUUGGUAAUUAAAAAAAAAAAAAUUGAAAGUAACCUUUUCUUCUUUCUUGAGGUUUGUGAAAAAAUUAUCAUCUAUCAUCCAUUGGGAGGCAUCAUUGGAAGCUAACUAACCGUGAUUAACAAAAAAUAAAAUAAAAUAAAAUUAUUAACAGUAUGUCCAAAUAUACAAAAUUUCUAUUGGACGAAAAAAAAAAGAAAAAGAAAAAGGAAAAAGACACCAAUACCCAAAAGGGCCUUUGAUUUUCUCUUCACUCACAAAAUUAUGAUUCCAUUUUGGUUGGAGUAAUUAGUUUCCACUCUGGGCUCCUGGGACUGCUAGAUGUGGAGUGGAAGACUGUUAGUACUAAUUCUCAUUCAUGUUCCGAGUGGAAGACAGUCAUUCUAAUUCUCAUUCAUGUUGGUCUACAGGGCACGAGACUUGAGCCAUCACCUCCUCGUCCUACCUGCUCUCAAUGCGUCGUCUAACUAUAGUUUUAUGUUGUGAAUUGUCGACUUAAUCUAUCUUUCAUGUGAUGAUGACUUAUUAUUUUAAAAUUUUAAUUAAAUUCUUAAUUAUCAAGUUUAAAUUAAUUGAAAAUUUUAAUGUCAUGUUGUGAACUGCUAAUACAAUUUUACUUUUUUUAUUUUAAAUUUUAAAAUUUAUAGCUUUAUUUUAGAUUUCUGAUGAAUAACUAAAAUUGCCUCAACUAGACAAGAAAAAUGGGAAUCGUCUAUUCCGGCUGUGAACCAACACUUACAAGAUUUUACCACUCUAUUUCUAAUUCCAAUUUUUAAUCCAUUUUUAAUUUGAUUUUAGCUUUAAUUCGCAUCUUUGAUACAUAUAGUACUUCAAAAAAUAUUUAUUCUUUCGUUAGUAUACUUAAACAGUAGAUUGCGGAAUGUCUUCCAUGUUGCAUGGAUUCUAAGACAGAAGGUAUAUGGGACGAAUCUAGAUGUGCACUCAAACAUAUAGAUGCACAGUAAUUUCAGAUUUGAAUAGGUAGGGAUGCAAGACAUUGUUUUGGUACUUUCGACGAUAGAUGCAGAGCAUUUGAUUGGAGGCUAGGCGCUCAAUAUGGAAUUCGAGUAAUAGGAAAAACUUUCCCUGACAAAGCGUUAUCACCAAACCCUAACGAGGAUCACCAACAGAAAGAGACUGAACCGCGCGCUUAUUUAGUUGGGCGAGCAAAUAAUUACCUAGAUAAGAAAAGUACCCAUGCCCUUUCAGAGCGGGCUCAAUAGGCCAUAUUUGAAUAAAAUAUAUUUUUUUACGUUCCAAAGUUAUUUCAAAUAUAUCCCCUAGAGUUAAAUUCUAUUAAUAAACGGUUAACAAUAACCGCUAUCUCUUUGAAAUUACUAUUUUAUCUUUUCAAAUAUAUCUUUCGACCAUAACCAACUUUUCUUAUUUGCCCUUAAGUUAGAGACAAAAAAAUUAUUUUAAUUUUUAGUCUUUUCAAACAUACCUCUCUACCAUAACUAACUUUUCUUAUUUGCCCAUAUUUUAUUUUAUUUUUUAACUUGGUAAAUAUUUAACUUAUGUAUAACUUAACGGGUUGUAACUGUGAGAGUAUUUUUGAAUAACGAAAAAGCAUAUAAAGAGUAUAUUUGAAAAAAAAAAAAAAAGUUAAAUAUUUUCAAAGUUUUGAAGGAUAUAUAAGCAAUUAUCUCAUGAAUAUAUAAACAUCUUAUUCAGUACAGUUCUUUUACUUGAAAAGAUUAUAUUAGUUAGUAGAUAAAAAAUACAGUCAAAUGUCUAAAAAGAGAGAUCAUAUUGAAACUUCCAAGUUAUUUUUCCAAAAUUUAAAAAAUAAAUAAAUAAAUAAAACCACCCGUAGGUGAAAGUGAAACACACUGUACUAUCACAGCUUUCCACUGAACGAAACAUGAACUCCUUGCUUUUAAUCACAAGAGAACAAUCCUUCCAAGACUUUUCAAAGAGCUAAAAUUAAACAAACUCCUAACUUGUAGUUGCACAAAGAUAAUCUUCAUAGCGCACAAGUCAUCCACGGAUAAUUUGUUCAGAUAUCCAAAAGGACCAUAAGCAAUUCAUAUAUACUAUAUAAUAUCAGACCCUUCAAGCUCAUGUUUACUGCUGGAAAUAGAAAACAUAUACACCAGAAAAUAAGCACCAGAAGAGAACACAAAUGGAAGAAGAUAAAAAGAAAAAGAAAGAAAACUUAGCUGUAAUACAGAUUGCACCAAGUAAUCUUGCUGAGGGUAGGUCUAGCUUUCACCUUAUUUUCUGUACAAGAUUUCUGUUUAAUUUAUAUGAGGCUGGAGAAUUGCUCAAAAUUGCUGCCUCCGGCACAAGUCUCGGAUGGUGUUGGAAGAUCCUCCACGUCAACGAGACACUGGUUGAUGGCCAAACUGCCAACUCUCGGGGAUGACGACGAAUUAGCCAAUCCAUCAGCACUAACAACUCUAUCGCCAUCCCCGUAUACAGAAUCUUGCUCCUUGCAGUUGGAUAUUCUGCUCAGCCAGGCUUGAAGUGGAAAAUUACCAUCCGAUUUCCUCACCGGUGUGAAAUUGACAUCCAAAGUAGAAUCUUCAAAAUUCAGAUUCAAGUUAAAAGCCUUUUGGGAAUCUCCAAUUUCUCGCUCGACUCCACAAUCUUGGUUCACAGAGUUUCUUAUCGAUGGUUCACCAGUGCCAAAGAUAUCAGCAAAUUGGCUGGAGGAAUGCAUCAUGGAGUCCGUGCUGCUCCCAUCCGACAAGUAGACCUCAACUUUACUUCUGAUGAAGUUCUCAUCAAAGCUCGAGUCCGAGCUGCUGUCCUCAAUCCAUACUCUAGCAAAACGGUUCAUGUAAGGGCCUUCGCUGGCAGCUUCCUCAGCAUCACUUGUUUUGAAGGAAAGACCACCACGCCAUGUGUUUUCUUCACCUUCAUCAGAGCAGACAUCAAUAGGACGCAGUACAUUAUGCAUGGGAAGUUGCUUUACAUCUGCUUUACCCGCUAUCAAAUAACUGGCACCAUUACCAUUUUGUUCAAACUUGAGAUUCAAUUCACCAUGCUCUUUUACAUUGUUUCCACUGCUGCCACUGUCUGAUUUCUCGACUCCAAACUGAGUCUUCUCGGCAGUAAAGAGCUCAGGAUAGUCUAACAUCGUUGACUUGUGGCUGGAAGAGUCGACCUUUCUUGAAGAAAGAAAUUUUGCCAAUGCUAAAGUCAGUUGAGUAUCAGGGUUCUCAUCAGUAUCCGACGCACCACAAAGGUCUAUAAAUUCAUGUUUUGAAUAGUCAAGCAUGGGAACUAUUAAACAAGAAGAAGAGUGGUGCAGAGGCACAAAAGAACACAAGUCACAGGCCAAACCUGACGAGUCAAAAGUAGAAUCCUUCUUUGCUUCAUCUGAUUCACAACAGUUCUUAUUAUCAAAGUCGGAUUUAUUGAGAGAACAGUCAGGAACUGCCUCAACAUUAGCAGGUAAUGGUGAGGCAUAAAAAGCAGCUUCUUCAUCCUUCACUUCAGCUGAUACACGAGCAGUUUGUUCAUCUGAGAAAGAUGUAGUAGAUAUAUUACCAGCACCUUCAGGAAAGACUAGGGAAUCAGAAUUGUAGUCACUGUCCGCAGGAAACUUGUGAGGCAGGUCUACAACACAUGGACUAGAAUUGCGUGAGGGGACUCCAGAUGAGGUAAGAAAUGCUGCCAAUGCUGAAGCUAAUGCACCAUCAAUGGAUAAAGGCUUUUUAUGACCAGAAUUGUUCAUCACACUUUUCUCUUGAUUAUCAUUAUUGUUGGUACAAUCCUCAUUUUCACUGGGAAAUUCAGGCGCCUUAACAACAAGACCUUGGCACAUCUUAAAUUCUUCCUCAGAAGCUGCAACAUUAUCAGCUGUGUCCAGAAGCUCUUCACUAGGAAACUCAGGAGCCUUGAUAAUCAGACCAGGCGAAGUUUUAGACUCAUGCCCACAAUGUGAAACAUCAUUAUCUUGUAGUUGCGAAUCGUAAAGUUCCUCAAUGGAAAAAUCAGGUGCCUUGACUACAAGGCCCGGGCUCAUAUCACAUACAUCCCCUUCUGUGCAAGAACUUUUCCAGGCUUUAUUCUCCAAAUUGGAUUUUUCAAUUGAAGAUGCUGAAGGCGGUGUCUCUGCAACUUCUUUUAAAGACUCAAUUUCCAUUUGAAAUGCAUCAAACUUCUCCUCCAAUCGCCUAAGCCUCGUUUCAAUGCAACUGAGGGGUUUCAUCAUGUUUUCUUCAAGCCUCGAACAGCAUGACUCUAUCCUUCCCACCUUGCAAAGAAGAUCAUUCACCAUAUUCUCUAUGCGGCUGUGGGCUAGAGUAUCUUCUUUAGUAACACAGUUUGUUGCCUGAUCUGAAUCUAUUGCUUUCUGGCAUGAUUCAGAGGGUACAUUCUCUGGAUUUACCUUGCUUUCUACCUGCAUUGGGCCCAAAUCUUGAUUCUCCAUAGAGUAUGACUCUUGAUCAUUUAAGACCUGGAUAGAUUUUGAAUGGCCAUCGACAUGUUUUGUGUUGGCUUGGUCCUGCACCGACCUUAUGUUUAAAUCUUCCAGAUCAAAGUGUGGUUCUAUCCUCGUACUCAUUGCAUAUGAGCUGCUAGGUCUCACAGAUUUGGACAGUUGCAGAAGAUUAGGAACAAGCAUGGCCAAUAUUGAACUUCCUGCUGAUCCCGCCGUCACAGCAGGCGAAUCUUCAGUUAGGGAUUCCACAGGAUCAGCAUAUAUAUAAAUCUCCUCAACAUGAACAGACGCUUUUGUUUCAAGUGAGAGCAGCCGCAGAGUGAGUGAAAUACAAGGACUAGCAUCUGAAAUCUCAGCUGUUGCUUCGUAAUGCAUCUGCAAGUUGUAUUUAGCAAAAAUCAGUACUACGAUGAGUUAAUUAAAUAUAUAACCCUCCGUAGUUUAGUGAAUUGAAGAACAUUACCUGAUUGUUUGCUCGGGAAAAUCCAUUACUUUGCAGGGGAGAGUCUGGAAGCUUCACUUCAACCCAACCAUCUUCAUCACUAGUAGUGCUAUCACUUUGAACUAUAUUUUCAUGCUUUCCUUCAGCAAUCUUCCCCUCAGAAGAACUUGGAACUUCUUCAGCAGCAGGACCACAGCGUACUGUGGCAAGGUACUCCUUACCACCAUACUUCAGAUCAGCAGCAUAGUAUAUUUCAUAAACUCUGGCAGUACUUUUCACAUACAACGUGUGGAUUUCAUGUUUUUCCUGGAAAUAGACUGCAGAAGAGAUGAAACUAGAUUAAGUUGUCCAUUGGGAGGAAAAGAUCAACAGCAUAACACUACAUAUGUUUCGAAAGAUCAAUAGAGCAUUUUGCGCCAGUUAAUUUUAGAGAACCAUAUAGAAAAAGAUAAUCCUUCAAUGGUUGACUGCAGCAACAAGCAGUUCUACAGUUACAAAACUAAUCGAAAAUUCAACACAUCUUGGUUUACUCAAAAACCAGAUAAUUCUAAGAACCCCUAAUAAAACAUAGCCGACUUUCCAAAUGUUUUCUAAACUUCUAUCAAUCUGUCAAAAUCCAAAAUCAGGAACCUCAAAGUGGCAUCUUAUAUAUAUGAUCAUAUCAUGGCAUUGUUUCAAAGCUUCCAGUUGGAAAAUAACAAUUUGAAGCCCUAAAGUUGUUCUCCAUCUCUCCUACUAAAGCACCCUAGCACUGCUACUUGGGAAACUGGCUGAAGAUGCAGGAUAAAAAGCUACACGUUUCUACAAAUUGAUAAUAGCAGUAAAACUUCACAAACUUAAAGCAAGACCAGCAGAAGACAGACGUGCUUUUACACUUGAUUAAUCAUGCCCGUAUGCAUAUUUAUAGACAAGAAAUAUCAUUUAACUUCCGAAAAGGCAGACAUGUGUAUUAACAUAUAAUUUUUACUGCAGAAAUCACCGUUUCAUCUUUACUUUACUCCAUUACCAGCACAUAUUCAAAUAAUGUCCAUUAAGUAUCAUACAUAUAUAAAAAACUUUAUUUUUAUUUCAAAAUUUUGACUAAUAAAUUUAACAUUCCUGUAUAUACUCCUAACUGUCCUUUUACCAUUUCACUUUCUAGCCAUAUUAUUGUCCGAAUAUUAUAGUUACAUUCUCUAUUAUUCCAGCAUGAAUUGCAGCUGUACUGUUCUACAUAUCACACUAAUUACCUUUUAUUUAGCUUGAACUAACUGGAUAUAAUAAUUCAACCCCAAACAGCACUAUGUCGUCACACCCUCCAUAUUUCCAAGUAGCUCAAUAAAGGGGAAGGAAUGAGGCAAAGAAACGAAAAACAAACUUAGCUCCUACCCACAAAGUCUAUAUGUAAAUAUAAAUACAUGCUGUAUGUGUAUGAUCAAUUACAAAUUAUGGUUUUGGUAUAUGACCAUGUCUGUGAGUAUAACUAUCAUCACAUUGGCCAAAACAUGAAGGUAUGCAAGUAGAACAACAGACAUGAAUAACUAUGCUUUUCCCUUUUGAACAUCAAUUUUUUCGUAAUAUAAGUAUUUAACUAUCUCUACACCCUUCUAUCAACUUCGCAUUCCAUUAGUUAGUGUGAGAAGUUAUUCCUCUUAUUACUAUAAGUAAUGCAAAAUCUUCUAACAAAGUCACACCAUAUAUAUGUCAUCUUAUGUGCCAGAAGAGAAGUUUUUCAGAACUUCCACUGUUUUACGAAUAUAUAUCUAUUAAGUGUAACUAGCAUCAAAAAAUUUAUUCACUAGAUUAUGCAAAACCUUCUCGAUCAUCCACCCUUAACCUACUUCUAAUAUUGCCUGAUUAGGGAAUGUCUAUGCCAGUAACAAGAACACAUUAAACUCUGUUCAAGGUGUGGUCCAGGUCAUGUUUGGUUGGGGAUGAUGAGGCAUUGAGGCUAACUUGAAAACUGCAGCGAUAAGCUGACCAUGCAAAUACCACAAUUUCAUCCUAUGCCCAGAAAUAGGGUAGUGGUUGGAGUCCCUUACCCAUUUCCACGUUGUAUUUCUAGUAGUUCCAACUGUGAUUAGUGGACCCUCACUUUAUCCCUCGAUAAAAAAUGAUCAUCUCUAGAAAUUGUCUUAGGUAUAUAGAGAAGAAGCCAUUGUGAGAACUCUAGAUUAACGACUUUCCUUCUUUGUAUUUAGCAUGAAAUAGAAAGGACAACCUGAAAUAGUAGUCAUUUAUAUGGAUAGUACAAUUCCUUGUAUAUUCCCUGAAAUCACAUAAACUCUGCUCAUAGCGGACAGUCAAAACAACUCAAAUACUAAGGAAGGAAGAACAUAGGGAUCACAGAAAAAAAAAAAAAAAAAAAAAAAUCUAAGCAAUAUUCCAAGGUAAAGGAACAAAGUGUCAUAAUGUGAAUGUACGACUGUGUGGCCUUCCUCACUUGAGUUUUGCACCAACUCACCAUAGAAACCCCUAAACUCUUUUAUAGAACACGAAAAAGCACUACAAGUAGACAUCUGCAAGACGAAGAGAUUAAGAGCAUCUCUACAAGGCACCUUUCUAUAAAGACGCCUUUUCAAUUCUUAUGGUAAAUAAUUAACACACGGUUGCUUCGUCACACAUUUCCAUACUGAUAGGCACCCGAAUAGGUGCCUUUUCAUAAAGACGCCUCUUAACAUGGCAGACACCUCUCUAUACACAAAUUUUGAGUUGCUCCUGACACAAUUAAUAUUAUACCAUAUGUGUGCUAUUGCCUAUGGUAAGACUAUUCGCGGAGAUAUUUUUGGAUUGAUGUGAUUUCCAUCAUAAGUUCUAGAAAAUGCUAAGAUAUUCUUGGACAGUUCUUGCAUCCAAUCAAGAUCUAAAGGAAAAGAGAAGGAGCACUAUUGACUUCUUACUCUUUGGGAACUUCCAAACACCUUAAAGCUGAAAAGGAAAAGUAGUAUAUAUAUUAAUCGGUUUUUUCUAUGUAUACAAUAUAUAUCCAGGCGUCUCUAAUCUAAUGGUAUAAUACAAUCGAACAAGAAAGAUUCCAUAUACAUGACAAAGUAGCUAGGAGCAUUCACGGGUAAUUCGCAAGAACAUCUUGAACAAUAUCCAAAUAGAUCAUGGUUAUUUCACUCCAAUUUCACCAGAUAGGAUAAUCAUACGAAUCUAGCGAAACACCUACAUGCACCAUACAAAAUUUACAGAAAUUCCUUCCCACGACUACUUAUAUAAUAACAGUAACCAAAAUCUCCCUCUAGUUCCUCACUCUUUCUUUUUAGAGAUCAAGAACCCAUGAAGAAACCCAAGGGAUAUUGAUUAGUCACCACGCACAACCAGCCAAAAAACAAACAGAUCAGACACAAAUCAACGCGACUUCACCACCAGCGAAUCAUAAGAAGAGGCAGAUCAAGGGCAGUGCAACAAUCAAUUCGAAAUCAAGAACAGUAAAAGUCGAACAAAAACAAGGAGCGGCACAGGAAGAGGUCCAACUUGUGAUCUCGCAGGGCGGGGGGUCGUCGGAGUUGGGGCGGAGGAGGAGCGCGCCGGCUGGCGAGGGCGAGGGCGAGGGCGAGGACGAGGACGAGGACGAGGCGGGAGCGUCGUCGGCCGAGGUCUCGAAGGAGAUCGAGCCCUCCAGCGAGCCCUCGCCCGCAUCCCAGUUCGUCGAUGCCCGCCAGCUCCCGCUCGACAACGCCAUCGUCCCUUCCUACCUACUCUCUCUCUCUCUCUCUCUCUCUCUCUCUUCCUACAAUGUGAUCUCACUCGUGCCUUUUCCCCUCGACAAAUAUAAUAUUAUUAUGAUACGUAAUUUGGCACAGAGAGAGAGGGGCGUUCCUAGACGUGAAUUAUAUAGCAAGCAACUGUUUGGCCGAUACGGAUAUCGGACCGUCCGUUCGUUCGUGUGAUUGGCGUGUUGUAAGGUUGAUCUGACGGCUCAGGGUGAAGUUAAGAGGCAUAGGGUUACGUUGUGGUUCAGGUGCAACGCAACACUGCUGCACCUUAUCAAUCUUAGGCAACAGUUUAUAUUAAUUUAGUUUUUCUGUUUUUUUUUCACUUAAUCCUCUUGCAAUUCGAAUAAUUUCGAGAGCCGGACGCCCAAUAUCAAGGAUUAGGCCAAAAAUCAAAGGUUUUUAAGCGUUGUAUGAUGAGUACUAUUUUGAUUAUUAACAGCCUGCUUGGUCUUCGUGUAGGGGUAGUAUCUGAAUCGGUCUCUAUUGUGAAGUGACCAUCGAUGAUUGCGCCCAAGACUAAAUCAACCGAUUCGGUUGAUAAGUGAUCCGCUCGGCCGAGUUCAACCGCUCAAGUACAUUAUCAGCUCGGUUGGAAUGAACCAAAUGACUUUGACACCGUAGAGAAAAGAAGUUCAAUAUCUAUUCGGCUUAAAUGAGCCGAGUGAUCUCAAUAUGCUUUUCGGAAAAAAAAAGAAAAAAGAAAAAAAAGAAAAGGGGUUUACAAGUGGACUACUCUCACUUGCAAAAAUAUCUAUUUUAAAAGCUACACCGAGAAAAAAGCAAAAAAUAUGAUGAAGUAAGAGAUUAUAAUUGGACUACUCCUAAAAGGCGAAAAAAUAUUGAAAAUAGAAUGGCCUUCUCAUUUGUAGGGAAAAAGACCCUUUUAGCAAGCAUAUUCUAUUUAUUUAUAGUCUUGCCUGCCAUUAUUCAGUUAUUCCUCAUUAUAGGGUGUGUUUCGGGCACGUCCCUGUUUCUGUGGGCCACUUCGGCCGAUCUUAACUGCAUUUUCGCUCAACUGAUUUUCGGUUUUUUGCACAUUCUUCCCAGAUCCUAGCGCACCACAUGUCGCUCCAGGUUCGACUUUGGGAGCCCUCCACGUGGUGUAGAUCAACUUACCACGUGGCACUAUUUUUAUGAUGCCUACAAUACUGUCACGCCCCAAUCCCCGCCAAUUUGGUUGGGUUCGGGUCACGUCAACAGACGCCGAACGGACAGCAUCUCCCCUGUCCGCCCAAGGCUCCAACAACAAGUAUAAUUAAGCAAUCAACAAAGAGAUAUGCAAUUAUAUAAGGCUUGCACGAGGGCAAGCAAUAACGGAAGCGAAAGCUCUAAGCUAAACAUACAACCAUACAUGAUAUUUGAUUAAAUUUAAACCAAAUAAAAGUGAACUAAAACUAUUACAUUCAUUUUCCAUUCAUUCAUAAUUUUUUUUACAACUUAAUCAUUCCACCAAAACACAUGCUUGUUUACAACUUUACGUUUCUCUAAAUCAACAAAAGAAAGUUGAUACAUGUACAAAAGGAAUGACUAAAAAUGCAUGUCCCGGUGACCACUAGCUAUGGCGCAAUACUCUUGCCUCGGUCCUCCGCCGUCCCGCUCGCGCUCGGACCUGUAGGGUUAGUGGUGUGAGAACUACAACGAAGUUCCCAGUGGGUUCGGCAUCCGACCUCGCCGACUUACCCAUUAGGUGUCACACUCCGGACUCCGCCAAUUUGAUCGGAUUUGAGCGCAUAACAGACUCCGAAUGGACAGUACCUCCCCUGUCCGCCCAAGGCUCCAACAACAAGUAUAUUUCAAGCAAAUCACUAAAGAGAAUUGCGAAAUAUACAAGGUUUGCACGAGGGCAAACAACAACCCCAAGUGAAAGCAUCGAAACUAUCUAAGCAUUCAAUAUACAAGUCAUUUGAUUUCAUUUGAAUCAAACACAAGUAGUCUAAUACAUUCAUUUACAUCACAUUUCCCCUUUAACCCAUAAUACAUUGUUUACAUUAUUCUUACAUUAGCCUAAACAUAAUUUACAUUUCUUGCUUUACAUUAUUUACAGUUCAACACCUACAGUUGAGAACACCAAAAUAUAGGGUAUGCCUCUAUCUCGAGGGCCGCUAGCUACGGCGCAACACCCUUGCCUCGAUCCUCCGCCGCCCCGCUCGCGCACGGAUCAGCAGGGUUAGUGGUAAUGAGAACUAGAAGAAAGUUCCCAGUGGGUUCGGCCGCCGACCACGCCGAUUCGCCCACUAGGUCUAAUUCAGGCAUAUGUAUUUCAAUAAAGAAGAAUAACAAACUAACUAAUGCACUUCUAAUACAAUGCCUGCAAGAAAAAUAAUUCACAGAUAGAUAUUCAUAUUCAAUACAUGAUGAUUAUGCAUGCAUGUCCUUUUUACUUUCCUUUGGCCUUUACCCAAUCAACCCGGGGUGCUCCUGGUUUAUCCCGACUCACAGUCCACAUAUCCCGUCUAACGGGGGAGGCACAAGGCACAACCACCCGAAAGAUCUUCGCCGGGCACUCUCACCCGUGGUGCAUUUUCACUCCGGAGUACACCGCUUGUGGAGGAGCGACCUCCCACAAGCCGGAACCAAUACAUGUGAGUAUGGUCCCAUCCUCAAUUUGAGGAGGUAUGGUCAACCGGUCUCAAUACCACAAUGCCGAUGAUAGGUCUUUACCUAAUCAUGUAUGUCACUUCACUAAGCCACAAUGGUCAUGAUGCCAUAAUACAUAUAAUGCCACUUGGGUUAAACUCUACUAAGCCACAAUGGUCCUGAUGCCAUAAUAUACAUAAUGCCACUUGGGUUAAACUUUACUAAGCCACAAUGGUCCUGAUGCCAUAAUACACAUAAUGCCACUUGGGUUAAACUUUGUUUAACUAUACUCAUUUCAAUGCCAAUCGAGUCACUAUAGUCAAUGUCACCGUUAUUUACUAUGGUCGUAGUCUUUUCUCACAUUCACAUGNCAUAAUGCCACUUGGGUUAAACUUUACUAAGCCACAAUGGUCCUGAUGCCAUAAUACACAUAAUGCCACUUGGGUUAAACUUUGUUUAACUAUACUCAUUUCAAUGCCAAUCGAGUCACUAUAGUCAAUGUCACCGUUAUUUACUAUGGUCGUAGUCUUUUCUCACAUUCACAUGCAUAUAGGGUUAUUCGUCUUCUUGUCGACAUGUGUCUAUAUCAUUCACAAUAAUCUUAAGCAGACAAUUGAUGCAAUCAACAUAUACCAUUCAUUACCCUACAUGCAAGAAUGCAAUAAUAUCAACAUGCUCAAUAGUAGUGACAUAGACAUAGAAAGAGACUCGGUGUUUUCGGAUAGCACCCCCCACCUUUAUGUGAUACUAGGAUGCCGUGGUUCUGUUUUCACGAUGUUUAAACACUUUUGCCGCGAGCUGCGGCAAUCUGUACCAACUCGGCUUCUUUUUCUAAUAUCUUCGCGCACGCUCGUCGUAUCGUCGAACCGAGCGCACCGAUGUGUUCGUUGACAUACCAAUUAGGUUAAAAAGAGAUCAAUCCCAAGAUUGAACCUCAAAAUCCAAAAACCCUAAAGUUAGGUCCUUGCAAGACAUCAUCUUCUCCAACUAGGUCCCUAACAUAAAUAAUCAUGGGGGAAAAUACCAUAGAAGAUCCUAGAUGCAACAACUAGAAGCAAAAACCCAAAAUCUAACUUAAAAUCACAAGAACUCACCUUAGGAGUCUAAAGCUUUCCUUCAAAGCCUUGCUCUAGCUUGCUCUACACUUUGGAGAACUUCUUCUCCAAGCUUUUCUCCUCCAAAAGCCCUCUUGGUCCAAGCCCUAGAGAGAGAGGGAGAGAGAAAGGAGAGGUUUUUAGAGAGAGGGAAAGGUUUUUAGGGUUAGAGUGUGAGAGAAAUAAGAGCCAACCCCAUCUCUCACCUCUAUACAUGCAACCCAUAUCACUUUUGCACAUAAGCCCCUCACUUUUUCAUUUUUGCAAACAGCCUUUACUGGGCAAUUUCGGGCUUGGGGACCGGUCUCUCCCUUCAGGGACCGGUUCCCGAGAGCUAUCCUGCAAUCCACGCAGAAGAGGACCAGUCUCCCCACGAUGCAACCGGUCUCUCGGGACCGAUCUCCCACCGAAGGACCGAUUCCCGAGAGCUCGAUUUCCAGGACUCAGCCGAUUUUUCACCUCGUUCGGCUGAUCAACGUUCGGGAAUCGGUCUCUCACCCAAGGGACCGGUCCCCGAGAGUAAAAUUUCUAGGACUUCUCCAGAAUUGCAGUUUCACUCUCUCGGGUCCCUUUAUACUUUACAUAUAGGCUCCAAUACACUUUUAGCCUAUAGUAACUCAUUCCUUUCCGCGUUACGCACAUUUCGACGGAACUCGGCACGACUUACGGGGAAUUGCUAUUUACAUUCUUCACCCCUUAGAAAUUAUUUCGGCCGCGAAACUUAAACACAUACCUUAGUCCACUUGCUCAAACAAGUGAGGAUACACCUCGCGCAUUUUCCCCUCGAGCUUCCACGUGGAUUCACGCCUCGAGUGAUUACUCCAUUGUACUUUUACAUACGGAAUAGUCCGAUUCCGUAGCUUCCGCUCCUCUCGAGCAAUAACGCUUAUCGGAAACUCUUCAUAAGUGACAUCUUCGCGUAACUCCACCGGUUCAUAAUCAAAUACAUGCGAGGAGUUCCGAAAAUACUUGUGAAGAUUCGAAACAUGGAACACAUUGUGCACUCCUGCAAGCUUCGGCGGUAAUGCUAACUUGUACGCCACGUGUCACGCCCCAGCCCCGAGACCGCUACCAAUUCGGUACAGUUCGGGCGCGGCGGACGGACCGCCGGACGGACAGCACCUCCCCUGCCCGCCCAAGGCUCAAAUGACUAGAUUGUGUACAACAAGUUCCCAGGAAAACAACUUGAAUGCAUACACAAUCAUGUAACAACAACAAGAGCACGAUUAGUACUAUAUCAUACGAGAGCAAGCAUCACAAGUAAUAAAACCAUACAUGUGAACAAAAGAGAGAUGUACUUAACUAUUAAUUUAUUUAACAUAAUACAAUUAUUUCAUCCUUUACAUUCUUCCAGAGUAUAUGUACAAUCACUCCAAAAUCCUCACUCUAUACAUCAUCUACUCUCAACAUAGGUACAGGGUGUAACUAAUGCAUAAGGAAGUAACCUAUGCUAAAUCACUAGGGCGCUAUGCCCUUGCCGCGAUCCUCACCAGGGGCGCUCGAACUCGGACCUGCAACAUGGUGGAGUGAGAACUACGAAUAGUUCCCAGUGGGUUCGGCCGCCGACUCCGCCGAUCUCCCCACUAGGUCUAAGCAGGCACGGAUAGACAUGCAGACAGAUAGAUAUAUAAAACUGAAAGCAUUAACAGUAAUGAGCAACUAUGAACUAUGAUCUAUCAAUGCCUGAAUCCAGUAUGAUGCAUGCAUGAGACUCAUGGUAAAAAGGCUGGCUAUCAUACUACCGUGCUCAAUAAUGAAAUCAUUCAUCCGGUUACCCAAUCUCUCGGCGAACGCAAGGUUCGCUCACAGUCUCACGUCUCUAAGUCUCAUAGGGGAGGUGGCUAGCUAUUCACCUACCCCGAGACCGCCUGCGGAUACUACACUGGUCCAAGGGCACUACACUGGCCCCCUCGCGUGCCAAACUCCAGGUGCACUACCUGUGAGGAGCUACCUCCACAGGUGCAGACAGGCUAAGUGAGCUCGAUCCAAUCUCAUAAACUGGGAACACCCUAACCAACUAGAAUUGGUGUCACUAUAACAUCAGGUGUUCUUCUGCUCAAUCUCACAGUGUCUCAACCACACUAAAGUUCUCAAGUUCAAUAUCAACUAGGUGCCACUCGUUCUGGGUUCACUAUUAACUAGAUGCCACUCGUUCUCCUGACAAGUUCUUGAUAUACUAGUUUCCAAUAUACUAGGUUCUUAUUCACACAGACAUAUUCAUCACAUAUAGGGUGAACUAUCUCAUAGUAUUCCACUCAUGCAUACUAGGUUUUCAUUCAUUGUAUCCACAACCUAAAUCAUCACUAGCAUGCAAGGAUAUGCACAAUCAUAUUUAACACCCUAUAAUACUAUAUCGCAAUAUGUAAAUGAUCGACAAUGAUACUCAGACAUAAAGAGCAGCCUGACUGCUUUGGGAUGGCACUCCCCCACCUCGUGGCGAUGCCGUGACUCUUCGAAUGCGAUUCGCCGACGCUUCGACGCCUCGAUGGCCUUCCAGGCAAGAACGGAGCUCCGAGGGUCGCCUUUGACAAUAACUCCGCACCUACUCGACGGAUCGACGAACCGUCUUCGCCGACGCGUUCAGGGACCUGGCAAUUAGGUUUACAACCUCUCAAAUUAGAUCAAAACCUUAGAUUCGCCAAAAUCCCAAAUCGAAGCCCUAGACCUCGAUACUGGAGAAAUCCGCGGUGCGAGCUUCCAUUUCGAGCUCGAACCUUCUCCCUAGCUUCAAUAGGUUCCAUUCGAACCAUUUCUAAACCAUAAAACCUUAGUUUACAAAAUCCACCAUUAAAGGGUUUGAGGCUUACCUUCAAAAGCUUAGUCCAAGAAGAAGAAGUAGAUGAGAAAGGUGAUCUUCACCUUUGUCUUCUUUUUCUCCUACUUUUUCUCCUUCCUCUCCUUUCCUUUCUUCUCCUUUCUCUCCUUUCCUUUCUUCUCCUUUCUUUUCCUUUCCUUCUUCUUCUCCUUCUUUUCCUUUCUAGAGAGAGAGCAAAAAGAGUGUGAGAGGGAAAGAACAACUGAGAGAGAUAAAGGGUCCCCCAAGCCUUCAUAUAGGCCAUAUUGCAAAUAAGCCCCUCAGCUUUCCAUUCUCUGAAACAGCCCUCACUGGGCCAUUUUCGCAGUGAGGGACCGGUCCCAGGUCUGGGAGACUGGUCCCCGAGAGCUGCAAUUUCGAGCAGAGGGGUUUUCGUGUUCGGAAACCGGUCCCUGCCUGAGAGAUCGGUCCCCGGGAGACCGGUCCUUGUUCGAGAGACCAGUUCCUGAGAGCAACACUUUUGGGACUUAGCCAAAUUUCGGCUAUUCUCGCUAGGCUAACGCUCGGGAACCUGUCCCUGCCUGCCAGGGACCGGUCUCAUCAGAGAUCCCCGCAGCCCAGCCCGAUGGGAUCGGUCCCUCCCUGCCAGGGACCGGUCCUCCAGAGCAUUUCUGCCCCAGUGCAACUUUUGCACUGGUGCUCUCACGGACAUUUUCUUAAUGCACUUUAUGCAUUCUAAGUAUCUUCGGACUUUCCGAAGCUUACACACUCGACAAUUAGUCGAUUCCCAUCGAAGUCUAAUCCCCGGAUUUCGAGAAUUCACUUCCCUUACAUUCUCCCCACCUUAAAAGAGUUUCGUCCUCGAAACGAGCUCGACAACAUUAAAUUCAUUCAGAACCUGAACCUUUAAAUUCAUACCUCAGCUCAGUCCUCGAAUAAGUGAGGAUGAUUCGCUUUCAUCUCCUCCUCGAGCUCCCAGGUGGCUUCGCGAUCGCCAUGAUUGCUCCACCGGAUUCGAACAUAAGGAAUUUCACGACUUCUCAACUUGCGCACCUCUCGAGCUAGAACCUCCAUCGGAAACUCCUCGUAACUCAUAUCUUCUUGCAAUUCCGGUGGCUCGUAGACCAAGACGUGCUCAGGGUCAUGCACAUACUUGCGGAGAUUGGAGACGUGGAAUACAUUGUGCACACCCGCAAGCUUGGGUGGCAACGCAAGCCGGUAAGCCACCGUCCCAAUCCGCUCCAAGAUCUUGUAGAGGCCAAUAUAACGAGGACUCAACUUCCCUCGCACCCUAAAUCUUUUCACGCCUCUCAUCGGCGAAACUUUCAAGAACACACGGUCACCCGCCGCGAAUUCCAAGUCUCUACGGCGUUUAUCUGAAUAACUCUUCUGUCGAGAUUGCGUCGUGAGCAAUCUCUUGAAAGCAAGGUGGACUUUCUCCUCCGCCUCUCGCAACACGUCCGGACCGAACUCUGUUCGCUCGCCUACAUCACUCCAAUGAAUGGGAGAUCGGCACUUCCGCCCAUAAAGAGCCUCGAAUGGUGCCAUCCCCACACUCGCGUGAUAGCUGUUGUUGUAGGCGAACUCGGCCAUCGGCAGGUGCUUACACCAAUUCCCCUUGUAAUCAAUGGCACACGCCCGCAACAUAUCCUCCAGGGUCUGAAUGGUUCUCUCUGUCUGCCCAUCAGUCUGAGGAUGAAAGGCGGUACUGAACUCGAGUCGCGUGCCAAGGGCUUCCUGCAGGCUUCUCCAAAAGUGUGAAGUGAACUUGGGGUCUCGAUCUGAUACAAUCGACUUCGGCACCCCAUGUAGCCUCACAAUCUCAUCGAGGUACACUUGCGCGAGCCUCUCACCUGCCCAAGUGUUGUGGAUCGGCAGAAAGUGUGCCGAUUUCGUCAAACGAUCCACAAUCACCCAAAUUGCGUCGUGGCCACCCGUCGAACGAGGUAAGCCAACGAUGAAGUCCAUCGAUACGUCAUCCCAUUUCCAGACGGAAAUAGAUAAACUCUGAAGCUUCCCCGCUGGAAACCGACGCUCCGCCUUCACCUGUUGGCAUACUAAACACUUCGCUACGAAGCACCCAACAUCAGUCUUCAUUCCCGGCCACCAGUAUAGUGUCUUCAACUCGUGAAACAUUUUUGUGCCGCCCGGGUGGUCAACAUAAGGAGACCAAUGCGCUUCUUGCAAAAUCAACUUGCGAAGCUCCUCGUCAUUUGGCACACACCAUCGGUUUCGAAAUCGUAGUGCACCACUAGCAUCCACGCUGAAAUCUCCGCCACACUUUCAACAUUGUGCCGCACCUUCUGGAGAUUCGGGUCCGCGGAUUGUAAAUCCUUGAUCCUCUCCAAUAAGGUGGGUUGGACCAUCAACGUCAUCAACCUAGCCGGAAUUUUCGGAGCCACCACCUCGAGAUCCAUCCUCCCUAUUUGUAAUCGCAGGGGCGUCUAACUUGUAACCCACAAAGCGAGGUUCUCCGCCGACUUCCGAUUAAGUGCAUCUGCGACCACGUUCACUUUCCCGGGGUGGUAAAGGAUAUCAAUAUCGUAAUCCUUAAGCAAUUCCAACCACCGCCGUUGUCGCAUGUUCAGCUCCUUCUGGGUAAACAAGUAUUUCAAACUCUUAUGGUCGGUGUAGAUCUCGCAAUGAGCAACAUACAGAUAGUGUCUCCAAAGCUUCAAAGCAAAGAUCAUCGCCGCCAAUUCCAAAUCAUGUAUGGGGUAGUUCUUCUCAUAGCUUUUCAAAUGACGGGACGCAUAAGCAAUGACCCUCCCGCCUUGCAUUAGCACACACCCCAGACCCAGGUAGGAUGCGUCGCUAUACACCACAUAAUCUUCACCCUGCACCGGUAAGGCGAGUACCGGAGUCGAAGUUAAUCUUUCCUUCAACUCUUUAAAACUCUGGUCACACUCGUCGCUCCAAAUAAAUCGGGUGCCCUUCUGCGUCAGACGGGUGAGUGGAGUCACAAUCUUCAAGAAGCCCUCCACAAACCGUCGGUAAUAACCUGCUAGGCCUACAAAACUUCUGACCUCAGCAAUGUUUGUCGGGCGCGGCCAAUUCUCAAUAGCCUCUACUUUCCUCGGGUCAACAGAAACACCGCCCUCGGAAAUAACAUGCCCGAGAAAAGCAACUUCCCGGAGCCAGAAGUCACAUUUCUUCAGCUUUGCGUACAACUUCUUCUCCCGAAGGAUUUGAAGUAUUGUGCGCAAAUGCUCCGCAUGUUCUUCUUCAUUGUGCGAAUAGACCAAGAUGUCGUCUAUAAAAACUACGACAAAUCGGUCUAAGCACUCCCUGAACACUCGGUUCAUCAAGCUCAUGAACGCAGCCGGGGCAUUUGUAAGCCCAAACGGCAUCACGGUGAACUCGUAGUGUCCAUACCGCGUACGGAACGCGGUCUUCGGAACAUCCUCUGGCUUAAUCUUCAACUGAUGGUAGCCGGAUUGGAGGUCAAUCUUCGAGUACACUCACGACCCCUGUAACUGAUCAAAGAAGUCGUCGAUGCGGGGUAACGGGUACUUGUUCUUCACGGUGACCUUAUUCAACUCGCGGUAAUCCACGCAGAGUCGAAAGGAUCUAUCCUUCUUGCGCACAAACAAUACCGGGGCUCCCCACGGCGACACGCUCGGCUUGAUGAACUCUUUGUCGAGAAGAUCCUGCAACUGAUCCCUCAACUCCCUUAACUCAGUCGGCGCCAUGCGGUACGGGGCCUUGGAUAUCGGCGCGGUCCCGGGAAGCAAGUCUAUCAUGAACUCAAUUUUCCGGUCCGGCGGUAUCCUCGAUAACUCUGUCGGAAAUACAUCCGGGAAUUCUCGCACAACCUCCAACUCUUCCAGAGCCGGCACCACUCGGUCGACUUCCAUAACGGUCGCUAAGUAAGCCGUACAACCGCUAUUAACUAGCUUCAUCGCUCUUGUCGCCGACACCGUCGCGGCGAAACACGAACUCUUGCAAGCUCGAUACGUGAAUUCCUCGUGUCCCGGCUCCCGAAAUGUGAUCACUCUAGUCUUGCAGUCAAUAGACACAUAAUACUUCGAGAGCCAGUCCAUGCCCAAAAUGACAUCGAACUCCUUCAACCUCUUUAGCAUUAAUAGGUCGACCGGCAUAAUCCAGUCACCUACUUGUACUGGGCACGCCAAACACCGCUUCCUAACAAGGAAUGCUCGUCCGGGUCCUUCUACACGCCACACAUUCUCCCCCAGACUAAUCUCAAUAUCAUGCACUUGUGCAAACGAUCGGUUAAUGAACGAGUGUGAGGCGCCAGUAUCAAAAAGAGCUCUUGCUCGAACACCGUUAACCAACACCAUACCUGCCACACACAUUGCCUCCCGCUUCGGUGACUCCUCUCUUGUCACUGAGCGCAACAUCCUUUCCCGCCGAAGCCGAUCGGUGCAGUUUCAGGUUGAUCUGUGCCGGGCGCGAUCCGCCCAGUCGCUGACCCGGAGCCAGGUGCAUUGCAUAACGACCGAAUAGCCACGAUGCAAACAAGGAGCAGUAAAGCCCCCCUAGGGCAGUCGCGUCCGAUCCCUGCUUGCACCGCACUAAAGCAUUUCCUCGCCGAUCACAUGCAUAUGGCUCGUGGCAUCGCCGCAAAAGAUAUCACCGAUCCCGCACCUUCGAUUGUACGGGAACUUCGGGGCCUCUGAAACCGAAUGUCCCCCAACACCGCCGUCGCUUCUUCCCUUUCCUCCUCGAACCCCAAUCCUCCACGACUCGCAGGCGUUCCCAGCUCAGUCCCAUAAGCCGUCCAAAGCCCCACAAAUAGAAACUGAAGCAGCACCAUAAUACGAAAACAGCAUGGUUCUAGUCCCUCACGAAGCAAUCCGCUCGAUCUGCCGUCUCGAGCCGAACUCCGGAUCCAGUCAAAAAGAUUUAACUCCGCUCCGUACCUCCCGAACUGUGCGUUUGCCGCUGCAACGCACAACUUUGCCCCAAAUUCUACACCUAACAGCCUAGCUGCCGGUCCGCCGGGGGGCAACAACUGACUACGCACCCCUGUGUGCCGGACAUCCUACCACAUACCUCUCGCUGCCAUUAAAUCCUGAAACGCAAACAAUCGUCAAUUACUUAACCCAACACUUCUUCGCAGUAGAAACGAUACAAAUUAAUUACGUAAAUCAACGACAGCUCACCAAGUGAUCCCCGUCAUACUUCAGCAUUGGUGUCGCCAGCCAAACAACGCCUAAGCCCAAGGACAGAAUCAACUCAACCAUCGCUACAACUAUUUACAAGACCGAACACCAAACUUCAGAACCCAACGAAUCAACUUCCGCGCGCUGUCAAAGUUCACAGCGCACAUCUCGCAGCACCUAUAAUCCCUAAGUUCACCAUCCAUUGAGUCCACAAUCCAGCCAUACUCUCUCUUUGCCGCUCUCACACGUCUGAUGACACACUGGUCAGCCCCCAGCCCCGAGAUCCGGCUAAACCAUUCUACGGUUCGCAGCGCGACGACCGCAGCGACAGCACUACCCCCUGCCCACACCAAGCUCAAAGACUAAUUGUGAAACAAUUCCCAGAAAACAACAUGAAGCCAUACACAACAGUAACAACAACAAGAGCACGAUAUCUAAUCAACGACGAAAGCAUCACAAUUAAAAAACUAUUAAUCAUUAACUAUACAAUUCAAAUCAUCCUUACAUCCCAUCUCCAAGAGUAUACUGACAAUCACCCAAAAUCCUCACCACUAUACACUCAUCUACUCCACAUAGGUACAGGUAACCAUAAUCAUAAGGAAUAACCUCUGCGAAAUCACUAGUGCCAGCCUUCGCGAUCCUCACCAGCGACCGAACUGGGACCUGCAACAUGGGGAGUAGUAACUCACAAUUCCAGGGGUUGGCUGCCGCCGGACUCCCGGGCCGAUCUCCCCACUAGUCUCAAGCAGCAACGAUAAAUCAUGACAGACAGAUAGAUAUAAUAAAACGAAAGCAUACAUAAUAAACAACUAGAACUAAAAUCAUCAUGCCCAAUCACAUAGAUCAAUGUAAAUGGGACUCAAUGAAAAAGCGCUACAUNNNNNNNNNNNNNNNNNNNNNNNNNGACUUAAAUCCUUGCUUUAAGUAUUCUAAUAGCCUCUAAUAGCUUUGUUAGUCAUGUUUUAUGUAUGCAUUUAAUUUUGAGAUUAUUUUGAGGUUAAUUGCAAUAUUAGGCUCGAAUCGGUUUUAUAUAAAAUAAGGUUUGAUCUAAUUUGACUCUCGUAAACCUAAUUUGCUACGUAAACUGAACAGCUUGGCGAAGUCGGUUGUGGCGAUUCGUCACGUUGUAAAAGUUAUUAAAGAAACGGACGUUUAGGCUCGUUUCCCGGCUGGAGGGGAGCGACAUCGUAAACCAUGAAAACGGGAUUGAAGCCACCGGACAAUAACCGAAGACGCUUUAAUUUUCAGAUCGUGAAAUUGGGAGCUGUUCGGUGAUCGGUGCCAGAUCGGGCCAAAACCGGGUUAGGCCGGCCACCCGGGGACGCGGAGGCCGGAUUGCAAGUUUCGACAAGCAUCGGAAAGCGCAUCGGUGUGGUGCUUACCGAACGACGUAGUGCCCCUUUAUGUCUAAAACAUACAAAUUAUAUUGAUGAUGUUAAUAAAAUGAAUAGCGUAAUGACAUGCUGGACAAAUGAUGCAAAUGCUAGAGUUAGAAUCAUGAUGUGUGAUAUAAAUGAUGCUAGUAAAUCCAUGAGGUAAAUGGCAUUUGCAUGUUAACGAUAAAGUAGAAACAUCUAGUUUUAGAUGCAUUAAUGUAGAUUAAAUGCUAAAGAGGCAUGAGAUGCUAAAGUAUAAUACUACUUUGGAUGAUGAUUAUAUGUAUAUUACAUAUUAUAUACUACAGUAAUAUAGGUGCAUGUAAUGACAUAUUGUGGAGUUAACAUAUUUGGAUGUUAAAGUAGAAAUAUACAUUGAAUGAACAUUAUAUGUCAUAUGAUAGAAGAAUUAUGCAUGUUGCCAUAUUAUGUGAACAUGAGUGAUGAAUUAUGGAUGUUGAACUUGUCGAUAUUAGAGAAAUUGACUUGGAAAACAAGACAUAUCGUGAGCAUUAAUGUAGUACUAUUUGACACUAGAAGUUGAACUAGGGUAUACGGUGACAUCUCUUAGAUAAGGCCUUGUGAUAAAGAACUUAGCUACCUAAGCAUCUCACUUGAGAGGAUUUGAUUAGGUUGAUUGACUCCAAGUUGCUAGAGCAUCCUCACUUGGAGAGGAUUCGAUUGGUUUUGACUCUAGUUGUUAAGCCUCCUCACUUGAGAGGAUUUGAUUGGGUGUUGCCCUAGUUACAGUGUAUACACUCACUGGAGAGAUAGUUACUCACAGUCUCGCGUUAGGUGUUAUAGAGCCAUCCAAUUCCCACACUGAGUGGUUUCGUCGAGACUGGUUCCGGAGUGUCGUGCGACUAGGACCACUUGGAGUUCAGACCCACAUGGAGUCCGCAGAUCCGGCUUGGUGCACUUGGAGCUCCCUACCCCACUUGGGAUGAAACGUGAGUUUUGCGAACCUAGGCUUCGCUAACAGAUUGGGUAAACAGACUGAAGCAAUGCAUUGUAACAUAAUUAUUCGAACAGAUCGUAUUUUUAGCGAUGAAUAGGAAACCUUACUAUUUGACUGCAUGCUAUAGUUUUAAUUGAUCCCAGUUGAGUGGAUUUAGGCGCAUCAUGUGAGAACUCCGUUCACUUGAGCACUGGCUUUGUGCGGUAUUCGGUUAUAAUUGACCUUCAAGCGGGUCGAGGGAUCAGUCCUUAUAAAACAGGUUAAACCCUAUGAGCAGAAUAUAUAAUUGACAGCUAAUCAGAUAGAGGAAACUAGAAGUCAAUGGUUAUACUGUGAAUCACAGGAAAUGAAAGUUAUAUGUAUCGAUUGCAACUACUAGUUGGUUCUUCAUGGUUGCAAAACUGCAUGAUUUCAUAUUGCAUAUUGUGGGCUACAACAUGUUUCAUACUGGAUAUUAAAUAUAUCGUUGGAUAUCUGCUACUAACAUGUUGCACGAGGGCGCUCCUUGACCUACUAUCGGUCGAGCCUUUUCCCUUGGGUGCCGUACCCACUCGGAACCAUGAUUUGGUUCUCACCCCACGUUGUUUGGAUGUUUCAGUUCGCGACGUGAGCGGCGCGGCGGCGCAAGCGACAGGCCGAAGGGCGUAGCUCCAUAGAUAGCGCCCUACCCCAGAGACCAGAGAUAGAAGUACCCCGAGUCGGCAUAGCCUAGGGGUAGAGGGAAAGAAAAAGAGCAAACUUGUAUUAAUAUUGCGAUCAUUGAUUGUAUUUGGAAGAAAAUGUAAUGUAAUAAUGCUAAUGUGAUGUAAAAAUGAACCUAAUGAAUGCUUGUAAUAACAUAGGAUGUGUUAUGUUGUUUGAUACCUUCCUUAUGCAAUCUUGCUUGAAUACUGUUCCUGGUUGGAACUUCUUAUACUUGUAUUGAUUGCGACGCCUAGGACGUACAGGGGAGACUCUGUCCGUUCGGCGGUCUGUUGGCGGCGCAGCUACCUCGGCCAAAUAGGCGGGUGGUUGCGGGUCGUGACAACACUAGUUUCCAAUAUACUAGGUUCUUAUUCACAUAGAGAUAUUCAUCACAUAUAGGGUGAACUAUCUCAUAGUAUUCCACUCAUGCAUACUAGGUUUUCAUUCAUUGUAUCCACAACCUAAAUCAUCCCUAGCAUGCAAGGAUAUGCACAAUUACAUUUAACACCCUAUAAUACUAUAUCGCAAUAUGUAAAUGAUCGACAAUGAUACUCAGACAUAAAGAGCAGCCCAACUGCUUCGGGAUGGCACUCCCCCACCUCGUGGCGAUGCCGUGACUCUUCAAAUGUGAUUCGCCGACACUUCGACGCCUCGAUGGCCUUCCAGGCAAGAACGGAGCUCCGAGGGUUGCCUUUGACAAUAACUCCGCACCCACUCGACGGAUCGACAAACCGUCUUCGCCGACGCGUUCAGGGACCUGGCAAUUAGGUUUACAACCUCUCAAAUUAGAUCAAAACCUUAGAUUCACCAAAAUCCCAAAUCGAAGCCCUAGAUCUCAAUACUGAAGAAAUCCGCGGUGCGAGCUUCUAUUUCGAGCUCGAACCUUCUCCCUAGCUUCAAUAGGUUCCAUUCGAACCAUUUCUAAACCAUAAAACCCUAGUUUACAAAAUCCACCAUUAAAGGGUUUGAGGCUUACCUUCAAAAGCUUAGUCCAAGAAGAAGAAGUAGAUGAGGAAGGUGAUCUUCACCUUUGUCUUCUUCUUCUCUUACUUUUUCUCCUUCCUCUCCUUUCCUUUCUUCUCCUUUCUCUCCUUUCCAUUCUUCUCCUUUCUCUCCUUUCCAUUCUUCUCCUUUCUCUUCCUUUCCUUCUUCUUCUCCUUCUUUUCCUUUCUAGAGAGAGAGCAAAAAGAGUGUGAGAGGGAGAGAACAACUGAGAGAGAGAAAGGGUCCCCCAAGCCUUCAUAUAGGCCAUAUUGCAAAUAAGCCCCUCAGCUUUCCAUUCUCUGAAACAGCCCUCACUGGGCCAUUUUCACAGUGAGGGACCGGUCCCAGGUCGGGGAGACCGGUCCCCGAGAGCUGCAAUUUCGAGCAGAGGGGUUUCCGCGUUUGGGAACCGGUCCCUGCCUGAGAGACCGGUCCCCGGGAGACCGGUCCUUGUCCGAGAGAUCGGUUUCCGAAAGCAACACUUUCGGGACUUAGCCAAAUUUCGGCUAUUCUCGCUGGGCUAACGCUCGAGAACCGGUCCCUGCCUGCCAGGGACCGGUCUCAUUAGAGAACCCCGUAGCCUAGCCCGAUGGGACCGGUCCCUCCCUGCCAGGGACCGGUUCCCGAGAGCAUUUCUGCCCCAGUGCAACUUUUGCACUGGUGCUCUCGCGGACAUUUCCUCAAUGCACUUUAUGCAUUCUAAGUAUCUUCGGACUUUCCGAAGUUUACACACUCGACAAUUAGUCGAUUCCUAUCGAAGUCUAAUCUCCAGAUUCGAGAAUUCACUUCCCUUACACCACGAGCCCGAUUCGCUCUAGAAUUUCAUAGGGCCCAAUAUAUCGGGGACUAAGCUUCCCCCGAAGAACAAAUCGCUUCACUCCUUUCAUAGGCGACACCUUGAGAAACACUCGGUCGCCAACUGCAAAUUCUAUGUCCUUCCGGUGCUUAUUCGCAUAGCUUCGUUGCCAGGAUUGUGCCAUCAUCAGCUUCUCACGAGCAGUGCGGACCUUUUCUUCCGCUUCUCGCACCACAUCUGGACCAAGGGGGACUCUUUCACCCACUUCGCUCCAAUGGAUAGGAGAACGACACUUUUGUUAAGGAUUUUAUAGGUUGGCGGAUUUCGUAAUGUUGAAUGAAGUCUUGAAGAGUUGGUUGUGGAAGAUUGAAGAAAAGAUCUAAAUUGAAGGAAAAAGACUCACUCGUAAAGUUCGACACCUAAGGUAUGAGGAAAAGAUCAUUUGUGGCUAACUCCAUCGGAAGGCGUCACGAAUCCUCGGCUUCACCGCGAAAGUCCACACGCCCGAACUCUAUUCCGGAGCUUGUAGAAUCUGAAGAUUGGUUGAUGAUUGUACCUUGAUACCAUAAGCUGAUGAGGAGUUUUCUUCUAUCAACAUGCAACUUGCAAUUCUCGAAGAAGAUCUCGAGUAAAAUCGUAAGAUCACGUCGGAUUGUUGAUUUUCCCGAAUUCGUGAUGUGAAUAGAAAUCAAUCAAACGUAAAAACAAGGUUUCAUCGGGUUUUAGAAUCAGUAAAUAUUCAAGCCUUAAACUUUUAGAUAUCCCAAUAGCUUAUGUUUAUAUGUUUAGAAGACUUAGCUAGAGUUAGCAGCUAGGAUUGCAAAAGUCCUUUCUGAAACCUGUGUCGUCCUCAAGGAUCGGUCUUCUCGAGAGACCGCGUGUCUGUGAGACGACCGUGUCUCUCAAGUGAGGAACGGGUGCUCGCUGUCGGUGACCAAAUCAGCAACGUUCAGGAACGGUCUCUCAAGCUUGGAGGGCCCCUUGCUGCGCGACAGAAAAUACCAGGUUCGGGAACCGGUCUCUAUCUCGGGACGGUUGCCAUCAAAGCUCAUUGUAAUUGAGGACCUUAGAGAACCGGUCUCUUGACCUCAGGGACCGGGUCCCUGAACACAGAAAAGGUUCAGUAUAGUAUUUUUAAAACAAUCUAAUUGCCUUCUUGAACUUAUUCUAGGUUCAAAUAUCUCACCANNNNNNNNNNNNNNNNNNNNNNNNNNNNNNNNNNNNNNNNNNNNNNNNNNNNNNNNNNNNNNNNNNNNNNNNNNNNNNNNNNNNNNNNNNNNNNNNNNNNUGUACCGGCGGUACAGCAAGCAGAAAAAGGGUGUGCAAAUCUUCGCCAUUUGAUUGCAAUUCUCACUUUAAAUUCCAAGACUCCUUACUUUUCCAAAAACUUGUUACUAACCUUUAGAACAUGUAGGAGUGAUCUCACGACCAUUCCACAUACUCGAACUCCGCAUUGCGAAAGUCCAGUUAUAUAAGCCUAAUGCCUGUGGUUGGUAGCCCAGACAAUCACUACUCUUGGAAAUGUGUCUUUCCACUCGACCGCUAGUAUAGAAUUCUCAAUAUCGGCACGAGCGUACAAAAUGCACUAGGCCAAACUCGGAGAUGCGGCCUUGUGAGGGAGGGAGGGGGAGCGACACCUCAACAAGCAUGAUGCGGAAUGAAGUACAAAUGGCAAACAAGACAAGGUCACCGGUCUCAAGUAACCAACUCCCUUCAUUGUCUCUAACAUGGUAUAGUCAUAGUUAUCCCGCAAAAAUCUAAGCUCAAGUCAUAAUGUGAAGUCAAACACACAUUGCUUAGUGCCAUCUUUAUGACACUUUUAAGCUCACAACUAAUCAUGUUCCAUUAAGACAUUAACAUUAAUUGCUCACUAUGCCCGGGCCAAUGCCCUUCAUGACUUGGCCCAAUCUCACAUAUAUCCUAAGUCCUAAGCCUCUGUAGGCUUUCAAAAAUCUAAUGUUAAUCUGGUAUAUGGUCUUGAAUGCCAUGAAGAAGGUUGUUUCGCAUAAAUAGGGAUUACAAAUUUCAAAAUCACUAUGAAUGCUAGGCCACAUGCAUGCUCUCUACUAUAAAAGAGGGAUCCCAACAAUUUUACCGUACACUAACCUAUGCAUGUUAAAUUUAAAAUUUAUAAUAUAAUACAUAUAACCAGAUAUGCAUGCUUUUUCAAUUUACGGCACAAAAUUAGACAAAUGAGAAUUUUUCUCAUUGUGUAGGCUAGGUAAAACCCACCGAACCGUUCGGUAAGGGGUCUCGAUUCGGCGAACAAAGUCUGUCCACGAGCCUAAGAUACUCCGCUAAAAAGUAAUGAGCGACAAGCAUACUACGGGCAUUACUGAUCAUCGGCAUAAUUUAUCAACUUUACACAAAUUUAGCAAAAGGGCUAAAACUCACAAGCGUGGAAAAACUUCGCAAGCUCAAUAUGAAGCUAAAUCCCUUUUCCAAUCAGCCAAGGAAGUUCCUAAGACCAAUCAAUUACAUCAAAGGCCUAGAUAAAAUGCCAAAAUAUGAGCCUUAAAACCAAUUAUAGGGUUUCAAAACAAUAAAACCUCAAAUCAAGUCUAGAUGGAGAAAGGGCUACCAACCUCUAAGAGAAGCGGCCAACGAAGCUCAAGAUGAAGAUCUUCCUUUGGCAACCAUCAAGUCAGCUUCAAGGCACCAGGAAGAUGGAGAGGGUCGAGGAAUGAUGCUCAAAAAAAAAAAAAAAAAAAAAAAAAAUGUCCACUAGUAGCUUCCACACUUUUUUUCCCUCCUUCUCUCUCUUCUUUCUUCCUUUUCUUCUUAACAAGGGGUAUGGAGGGAGCCUGUGAGGAGAGAAAUGAGAAAGUACCGCAGAGGGUGGAGGGGUCAUAUAAGACCCCUUAAAUGUAAGACAAAAAUUCCAACCAGGCCCCUCAAAAAAUCCAAAAUUUGCAACAGCCACGGACUGGCAGUUUCGCUAAGAGGGACCGGUCUUUGCUCCCAGCUAGACCGUCUCUCGCUGCGAAACCCGAAACCAGCGUUCGGGAACUGGUCUCUCCCUGCGCUGGACCGGUCUCUCACUGCGAGACGUGCAGUUCGGGAACCGGGUCUCGCCUGCCAGGGCACGGUUGCUCAGGCUGCGCUCAAACAUGCUCACUGGGGAACCGAGUCUCUCUUCCAGGGACCGAUCCCGAGAGUUAAAAAACUCUCAAGGACUUGUCCAAAGUUCCAGGCAUGUCUCGAACUUUUCGGGUCGGGGGGACAUCUAGACCUUCCUCCCAAGUGUGGAAAAGCUCAAACACAUCCAAACCACUCGAACCUCGCAAUUUGUAAAGGAUCCGAUGCUGGUCACAGGUACGACCAUUAAGGGUACCGGUACACAAGCCUGCGUGAGGCUAAUCGAGAGUACAUCCAACAAUCCACUUUUUGUGGGAUUUUGGGUACGGGUUUAAACCCUCGAUUCUCGGGGUGCGAGCAUAGGUUCGUAGAACACUGUCUACGACCCUCAGAAAGUCUGAAUAGCUCGGCACAAGAUCAAACACCUCCGCACCACUCUCGAUUUGCAUAGCGGUCCAAGUGGGUUACAUAGAGAAGGAAUGUGUCUUUUAUAAAGAUAACCCUGAACACUCUAAGCGAUAGUGUUCAUCGGGGAAAGAGCUGAGGAAGUUUGACGUGUACUGAAGAUAUGAGUCACGAGAUGUUGAAUUCCCGAGGAGGAUUUUCCUUAUAGGACGGUGAGCGUUUCGAAAAUGAAAAUCUGAGUUCCAUGAAUGGAUGGGACUUUGCAUUAGCGCUUCUAUUCGCUCAGUGAGGCAGAGAGAGCCUACAGAACUCGCUGGGGAUACGUGUGGGGAGCGAUUUACCUUUAGAUGGGAGGCUCAAUUCGAGGGCGCGCAACGUGAUAGGCAUUCCCCGAUCGUCGUUUGAGAUUGAGGAGGAAGCUUUUCAAUUGGUUGCUGCACUGUUUGUGACUGAGCCUAGAUCCUUCAAGAGGACUCUUCAUUAACCCACUUAUAAGGAAUGGAUGGAUCAAUGAUGGAGGACCAUAGAUCGAUGAAGCGUAAUCAUGUCUGGACUGGGGCUUGACUGCCACAAGGCGCCAAAACAAUUGAAUCAAUCGGGUUCUCUAAGAUUAGCCAAAAGCAGAACAGUUCUAUCGAUGAGGUAAAAGCUCGCCUUGGUACACAAUGGGUUUACCCAACGAAGAAGGCGUGGAUUACGAGGAAACGCUUUUCGCCUGUCGUGAGGUUUGCUGUCGAUUCCGCUUAAUCCUUGGCCUUGUCACGUAUUUGGAUUUGGACUUUUACCAAUAUGCGACGUUCAAAACCUGCAAUUGCUCAUGGCGGAAGAUCUGGAUGAGGAGAAUCUAUAUGGAUAAAUCAGCUACUUGCUCUCUCUGUAAAGGGUGGGCAGCAAUAAAGUUUGUAAGCUCAAACAUCCAUUCUUGGAUUGGAAAGCAGUCUCUCCUACAGUGGUAUAUCUCGAUGUCAUCGAGCAUCACUGAACGAUGAGUUUCGAUGAUUUGAAGAAGUCACGUGUGUAUGUUAACGGUCCAAAGAAUUUUUCUAUCCUUCUUUAUAUGUGGAUGAAUUUAUGGCUGGGAAUAAUAAGGAGAUGAUUGUCGCCACUCGACGGUGGAUGUCCCUAAUUUUAACAUGAAGGGCACAUGGGUGAAGCGAAUUAUGUGCUCGGAGUUAGAUCCUACGAGAUCGUUCAAGAACUUUUUGUCUGAUGCUAGAGACCUUUACCUAAGAAAAGAUUAUAAGAACGAAUUUCAGAUCAAAAUUUGCAAAACCAUGAAAUCCUAUUGGCUAAAGGUGAGAGUUUGGACCUACAGUGCCUAAAACUUUUGAGAGGGAAAGGACAAGAUGAAUCGGAAUUCAUAUGCUAAUGCGCUGGAGCUUGAUCGUAUGCUAUAGAUGUAUAUCCGCCAGCCUGAUCAUAUGUAUGCGUGGGCUUGUUAGCCAUUUUCGAGUCCAAUCUGGGAUUGGACCACUGAUGUGCAGGGGGCGCAGCAAGAAAAUAAUCUUGUGACACUAUCUAGAAGUCGACGGUGGUUUUUGGCUCAUGUUAAAAUUACUCUUGAACUCCACUUAGGAUAAUUGAUUGUGUAGACAGUCGAUUAUUUUUUUUUGUAAUUUCUUGGUUAUUUAAUUAACAAUUUAUUUAUUUUUGGAAAAGAUAUCUUUGUAACUUGGGUAAAUGCUUGUUAUUAAACUGAUUGAUAGCUAUGUCACAGCGCUGAUUGGCCUCUACACACGGCAACCUUCUUUUCGGCUGUAGAGAGCGGAGCGAAAAUUGAACGCAUUAGAUGAAGGUCCGCCUAUGGUUGGCACAGAUGAGCGUCAUUAAUGGCGGACCGCAUAACGAAUAGUCCGAUUCGUAGGGCUGCUAUGAGGGAGCGGAUGUGAGCUCACCGUAUUGACGUUUGAGAUUAGCGAGCAAAAUGGAGAACUCAGGCUAACACUCCAGGGGCAGUGAUGAGCUAAGAUCCGGCCUUAUGACCUUGAGAACGACAUACGCUUAUGUUGGAUUCUCUGUAUAGCAUUGUAUUUAUUUACUACAUGUGCUGGGCGGACUAAUAAAGAGAUGAGUGAAUGGGAUUCCUGCUUCCUCAUGUGUGAUUCUUACGGGAUUUUUUUUUGAGACGAUGUCCUGAUAUAUGAUAAUGCCCCUAAUGACUUUUGACAUUAUGUCUUUAAGUGUAAUACACUGGACUUUCGCAAAUUGCAGAGUUCGAUGUGUGGAAGAAGUGUGGACUAUUUCACAUGUUCUAAAUGCUUGGAAAGUGUUUGAAGUAAGUUAGAGAGGUGAUUGGAGGUUGUUUAAAGGAGAAAUUGAUUGAUCUUGAGCAGAAACUCAGGGUUUUCUGACUUGCUGUACGUCACAGCAUCACCUUCUACGGCUACGCAUUGGCAAGAUUGUCAUCGCGGCCAGCAGUGGCUUUUUGGUAUUUCACAUUAUGGAUCCUAUUAUUGACCCCAGCUCGACUGGGUGUUCAGAUAUGAUGUUUGAAGCUCAGAGAAGUGCUCUGUCUUCUCUCUUUCUCUCUUCUCUCUAGGGUUUCUCUCUCUUACGAAGAAAUCGUGAUUUCGCUCGUUUGUCGCGGCUUAUUCCUCGCUGUUGCCGCAGCGUCGCGAGAGCCCUUUGGACGUCUGUGAGGAGCAGUGUUUGACGGGUUUUCGCAGCCCUGGACCAGCAGGUCACUGGUUGGAAGCUUGAGAGUAAUCACUCACUUUCGCGUUGAUCGGACUUCCUAUUGCGAUGGUGAGUAAUAAUUUCGGCGUUUUUGAUUCUUGCUGUCGCUAGGCUGAGAUUUCAGCAUUAAAGAUGAGUUAAAUAGAUGUCGAAUUUAACUCCUUAGACCAAGGGGAUAAGUCUUUUAAAGGCGUUAAAUUGGAAUUAUUAGCCAUUUUUUGAAGUUGAAUUAGAACAAUUGACUUAUUUGCACGAUUCGAAUUGACUUGCAAAUUAGGAAUUACCUACUUCGCAAGCAGAAGUCUUCGAGCCUUGUUCAGCUGACUUGUACCCAUGCGAAGUUUGGUUUGGAAAUAUAUCUAACCUGACGGUAAGCUAGGAAUUUCAUGUGUAUAAAACUGAAUGCAAGAUUCGGACUAUAUUAUGCUAUUAUAUGUUUGAUAUUGAUGCCGUCUCGAUGUUGUUCGCCAGCUGAGAAGUAGCGAACGAGCUUUGGGCAUCGUUCGUGAGCUGACUUGUUGAGAGCUCUUGGAGCGGCGUCUGCUUAGAGGUAUUACACUGUCCAAAACAGGGAUUUAGAUUACUUUGGUUUAGUGGAAUUUUAGGUCGAAUCGGAAUUUCGGCCGUAGAUUUAAUCGAUCUUGACGUCGUUUUUCGCAGCAGAUUGAGGUUCGUUGAGCCGUUGUGGACUUCUUUAGUGAGUAUAAUCGGAGCUAGUACUAGGUGGGUCGGACCUAACCGAGCAGUGAAGCCCUCUUAUGUUCUAUAUGUACUAUAUGAAAUUGAUUACAUGUUUACUUUUUUGUGAUUGAUACACAGAAAAUUGAGAACGAGUCACUUUAUAUGUAUUUGUGUUGAUAUGGUAUACAUAUGAUUGAAUAGAACCUCUAUGAAGUAGAGAGUACUCAUGCAUAAGUGUCUUUAUGCCUAUGUUUAUGUUCAUAUUUAGUUAAGAUAACUAAUGGACAUACUAAUGAUGCUUUAGUAGAGUAGAGAACAAUGAUAUUCUCGUGACUUUGUAGAGAACCAUGACAUUCUCUUGACUCUAACAUAGGGAACUAUGACAUGCUCAUGACUAUGUUGAUAGUGCCAUACUAGUGGAAAGAUUAUAAUGCUAUGUGAUUUAGCUUUACCCUUACAUGUUUACAAUCUAGUGGAUACUAGCUUUUGUUACUAUUCGUGUAUUGAUAUUCCGAUCAGAGGAUCGAGGGUUCUGAACUUUGUAUGUGAAAAUAUGAAAAUUGAGACAUGUGGAUAAUGGACUUUGCUCGCUUGCCAUCGUGCUCAUUCGCACACGCUUGUGAGGGUAGCUCCCUACAAGCCGGCACUCCGGAGUUGGCCUACGCGACAGUUGCUCGCCCGUGCGGGAUUGGGUGCCGAACUGGAUUGCCGUGGGGAGUGUAUACUACCACGGGGCCAUUAGGCGCGGCGCAAGCUGGGCUACCUUGAGUAGAUCCCUGUGAAUGAAAGGAAAGUGCUAAAGGAAAAUUGGACAGUAACGAAUAAUUACCAGUUACAGUGUACAGUAGUUACUUACACACUUAUGCUACGUUUAUGCUUAUAGUAGUAGCCAUGCUUCUAUCAUUCAGUUAAUUCAUUACUGUUGAUGCUAUGAUCACAUGUUGUUUACAUGUUCAUUAUUUGUUAACAUUGGCUUAUGAAUUGUUAGCAUUGAAAAUAUAUCAUGCAAAUUAUUGCUUUUAUUUCCAUUCUGUACAUCUCGAGCCUAGUGGUGUAAUUCGCCGAGGCUGGCGGCUUACCCACUGGGAACUAUUGUUAAUAGUUCUCACGCCCUUUUGGUGGUUGUUUUUACAGAGCCUGUUACAGGAGAGGCUAGGGAUCGUGGCAAGGGAGUCGCGCCUAGCUAGGGACUACUAGGAGCGUGCUAGUCGAUCACCUUGCUACUCGGACUACGGCCGAGGGUGAUGUCCCUUUGUAUAGAGAAACCACCAUUGUAUCUAUCCUAUUUUUGUAUACUCGUGAUGUAUAUGUACCACUUGGACCGUGAACUACAGUUGUGACACUUCUCUUCUGUCGAGAUUUUGGGUUUGUACACUUUUUGUUCUUUUGUUGAUAUAUAUCGACCUGUACAUUGCUCUGAUAUCAGGAUAGGACUUUCUUUGUUUUACUUCCUAUCGACUUGUUGCUUGUAGACGCCUUAUAUACUGCAGGUGUAUGGCGGGUCUGUGCACGUGCCGGAUAUGCUUCCGCUGGUACCCGGGCGUGACAUUAAGUGAAAGAAUUGAUGUUGCUACUUUGGCAUGUUUCCUACGGCCAUGAGUGAUGUGGCUUUAUGGGGCAUUGCUGGAAAAGCAAUCAGUUCUCAACUCAGUGGCAUGAGGGCUUAAGGAAGACUAGUUGAAUUACAUUAAAACACUUUGACUCAUUGUCGACAGGUUGUAUCGCUUCAGUAUAGCGAAACAAUCAUGAGUAUAGUGUCAUAAUGUGCGCAAUUGCGGUUAGCAUGGCUCUUUGAGGGAUUAGAGAUGCUGAACCUGAUGUAAUUCAAUGGUCUAGGGCAUCAGGAGUCUAAUAUUUUUUUUUUGAGGGUUGAUGUCUCUAUGCUGGCCGGAUGCGGUUUCUAGUAUAGAGCUCCCAAAAUGCAGGUUGAUUCGGCGGUCGCACUGUUCAUUUCCCUGUAUGAAUAGAAUUAAUAGUGGUGUGAUGUUGAGGAAGUGGUUACGAUGGCAUCGACCCCGUCAUGUGCGAGUGGGAGAUGUUGGCAUUCGGUUAAAUCGAAUCGGGUACGCCCAUAAGCGGGUUCGAUCCGACGGAUAUUAUGUUAUCUAAUUGGAUUGGAAUUAAUCUCGCUUUCAAAUUGAAAAGUUAUUUAGAGAUAAAUCCUAAUCAUAUUAGGAUAACAAUUUAUAACCGAUUUGGCCUUAUCUCUAACGCCAUAAGGAUUUUGGAAUUCCUUAUAAAUAUGCGGGCGAUCCCACAUAACGUAAUAUACGGAAAGAACGGAAAAAGAGAGAGAAUAAAAAAAUAAUAGAGAGCUGGUAUAAUAUAGUUUUAGCAGCAGUUAGCAUAACUGCUGGCUAAAAAACUGCUAGAACAAACCUUAUUUGUUGUAGUGAUACAAUGCUUCUUAUUCUACUCAUGCUGAUGACAAAAUUUGGACAGCAUGCUCCGCAUGCAACCAUUUACUUUCUUUCAUACCUUGAUAUAUGAGCAAAAUUUUCGCAUUUAAUUGAUAACUAAUGAUGUUGGGCAAACCUGAGCCUUAUAUAUAUAUAUAGAGAGAGAGAGAGUUGGGAUAGAAUACCAUUGAUAGCAAAAUGCCUUUUUUACCAUCAAGUUUUUAGCCUUUGAAUUAAUUGCUUUCAUUAUUUCUAACCAUUGGAUUAGAUAUUAUAACCCAGUGGGGACCACUCAACCCUAGGAAAACCAUUCAACUCUAAGUAACUAAUAUCAUCCUAACCCUAUAAUUUCCCAUCCAAUGGUUAAAAACUUGAUAGCAAAAAAGACAUUUUGAUAUCAAUAGUAUUCCAGCCUAGCUCUCUCUCUCUCUCUCUCUCUCUCUCUCUCUCUCUCUAUAUAUAUAUAUAUAUAUAUAUGUAUAUAAUUCUUCCACUUCUGCUUUCUCCAACUACAAUUUUUACUACUACUUUCAAUGUGGCUUGAAGCCUCAGUUUUCUGCUGAGGUGGUGUGUGCCUUGGUGUGCAGACCUUCUCCCUACCUCUCCCACCUUUUUAUUACCACGUCCACACCAAGCGGGAUGCGCCGCCCCGCCUUUCAUUUAAUGCGUUCGCACGCUGAACGCUUAUGGCCCGACCCUCUACAGUUCCUGCCCCCUCUAUGGCCGUCCUAUCGCCAUUGCAUCGUCGUCUACGUCGGCGCCAUGCCCGGCAAUGUCAUGUUGCGCUAACCGUACGGUCCCGGCUGUAAGGCCUCCUUCGCUCCUCCGGCCUUCGCUCCUCCGGGUUCGCGGUGCGUCCAGUCUCCCCCCUCCCCCACUGUCUCUGUUCGCUUCUUCCUUCCCUUUUUUUUUUUUACCCCUCUUUUUCCGACCCCACCUGCCUCGCUUCUUUUGUUUUCCCCCUUUUUUUUUUCUUGCCUUAGAUAAGGCAUUUCGGUACCGAGCAAGACUGCGUUGCUGUGCCAGAGGAAGGGUAGCUAUACUGAUUCGGUAUAGUCGAAAUACACCGUUGGUACAAAAUUGACGAUCUCACAAAGAUGCAAUAUCAGUAGUUUUCUAUUUACCGAUCCCAUCUUUCACGGAAUCGAUUCCCCAGGGUUGUUCUGUCAUUGCUUAGUUGUGUGCUGCCUGCUGAGUGCGGCCACUGUGUUGCUGCUUCUGUCACGUAUUUAUAUAGACCCUUGAGCACCCCUUCCCAUUCGGCUAAUUUGUCGUAAGGCGAUGAUGAUCAAUAAUUUAUGUUUGUUCCUUGAAAGGAUCAAUGAAAAUAUGAGUUUGUCCUGAUAAGAGGCGCUUCUCCUAUAUUGUAGCUAUUUCUAAAUCAAUAUUAAAUGUGUUAACGGCAAGGCAGCUUGGAUGGUCAAAGGCAACCGCUGCAGCCAUCAACACUUCAGCCAAUUAAUUUGUAUUCAAAGGGAAAAUCGCCUCAUGACAAAAGAAUAUAUUAUGAUCUGAGCAUUUCUUUACUAUUUUCAUUCUUGCCAUUUGAUAUGUAUCAGAACUUACAAAAAUGUUCAUUCUUACCAUUUGAUAUGCUUUAUGUAUUCGAACUUUCAUAUAUAUGCUUUAUGUAUUCGAACAUUAUUAUUUUGUUUUCAGCCAUAAUCAUGCUAUUGACAGUGAGUUGAUUCCAAUUAUUCAUCUUAAUUUUCAACUAUCUGCUCGACAUAAUUUUAACUUCACCCUGAUUUUUUUUCCUUACAAUUUCUUUCUCACGCAUUUGUGAUUUUUUCAUUCUUCACCUAUACAAAUGGCCCGCGGCAAUGCGCGGGACCUACACUAGUUGUGCAUGAUGAUAGACUUAUCAAACAGCCCUAUACACAUCUAUAGUCCUAUUUAGGGCACCUAAAAUCACGCAAAUUGUGCAUGGUGAUAGAUUUAUAUGCCUUGCCUUGCAACCCGGAACAACGGUAGUUUAUCUUUUUAUUUUAUAUAAAUUAGUGUCAAAUUUAUUGUUCAAAAACAACAACUAAAAGAUUUAUUCGAUAUAUAAAACAAAUCAUCGAGCGACAACAUGCUUUGCAUGGUUCUGAUUCCACUGUUAGAAAUUAUUUACCAAAUUAUGAUGAUAAAUUAUAUAGAUUUUUGCAAACCUUUUUGCUGCAGAAUUAAUGUUGCAAUUACUAGAAUAUGAUAUCGUCUUGUUUUACAAACUCCUUGAUCCGCUUAGAAUCUGUCUCAGAAUUUGUCUCGAUCUUUAGCACGUAUGUCGUUUUCAACGUUGUUCUUUCUUAUUGCAAUCUGACUAUCAGAGUCGAUCGCAACGCACCGCCCAAAUCUCUAGGAUUUUCAAUAAUGCUCUAGAGUGAACCCAAAAGAGAAAAUUUUAGUGGAGAGAUUAUUUUUAUUUUUCUUAUUUUUUGUAUGUAGCCAAUCCCUCAUAUACUUAUAGGCCAUGGGCCAUAGGAAGAUAUUAAUUCUAAUCCGAUUCUAACUAAAUUUCACAGGUAUAAGGAUUUAAACAAAAUAAGAUUUAUCUUUUUGAAUUUAUUUCUUAUCCUAUGCAUACUAGAAAUAUUUUAGAUAAGUUUCAAUAUGGACGAAUUCUAACACUAUAUUACAAAGAUCCUCCAUAAGCUCAACCAACUAUCAGAGAUUGGACAUGCCACUGCUAGAUCGUAUUUGCCAACAACGUUAAGUUGCCUACUCUCUGAAAACACAUACCGUUAUACAGGGUACGUGACAGAAUGAAAGCAUCCAUGAUGAGUCGCCAGCCAAAUUAUGAGAAAACGUAGAUAAAAUUAGAAAUUAACAAACUAAAGGGGUGUUUGCCCUAGCUUUUAAAAAGUGCUUUUGGGCUGAAAAGUGAUUUUCGGCUCAAUGGAGCGUUUGGCAACUCAUUUUUAAAAUCUGAUUCUGUUUUUCAGAAUCAGAAAACUGAUUUUGAAGGCCCUAGAAUUAGAAACAGAAAAAAGCUGCUGCUUGAAAUCUGAUUCUGAUUUUGGAUUUAAACUUCAAAUUUUUAUUUCUAUUUUUAUUUCAAUAUUUAAAUUUAAAUUUAAUUUUAAAUUUUAAAUUUCAGAUUCAUUUUUGAAUUUUUAAAUUUUAACUUUCAAAUUUAAAAUUUUGAAAAAUAGAUUUAAAACUUUAAAUUUUAAAUUUUAAAUUUAAAUUUCAAAUCUCAAAUUUUAGAUUUUAAANUUUAAUUUUAAAAAUUUAAAGUUUUAAUAUGUUUUAAAUUUUAAACUAUAAAAUUAAAUUUUUUAUUAAAUUUUAAAAUUUUUUAAAUUUUAAAUUUUAUUAAUACUUUAAAUUUUAAAUUUUUAUAUUUAUAUUUAAAUUUUUAUAUAUAUUAAUACUUAAAAUUUUAUAUUUUAAAUUAUAUAUCUUUAAAUUUAAUUUUCAUUAUAAAGUUUGAAAUUUAAACCUUUAAUUUUAAAUUUUAAAUUUCAGAUUUAAAUUUUAAACUUUAAAUUUUUAUUUUUAUAUUUAUUAAUACUUUAAAUUUUAUAUUUUAUAAUUAUAAAUUUUUAUAAAAAUUUAAAAUUUAAAGUUUUAAAUUUUAAAUUUUAAAUUUUAUUAAUACUUUAAAUUUUAAACUUAUAAAUUUUAUUAAUACUUUAAAUUUAAAAUUUAUAAGUUUAAAAUUUAAAAUUUAAAAUUUUAAUUCAAAUUUAAAUUUAGAUUUUAAAUUAUUUUAAAAUAAAAUUUAAUAAAAAUAUUAAUUUAUGCAAAUACCAAAAAAAAUUUGCCUGACAGUUUUUCAAAAUCACUUCAGAAAAAUCAUUUUUAUCUAAACUCUGCCAAGCGCUCUACAGCUUUUUAACAAAAAUCACUUCUCCAAACCAAAAUCACUUUUUCAGAAGGUAGGCCAAACCGGCCCUAAGUGACGGAGUUGCUCUGUUACUAAUCCUACGAGGACAAGUAAGCUGAACAACAUUAACAAUGCUGUUUCUAUCCAGGAAAACCAUAUAAGAAGAGGCAAAUGUAAAUUUUUUAAAACGUGAUACAACAACAGUAAUAAAUAGGAGCAUUUUUCACGACAGAAUGUCUCUCGGGCUUGCGCACGCCCCUCCUAAGUGAUGAGGAAAACUUUCCGUACAUCCGGAACUCCUCUUCUUCUGUAACGGGCCAAAGAAAAUAAAAAAAUUUCGGUGUAGCAGUCUUUAGUUUUCUUUUUUCUUGUUGCUAGAAAUGUACAUCGUGGGGUCUUUUGUUUCUUUUCCGUAAAUGUGAUUUAACUGUCAUGCCUGACUGGUGAAACAGGGAUUAAGGAACUACCGUUUCUAAAACAUGAGGAACAGUUACAGCACGAAUGAAGAUUACAAAUCAAACUUAAUUAAAAUUGCGAGCUUCGGUGCUGUUUGCAAAGCAAAGUUGAAAAUGUGAUAACUCAAAAACGCAAAAUAUUCUCUAGACGCAAUGUAUAGAUGUUUACAAAAGAUCCUGCAUAGAAACAGCAUGCAAAUUCUUAGCAAAAGAAAGGAUCCAGGUGCUGUUGCAAUAGAGUAUUACUGAAGGUGUGUACUAGAAACACGAUGCAGUUUCUAAGGUUGAUAAUGGAAAAGAUGAAAAUAAUAAUAAUAAUAAUAAUAAUAAUAAUAAUAAUAAUAAUAAUAAUAAUAACAGACUAUAUUUUGGCACAUAACCAAGACUUAAAAAGGUGUUUAAAGCAUCAGAGAACUCAACUUAGUGCUCUCUGUGCUGUAAAAAUUAGGCUGUUAAAACAAGGUCCGCACUAAACCUGACCUAGUUAGAUUAGUACUACCACUAUUACAUGAGAAUAUGCUUUCAAGCAUCGUUUCAAAGAAAAAUACUUACAUAAAUGCAAACACUUUGUUAGCCUUCCACCCAAGCAGAUCCAAUAUGAGCGAAUGUCCAAUUAACCACAGAUCCAAUUUUGGCUGCAAGCAUUGGAGAUACCAUCAUAUGAUUCAUUUGUAAUAUGCCUGCUCUUAGAGAAUUGCAUACUUAAGGAGGUGGUGGGGGAUCGGCCGACAAUGUACCUUCCAAAACCUUAACUACUUCCCCCAUCGAGGGCCGAAGCCGAGCAUCAGACUGGACACACCAAAAUGCGAUCCUCAACAUGCGUUCAACCUCAUCUACAUCAAAUUUAUCCCUAAUUCUCGAAUCCACAAGCUCCACACCUCGCCCCUCUGCCCACUCAUUAUGGGCCCAACAACAAAUAUUAGUGCCAGCAUGGCGUCCACUCACCAUUCUCAGUAUCAUCUCCCCAAAGCUCGCCACAUCAGCCUCAGCACCUUGCUCACUUUCGCUUGCCUUGCCGCUCAUUCUCUUCAAGCCAAAUUUUGUCACCUUUGCUUCGAGCUCUUCAUCCAGAAGCACAUUCUCCCAUUUCAAGUUCCCAUGAGCGACAAAUUCCCUGCAGCCAGAGUGCAAGUAGGAGAUGACUUUUGCCACUCCUACGCAUAUCUUUACCCUUCUUCUCCAUGUCAGCCUCCUGCUGAGUUUAGCUUCUGUAAUCCAUUUAUCAACUGAACCAUUCUUAUGAAACUCGUAUAACAAGAACCUUCGGUCGGAGCAGCAACAGUAGCCCUCCAAUUUCACCAAAUUCUUAUGGUGAAUUCCUCCUAAAGCAGAAAUCCAAGACCUAAACAGUUUCUCUCCUAUGAUUUCCCCACUUUGCAUCGCAUAUUUUAACUCCCACACUACAACAACUUUGUUCGACAGAAGCACACCUUUGUAUAGAUUUGUCCCAAGCUGGUCCUUGAAGUUACCGGUGAUAUUGAUCAACUCCGAGUAUGAUAAUGGAACCAAACCAAUAGAACUAGGACAAGGGCAGUAUGUUGCUCCCGUGCUCUUAACCUCAUUUUUUCUCUUCCAGAGGAAAAAAAGAAUACCAACUUGGAUCGCCACAAAUGCAAGGAGUGCGCCAGAUAUUGGUCCAAUGAUAGAAGGUAUGUAGAAUCUCUUGAUCUCUUUGUUUAAAGGAGCAGUGGAAGGAGAAGAUGCAGAGGCAUUUAAAGGAAAUGCGGCAAGUGGAUCUAAACAGAUCUUAACAUACGAUGUGUAUGGUAAGGAGGGGUUCCCAUGACCCGUAAUGAAUCUGGUCUUUUUGAUACGGCACUGAGCUUCACCGUCGUUGGUUGCAGUAGCAGCCAUGCAAUUAGGAUCUUGCAAGCACAAGUCCCUGCACUGCCUAGCACUGGACUGAAUAAUAGAAUCUUGUGGUGGAUAAAUACCGUACAAGAAAGUAUGCUUAAAUGCAACCAUAGUUGUUCCGGAGCUGCAAUGUUGAUAGUAUGGAGCCAAACAACUAGAAUUUGCAGCUAAACUUGAUGACCCGAAAGGGCAUUUACAGGUUGCAGUCCCCACUUGGGACAACGUGCACACCCCAGAUAACCCACAAGUAGCAAAGACGUUGCACUGGUUGGCCACAGCUUGCCACACCUUUCUCCAUAACUUUGAAGAGUCAUCCCACGAGUACAUUCGCAAAUUCCCAUCAGCAUCUAACCUUAGAAACCUAAAGACGACAGAGGAAUCGUUAUGAUCAACUGCAAACAUCGACCACACCGGCCUCGACAUUUGGUCGACUAGUUGAAAUGAUCCUUCUCUUGUGACGACAGCAGCGAGAGUGGGGAAUGUAGGGGCGACUUCAGCUUUCCAGUAAGUGACAUUCGUCUCCCAGCUGAGUUUCAGCAUGCCAGAAGCAUCCAUAGAUAGCGUAUAAUGACUCGAUACAGAAUUUCGGCUAGCAGCUCGAAGGGUCUCAAAUACUGUCAAAUUCUGGCCUGGGAGUAGCGUAUCAGUAGGUGUUCUAAAGCUUUGCCAAAUAACAUUGUGGUUUUGACCUAAGAGAACAAGAUUACCAUCAUCUAAGAGACUAGCAGAAGAUACAGAGGAGUUGCUAGUGUUGCUACUCCAAACAGUUGCCGCUGUUAAAGAGUCGAACAGAAUGAGGUCUCCAGUCUCAGUAAGGUGAAGAUAUGAAUCAGAACCGACAGAGAUUCCAGCUCCCGCAACCCAUAUGCGAGCUUGCUUAUCUGAUGGGAUUGAGGCUGAGCUGAAACGAAUGCCGACGCUGUAUUUGUUAGGGUCGUUGGAGUUGUUGAAGAAACCUAGGGCAAAGUUCCCAUUUGAAGAAACCCAGUAGUUGUGGUUUGAUGCAAACAGCUUGGAAUCUAGAGGGAUUUGCAAACCUUUGAUAUAAACUACGAAAAGAGAUAGUACUAAGACAAAGAACCGACAUGAUAUUGGUUUGAGCAUUUUGACAUCUAUGGCGGAGGUAAGAGUGGAAACAAUGCCCCCCUAAAAAAUGGGAUUUUAGAAUGCAAGGGAUGGAUACUAAUUUCAGCACUGAAAGAUCUUACAAGCUGGUUUUGAUGGUGAAUCAACACUCAUGAAGGUUAGGCAAUGUAGAGUCAAAGAGGGCAACAUUUUGCGCCUUUUCACCAGGUCUUUCGGCUUUUAGAAAAAGAAAAAGACCUUUUAGGUGGUGCCGAACUAAAUUAGCGUUCCAUGCACCAUGAAACUCCUAAGAACAAAAAAGAAGUAACAUAUAGAAAAAUUAAUAACACCCCCCCACAAGAAACAGAAUUGAAAAAAGAGUAGGACUUUGCAAGAGACAAGAUAUCCAAACUGGAAUUACAUGUUGAAUACCCAAAUUUAUGAAGUGGGCAUGUAAUGAGAACAAGCCUAAUUUCUUCUUCUUCCUCCUCUUGAGCCCUCAGAGCAGAAUCUUAGUGAAAGGACAGAUUUGAGAGCUAAAUGGUGGAAUUCUAAUGAAGCUCAAGAAAAUGGUUUGCCAAAAAUAGCACAUUAGGAAAGAAAAAGAAAUUAGAACAAUCAAAUCAGAAAUAUGGAGAACAGAAAUGGAUACUAGAAUAAAAUAACAAUGCCAGAUUUGAGAUUUGAAUGCUCAAAUCGAUGGUUGAAAAUGCUUACCUCCCGUUGAAGCUACUUGAGAAGGGAAAGAGAGAGUCGGAAAGGGAAAGCGAUGGGAGGGAAAAAUAAAAAAAAGGGGGAGGAAUAAAAGGAAAAAAAUAAAGAAAAUGAGGGGGUUUCAGAAAGAAUUUUUUUUAUAUAUAAAUAAUUGUGAAAGGGAAAUAGGAGGUGGAAUUAUGUGGGGGGUGAGGGUCAAAGGGAGUCCGCAGGCACAGUGAGUAAUUAAAGAAGCUCUGGAGGAAAGGCGGAAAGGAAACGGAAGAAAGUUGCGAGUGAGGUUUGGUAGGGGAAUGGGAUGGGGAGAGAAAGAGACUGUGGAUAGAAAAGAAGGAAGAAAAGAACGCGUGGGCUAGGGAAAAGGAUGUGAGGUGAAGAUAAAAAGGGAACGCGUGGGAUCGAAAAAUGAGAUGUCAGGUGAGGUUUUGCCUUUCAUAAACACAGAUAUACUCAUUGGUUUAGAGCGGAGAAAGGUUUAAUUGCAUUAUAUUAUUACUAUAUUUUACAGAUUUUUAUAUUUCCUAUCCUAUGCGAUUAUAUUUAAAUAAUUAAUUUUAUACAGAUACCUACAAAAAUCUCAAAUAGUAAAUAUAUUUUUACAAAAUUUAAAUUAUCAAAUUUAUUUUCUCAAAAAAUUUUUGAUUUGCAAAUAUAUCCCACAAAAAGUUUUGAUUCGUUCAUACAUGUUCCAGCCGUUUGAUUUAUUGUUAGUUUUUUAAUGAUGAGCGUAUAAAAUGACUAUUUUGUCAUUACAAUUUUGUUGAUGCAAAAUUUUUUUUUUUUUCUCUCUCUCUCCUUGCCUUCGCCGCAGUACGUGCGGCGUACUUUAUUUUUGUCACGGCCAAGCGCCUCGCCUUUGACGUUGCCGCUGCCAUAUGUGUCGUCAUUGUCUUGGAUAAAAAGGAUAGGGUAAGAAAGAUAACAAGAUUUAAUAUUUGUCAUGCCCCGGGGCCGAUUUUAAAAGCCUUUUUACAAUGAAUGCAAUUUUUGAAAUUAGAGUUACGAAAAACAUGUCAUUUCUUUCUUUUUUUUUUCAACCUGGCCUACCUGACUUACAGACCCGCUACAAAUAUAAAGUUUUUUUGUCCACUCGAACAAAAUCUCCUUUAUAUUUGCACGGCAUACCAACAAUACCUCAGGAUCACAACAACAACCUACAUUUACCAAUCCACAAUCAAUUCAUGCAAUACAUUUCCAUACAGCUAGCAAUCCUUAGAAAUGAUGCAUGCCUCUAAGCACUCCUUAGGCGCUGGAUGAUGCGAUGCACAGUACAACAAUCAUCCUAUUUAAAAGUGCUCCCCACUCGAAAACUUUAUUUUUAACUCUAUUCAUUCAUUUCAUAAAAAUCAUUCGAAAACCUUUUUAAAACUGUUUCCUACUCGGAAACUCUAUUUUGAAAACCGACAACCUCGAGGGGUAAAAAACCACGAUGCAUAAAUCCGGUACCAAAAAUCCGUAGAUCUCCAAUUGCAUGCAUAAAAGAAACACAUUAACUCAAACCAGUUCACAAGCAUCCAAACAUUCAUAGUGAUCAUCUAACUGAACCAUUUAAUUAUUAAAUUACUAAGUGCGAGAAUGAAACAUAACCAGGGUGAGGAUCGCUACUGCAGUCUAACUAGUAUGUCCUCCCGUCGCGCCAAAUGCAACUCCUUGCCCGAGUCACCUGAAAAAAUGGGGGGUGAGAAACCACAAUCAAGGUGUCACGCCUCGGGACCGAUACCAAUUUAGGUCGGUACCAAGUCCUUAUGUCUAACAACAUAGAAUAUGUCACAACUCUCUUAUAGGCCUAUCUCUAUGUCAUCAUGUCUAAAACAUGAAAAGUAGUAGAUGUCCAUGGCCUAUCUCUAAGUCUCAAUACAAUAGUCUCAUAGUGUGCUAGUCUAAGUGCACCUUUAUGACACUUUUAUUUACUAAGUCCAAGCUUAACUCAAAUGUUCAUAAAUACAUAAUUGAGCCACUUUAAACAUAUGAAGCAUGUUUCCAAACGACUAGUGCGAACACUACUCAAAUGCAUGUAACAAUACCCAGAAUGCUCUACUAUAUAGAGUGAAAAUUUUCUUAUACAUAACACAUGCAUUUUAAGUGUUCUAAAAUUCACAUAAAUUCCAUUUAGCAUAGAUUUGCAUUUAAAAUGACGUUACGACGAGUAUAGAAAGCAGGGGGGCCAUUUCGCCCCGUUUUCAUGAAGCCAAACCCACCACAACUCUUGCGCUACUUCGUUUGCUCCGACGAAGGUGUUCGCUAGUCUCCUAGCACCCUAAAGAUGUAGGAACAAGGGUUAAACGAACCUUACGAUCAACCCUAAGCUCAAUCAAUAAGUAACAUAGGCUAAGGUGGAGAAAACUCACUUCAAGUGAAGACAUCCUCUCUCAAGCUCCAAAUGGGAGUUAGAGUUCUUCAAAUUCAACCUAAAUAAAGGUUCUAAGCCAAUCAAUUGGGUCUCCAAGCCCUCAAAUCAAAAAUCCCCAAAAUAAACCCUAAAUCUCAUUUCUAGGGUUCCAUCUAGCCAAAUCUAGGAAAACAUGUAUCAAAAGGAGAAUACAUGCUACCGACCUCAAGGGGAGUCCCAAACCAAGCUCGAAAUGCUAAAAGGUAGAAGAUUGAUACUCCACAAAGUUUCAACCACGAGCUCCAAGCCACCAAGGUGAGAAAUGAGGUUGAGGAAGAUGCUCCAAGGUCUCCAAGCUAGCUCUUCUUCAACUCCUCCUUUUUCUUCUCCUUCUUCUUCUCUUUCUAGAGAGUGUAGAGAGAAUGUGAGGGAGAGAAAUGAGGGUGAGAGGAAGAGGAAAGGCUCUAUAAGCCUUCAAAUGUAACAAAAUCCACUUAAGUCCCUAAAAAAUCCAACAUGUGCACUGCCCGGGUCUGGGCAGUUUUCAGACUAAGGGACCGGUCUCCCCGACCUGGGACCGGUCUCUCAGUCUGCCCUGAAAAUCCAACGUUCGGGAAUCGGUCUCUCCCCGCAUGGGACCGGUCUCUCCCCGUGUAGUCGCGCUCGGGGACCGGUCUCACCUACCAGGGACCGAUUGCCUCUAGUCCUGCCGCAGCACUGUUCUAAGGGGACCGGUCUCUCCUAUCAGGGACCGGUCCCCGAGAGUGAAAACUCUCAGGACAUAGCCAAAACUCUAGAGAUCAAACUUUUAGGUCGGAAUACCAUCUACGACCUUCCACCAAGUGUGGAAAAGUUCGGAAUACUUAUCAAACACUCGAACCUCGCAAUUUGCACAGGUCCAGUGUGUUACAUUCACCCCUCCUAAAAAGGAGUUUCGUCCGCGAAACUCAAAAGCAAACACAUACCUCAAAGCUCCAUCUAAAAAAGAUGGGGAUAGCGCUCCCGCAGCGCGCUCUCAAGCUCCCACGUGGCCUCCCGCUGCCCGUGGUUGCUUCAAAGAACUUUCACAUACGGAAUAUCCCGAUUUCGCAGUUUCUUUACCUCGCGAGCCAAGAUCUUCAAGGGUUGCUCCUCGAAGCUCAAAUCAUCCCGUAACUCCAUAGGUGUAGCAUCCAACACAUGAGUUGGGUCGAAAACGUACUUCCGAAGGACCGAUACAUGAAAGACAUUGUGCACACCCGAUAGGUUUGGUGGUAGAGCAAGUCAAUACGCUACCAGACCUACACGCUCCAAGAUCUCAUAUGGUCCAAUGAAACGGGGGCUCAACUUACCCCGAAUCCCGAAUCUCUUGAUCCCUCUAGUCGGCGAGACCUUCAAGAAAACAUGGUCUCCAACUUGGAACUCCAAGUCUCGCCGUCGUCGAUCGACGUAGCUCCUCUGUCUACUCUGUGCCGUCAAAAGUCGCUCCCGAGCAAUUCGAACCUUGUCCUCAGCUUCCUAGAGCACAUCAGGGCCCAAUCCCAACCUCUCGCCGACUUCACUUCAAUGAAGUGGCGACCUACACUUCCGUCCAUAAAGUGCUUCGAAGGGCGCCAUCUUGAUGCUUGCUUGAUAACUGUUGUUAUAAGCAAACUCCGCCAUCGGUAGAUGCUGCGACCAUCCUCCCUGGAAGUCUAUCACAAAUGCUCGGAGCAUAUCCUCUAAAGUCUGAAUGGUGCGCUCCGACUGCCCAUCACUCUGAGGGUGGAAAGCAGUGCUGAAGUCCAGUCGGGUGCCUAGGGCGUUCAGCAAACUCCUCCAAAAAUGAGACACAAACCGAGUGUCUCGAUCCGAUACUAUCGACAUAGGCACUCUAUGAAGUUGCACAAUCUCAUCAAGGUACACUUGUGCGAGCUUCUCUCCGGUCCAAGUAGUAUGAAUAGGUAUGAAGUGCGCCGACUUCGUCAACCUAUCCGCCAUCACCCAUAUAGCAUCAUGCCCGGCCUUAGAGCGGGGCAAUCCAGUCACAAAAUCCAUGGUGAUCUUCUCCCACUUUCACACGGAAAUAGGCAAACUCUGAAGUUUUCCCGCGAGUAAUCGGUGCUCAGCCUUCACUUGUUGGCAAGUUAGACAACGAGCUACAAACUCGCCAACGUCCUUUUUCAUCCCCGGCCACCAAUAAAGCAACUUCAAGUCCUUAUACAUCUUGGUGCCUCCCGGAUGUAUAGCAUAGGGCGCUCGGUGCGCUUCUUGAAGAAUAUCCUCUUUAAUUCCCGAAUUCGCCGGUAUACAAAUUCGUCCACGAAAACGCAUCAAUCCUUGGUCAUCCACAAGGAAGUCGCCGGUGCAACUAUCAACCAUUUUAUCUCGAACCUUUUGCAACUCCACAUCGGAAGCUUGCUUCUCUUUAAUUAUAUCCAAGAGUGUAGGUUGCACCACCAAAGUCAUCAAUCUCAAAGACGUAUUUGGAAUCACCACCUCCAACUCCAACCGCUUCAUCUGCUCGAUCAACUGCGGUUGAGUAACAAUAUGCAUCGCUAAGUUUUCCGUUGAUUUUCUACUUAGCGCAUCAGCCACCACGUUAGCCUUGCCCGGGUGGUAAAAAAUAGUCAAAUCAUAAUCCUUGAGUAGCUCCAACCAUCUGCACUGUCUCAAGUUCAACUUCUUCUGAGUGAAUAGGUAUUUGAGGCUCUUGUGAUCCGUGUAUACUUCACACCGCUCGCCAUACAAGUAGUGGUGCCUAACUUCAAUGCGAAGACUACAGCCGCCAACUCCAAAUUGUGCGUAGGGUAAUUCUUUUCAUAUUCCUUUAGUUGGCGGGAAGCAUACGCGAUCACCUUGCCAUCCUCAAUCAAAACGCAACCCAAUCCAUUAAGAGAUGCAUCACUAUAAAUUACAUACCCUGCUCCAGCAACAGGUAGGGUCAGGAUUGGGGCGGUCGUCAGUCGUUGCUUCAACUCUUGGAAGCUUCUCUCGCACACAUCAUUCCAGAUGAACUUGACACCUAUAUUUGUGAGCCUCGUGAGAGGAGUAGGUAGCUUAGCGAACCCCUCGACAAAUCUCCAGUAGUAACCGGUCAGUCCAAGGAAACUACGAAUCUUCGUAACGCUCGUCGGUCUCGGCCAAUCCUUGAUAGCCUCAAUGUUCUUAGGAUCCACAGCUAUACCCGAUCCCGAUAUCAAAUGUCCAAGGAAGGCUAUCUCUCGAAACCAAAGUUCACACUUUUUCAGCUUGGCAUAAAGCUCAUUUUCCUGAAGUAUUUGAAGUACAAGCCUCAAAUGCUCCUCAUGAUCCGCAUCGCUUUGGGAAUAAACCAAAAUGUCGUCGAUGAACACCACGACGAACCUGUCCAGAUAAGGCUUGAAAACACGGUUUAUCAGAUCCAUAAAAGCUGCCGAGGCAUUAGUAAGCCCGAACGGCAUAACAGUGAACUCGUAAUGCCCAUACCGUGUUCUAAAGGCCGUCUUCGAUACAUCCUCGGGUUUGAUCUUCAUUGGUGGUAUCCCGACUGCAAGUCUAUCUUGGAAUACACACACGAUCCCUGAAGCUGAUCAAACAAGUCGUCGAUCCUCGGCAACGGAUACUUAUUCUUGAUCGUGACUUUAUUGAGUUCACGAUAGUCCACACAUAGGCGAAGUGAUCCGUCCUUUUUCUUGACGAACAGAACUGGCGCUCCCCACGGCGAGACGCUCGGACGAAUAAAGCCCUUGUCCAACAGAUCCUGUAGCUAUGCCCUCAGCUCCUUUAGUUCCGCCGGUGCCAUCCUAUAGGGUGCCUUCGAGAUUGGAGUAGUCCUAGGGACGAGAUCUACCACAAACUCGAUCUCCCUAUCGGGUGGCAUACCCGGUAGCUCAGCUGGAAACACGCCCUGAAACUCCCGUACCACUGGAAUAUCCUGAAUCCCAGGGGUGUCAUCCUCACCCCUCAACACAACACUAGCCAAGUAGGCUACACAUCCUCGGCUGAUCAGCUGCCUAGCUCGAGACGAGCUGAUCGACAUCGCAAAAAGCGAACUCCGGCAUCCUCUAAACACAAUCUCAGUCUGCCCCGGUUCUCUAAAAGUAAUCGUGCGAUUCUUGCAAUCAAUGGUGGCGUAAAACUUGGUCAGCCAAUCCAUACCCAAGACCACAUCGAAAUUCUCUAGCUUGCGCAGAGCUAGCAAAUCCACGGGCAUGAUCCAAUCUCCUACCCGAACAGGGCAAUUAGGGCAAUACUCUCUAAUAUCCAGAGUGUUGUCGGGUACUACAACAUGUCCCGGAUGCAACAAGGAAACCAAAGGGAUGCCAUGCAAUUCAGCAAACAGCCGGUCUAUAAAUGAAUGCGAUGCACCAGUAUCAAAUAAAGUACGAACUCUAAUGCCAUCAAGUAAAAUAAUACCUGCAACCACAUCCUCGGCUGCUGCCGCCUCCUCGGUCUGAGCAGCAUACAAACGCCCACUCAGGGCCUGUCGAGAACCCUCGCUCUGGCGCUGGACGGGCGGCCGCCCUGGCUGAUACUGCGCUGAUGGAGUCUCGUGACUGGCGGCUGGUAGAGCCGGUGCCGAUGCAGUCGACGGUGCCGGUGAUGAACCUCUCGGGCACUCAGUCCGAACGUGGCCCUCCUGGCCAUACUGGAAACACCUGCCCGCCCGAUGUGGACACUGCGGUGGGUAAUGAAGACCACCGCAGAUCACACACGGGGAAGGCCGGCGACGGUCAGAACCUCCUCGCUGCGCUGCUGAGCCGCGUCCAUGCUGCUGGUUCCUAGGAUACUUCAGCGGCCUCCUAGAGUGUGUCUGGCUCGCACCCUCUGCCGCAGGCCUCUUGGCCUUACCUUUGUCCAUCGCCUCUCGCCGCUCCUGGACAUCUGCCGCGCCGCUCUCCACUAUGAGUGCGCGAUCCACCAUCUCCCGGUAGGUUUGGAGGUUAGAGGAUUGCACAAACCGGAAGAUCGAUGGUCGCAACCCUUGCUCGAAGAUGCGGGCCUUGUUCUCGUCGUCCCGCACGACGAAAGGCAUGUAGUGAAGAAGCCGAGAAAACUCCCACUCGUACUCGGCUACAGUCCGAUCACCUUGACGCAAGUUGCGCAGAUCCUGCUCCAUCUUUCGCUUGACACUGGUCAGGAAGUAGUGCGCUAAUAGAAGCUCCUUGAACCUCUUCCAAGAUAUAGCCUCCAAGUCAGUGCUGGGGUUCUCCUGGAGAUCCAACGACCAGCGGUAGGCCUCGCCGUCCAAAUGGUGUGUGGCGAGCCAAACUCGAUCUCUCUCCUCCACGAAGGUGUCGCGGAAGAGCUUCUCCAUAUGCAUCAACCACUUCUCCACGAUCCAAUGGUCGACCUUCUCGCCGUCGAAGAUCCGGGGACUGUACCUCCUGAACUCAUUGAGGCGCUCUAUCAGUCGGCCCCGCUCCGCUCCCUCGACCAAGGUAGGGAAAGCUGCUCCAACCGCGGACCUCUGCACAGGUGGUACUGUGAUGGCCUCCUCCUGAGACACGGCAAUAGGCGCUGCUCACGAAGAACUAGGCGUGGGGGACGGCGCUCUAGGCGCGACGUCCACAACUGGUGCUGGCGGUGUAGGGGCCUGAGUCUCCCUAGAAACUGCUGCCUGCUGUAAAAGAAAGUCCUCCAGGCGCUUCAUCCGCGCCUUCUGUCAGCGCGCCGCCUCCGUCUGCUAUCGGGCCGCCUCCGCCUGCUGUGUCACCAAGUCGGUGAGAGCCGCAAGCUUGCUCCUCAACUCUCGGACCUCGCCGGAUCCGGAGGUAGUGGAGGUCUUGACCUCCUCAAGAUGUGCCGCAUUAUCCGCUCCGGCAGAUUGGGAGCGGGUGAUCGGCAUCUCACUACAACAUCAUAAAAGCGUAAGUUAGUAACCCACGCUAUCGUAUCCCCGCUCAAGCAGAUAAUACCCCAAAUCAUGCGAAAGUAAUGAAGUGUGCUUCACUACUAACUCCCGAUGUUACGUUGUCGGCUGCCGACGUAACCCUCCGUGAAGUUAGGAGCUAUACACUUCAAUUUAACUCCACUUUCUAGAGUUAUCAAGAUACCCAAUCACGAUACUUUCGCUUACAAGUCAAAUAGACCUCGUCUGUCACGAGCCUAUUUCCUAUAGUUCAACCGGCCUAAGGUUUGCUAGGUCCACUAAGACUCAACCCUAGGCUCUGAUACCAAACUAAUCUGUCACGCCCCGGGACCCAGCGGAAGCCCGCCCGGCGCGUGCCCAGACUCGCCAUAUGUCUAAAACGUAUAAGGCGUUUACAAUAAAACGAUAAAUAAGACAAUAAAAAGAACAUCUAGAAGCAUCAAAGCAAGGUAUAUCUAGAAGCUACAAUAAGGGUAAGGAAUAUAAAAGUAAAUCCACUAAGCAAAAACAUAAAGUGAAUACAAUAGGAAUCCCAAUACAAAAGCUAAACAAGUACAUAGGAGGUCUCUCUAUACAUGGUACUCAAAACUCUCUCUCUCACAAAAACCAAAAAGAAGAGAGUGACUACCUAGGAGCAACAGCAAGCUCCGCUAUCUAGCUAUGCGACUCCCUUGCCGCGAUCCCGUGCCUCCGCCGGUGCCGAAGGCUCUGAAAUAAAACCAUAAAACAGAGAGCGUGAGAACUAUUGAAUAAUAGUUCCCAGUGGGCAAUUACUGGCUUCAGUGAAAUGCACCACUAGGCCCGAACUAAAAAGGGGGUCAGUAAGCAGAUAUAAACAAAAACGAUAUGUACGACAAGUAAAUAAACAUGAAUAUUUGUUACUACCUGAUAUCUCUACUUAGCUUGAUUUAGCAUAAGAAAAGCUAUUCUCGUAUGAAUGUACCCAAGCAUCGCUAGUAUGAUGCCAUAAGUCAAAUAGUAAAGAUGUCGUUGUUUACUAUUCUAAUCAAUGUCCACAUGGCAUGAUAAAUGCUCAAAAUCAAAUCUGAAGAGACCCGCCCGAAGGCUGUCUGGCCCUGAGACCCACCCGUAGGCUAUUUGGCCGGUGCCGAGCCUAAUGGCCCCGUGAUAGUCAACAUCCCCACUCUAGAAAUAAGUCUUUUCCAUGGCAAUCCACUUCGGCACCCAAUCCCGCACGGCGAAUAUGUAUCACGAUGGCCAUCUCCGGAAUGCCGGCUUGUAGGGAGCGACCCUCACAAGCAUGUGCGAAUGAGCACAAUGGCAAGUAACAAAAGAUCCGUCUCAAGUACCAAGCUCUCAUGUCUAACAACAUGGAAUAUGUCACAACUCUCUCGUAGGCCUAUCUCUAUGUCAUCAUGUCUAAAACAUGAAAAGUAGUAGAUGUCCACGGCCUAUCUCUAAGUCUCAAUACAAUAGUCUCAUAGUGUGCUAGUCUAAGUGCCCCUUUAUGACACUUUCAUUUACUAAGUCCAAGCUUAACUCAAAUGUUCAUAAAUGCAUAAUUGAGCCACUUUAAACGUAUGAAGCAUGUUUCCAAACGACUAAUGCGAACACUACUCAAAUGCGUGUAACAAUACCCAGAAUGUUUUACUAUAUAGAGUGAAAAUUUUCUUAUACAUAACACAUGCAUUUUAAGUGUUAUAAAAUUCACAUAAAUUCCAUUUAGCAUAGAUUUGCAUUUAAAAUGACGUUACGAUGAGUAUAGAAAGUAUGGGGGCCAUUUCGCCCCGUUUUCAUGAAGCCAAACCCAUCACAACUCUUGCGCUCCUUCGUUUGCUCUGACGAAAGUGUCCAGUAGUCUCCUAGCACUCUAAAGAUGUAGGAACAAGGGUUAAACGAACCUUACGAUUAACCCUAAGCUCAAUCAAUAAGCAACAUAGGCUAAGGUGGCGAAAACUCACUUCAAGUGAAGAAAUCCUCUCUCAAGCUCCAAAUGGGAGUUAGAGUUCUUCAAAUCCAACCUAAAUAAAGGUUUUAAGCCAAUCAAUUGGGUCUCCAAGCCCUUAAAUAAAAAAUUCCCAAAAUAAACCCUAAAUCUCAUUUCUAGGGUUCCAUCUAGCCAAAUCUAGAAAAACAUGUAUCAAAAGGAGAAUACCUGCUACCAACCUCAAGGGGAGUCCCAAACCAAGCUCAAAAUUCUAAAAGGUAGAAGAUUGAUCCUCCACGAAGCUUCAACCACGAGCUCCAAGCCACCAAGGUGAGAAAUGAGGUUGAGGAAGAUGCUCCAAGGUCUCCAAGCUAGCUCUCCUUCAACUCCUCCUUCUUCUUCUCCUUCUUCUUUUCUUUCUAGAGAGUGUAGAGAGAAUGUGAGGGAGAGAAAUGAGGGUGAGAGGAAGAGGAAAGACUCUAUAAGCCUUCAAAUGUAACAAAAUCCACUUAAGUCCCUCAAAAAUCCAACCUGUGCACUGCCCGGGUCUGGGCAGUUUUCGGACUGAGGGAUCGGUAUCCCCGACCUAGGACAGGUCUUUCAGCCUGCCGCGAAAAUCCAACGUUCGGGAACCGGUUUCUCCCCACAUGGGAUCGGUCUCUCCGCGCGUAGUCGCGCUCGGGGACCGGUCUCACCCACCAGGGACCGGUUGCCUCAAGUCCUGCUGCAGCACUGUUCUGAGGGGACCGAUCUCUCCUAUCAGAGACCGGUCCCCGAGAGUGAAAACUCUCAGGACAUAGCCAAAACUCUAGAGAUCGAACUUUUAGGUCGGAAUACCAUCUACGACCUUCCAGCAACUGUGGAAAAGUUCGGAAUAUAUAUAAAACACUCGAACCUCGCAAUUUGCACAGGUCCAGUGUGUUACAUUCACCCCUCCUAAAAAGGAGUUUCGUCCGCGAAACUCAAAAGCAAACACAUACCUCAAAGCUCCAUCUGAAAGAGAUGGGGAUAGCGCUCCCGCAGCGCGCUCUCAAGCUCCCACGUCGCCUCCCGCUCCCCGUGGUUGCUUCAAAGAACCUUCACAUACGGAAUAUCCCGAUUCCGCAGUUUCUUCACCUCGCGAGCCAAGAUCUUCACGGGUUGCUCCUAGAAGCUCAAAUCAUCCCGUAACUCCAUAGGUGUAGCAACCAACACAUGAGUUGGGUCGAAAACAUACUUCCGAAGGACCGAUACAUGAAAGACGUUGUGCACGCCCGAUAGGUUUGGUGAUAGAGCAAGUCGAUACGCUACCAGACCUACACGUUCCAAGAUCUCAUAUGGUCCAAUAAAACGGGUGCUUAACUUACCCCGAAUCCCGAAUCUCUUGAUCCCUCUAGUCGGCGAGACCUUCAAGAAACAUGGUCUCCAACUUGGAACUCCAAAUCUCGCAGUCGUCGAUCGGUGUAGCUCCUCUGUCUACUUUGUGCCGUCAAAAGUCGCUCCUGAGCAAUUCGAACCUUAUCCUCAGCUUCCUGGAGCACAUCAGGGCCCAAUGCCAAUCUCUUGCCGACUUCACUCCAAUGAAGUGGUGACCUACACUUCCGUCCAUAAAGUAUUUCGAAGGGCGCCAUCUUGAUGCUUGUCUGAUAACUGUUGUUAUAAGCAAACUCUGCCAUCGGUAGAUGCUGCGACCAUCCUCCCUGGAAGUCUAUCACACAUGCUCGGAGCAUAUCCUCUAAAGUCUGAAUGGUGCGCUCCGACUGCCCAUCACUCUAAGGGUGGAAAGCAGUGCUGAAGUCCAGUCGGGUGCCUAGGGUGUCCUACAGACUCCUCCAAAAAUGAGACACAAACCAAGUGUCUCGAUCCGAUACUAUCGAUGUAGGCACUCCUGAAGUCGCACAAUCUCAUCAAGGUACACUUGUGCGAGCUUCUCUCCGGUCCAGGUAGUAUGAAUAGGUAUGAAGUGCGCCGACUUCGUUAACCUAUCCACGAUCACCCAUAUAGCAUCAUGCCCGGCCUUAGAGCGGGGCAAUCCAGUCACAAAAUUCAUGGUGAUCUUCUCCUACUUCCACACGGGAAUAGGCAAACUCUGAACUUUUCCCGCGGGUAAUCGGUGCUGUCAUGCCCCGAGCUCCGCCAAUUUGGUCGGAUUCGAGCACACGACAGACGCCGAACGGACAGUACCUCCCCUGUCUGCCCAAGGCUCCAACAACAAGUAUAUUACAAGCAAAUCAAUAAGGAGAAUUGCGAGAUAUACGAGGUUUGCACAAGGGCAAACAACAACCACAAGUGAAAGCAUCGAAACUAAACAAAACAUCCAAUAGACAUGUCAUUUGAUUUCAUUUGAAUCAAAUACAAGUAGUCUAUUUCAUUCAUUUACAUCACGAUUUCUUUUAACCAUAAUAUAAUUUGCAUCAUCUUUAUAUUACAUCAUUUUACAAUUUCAACAUACAAAAGUUGAGUACACCAAGUGUAGGGUAUGCCUAUAUGACUCUGAGGCCGCUAACUACGGCGCGACUCCCUUGCCUCGAUCCUCCGCCGCCCCGCUCGCGUAGGGAUCUGCAGGGUUAGUGGUAAUGAGAACUAGAACGAAGUUCCCAGUGGGUUCGGCCGCCGACCACGCCGAUUCGCCCACUAGGUCUAAUUCAGGCAUAUGUAUUUCAAUAAAAGAAGAAUAAAUAACAAACCAACUAAAUGCACUCUACAUACAAUGCCUGCAAAGAAAGCAAUCCACAGAUAGAUAUUCAAUAUUCAGAUACAUGAUAAUUAAUGCAUGCUUGUCCAUUUUCACUGUCCUUUGGCCUUUACCCAAUCCACCCUAGGGUGCUCCUGGUUUACCCAACUCACAGUACACAUAUUCCUGGUCUAACGGGGAGGCCAAGGCACAACCACUCGAAAGAUCUUCGCUGGGUCACUUUCACCCAUAGUGCUUUUCUUCCCGGAGUACACCGCUCGUGGGAGGAGCGACCUCGCACAAAGCCGGUAACCAAACAUGUGAGUAUGAUCCAUCCUCAAUUUGAGGAGGUUUGGCCAACCUGUCCACAAUUCUCACUGUCUCAAUGCCGAUGAAUGGUUAAUAACUAUUCAUUGCACAUUAUCUAUCACCGCCAACGUCAUGGUGGUCCUAAUGCCACAGUACACAUAAUGUCACUCGGGUUAAACCUUGUUUAACAAUCCUCUUUUCGAUGUCAAUCGAGUCAUUAAUGUCAAUGCGCCUUUGUUUACUACGGUACAGUCAUUUCUCACAUUCACAUGCAUAUAGGGUUCUUUCAUAUCUUUGUUCACAUGGUUCUAUAUCAUUACAAUAAUCUUACACAGAUAAUUGUUACAAUCAUAUAUACUUUCAUUACAUGUCACGCCCGGGGUACCAGCGAAGCAUAUCCGGCACGUGCACAGACCAGCCAUACACCUGCAGUAUAUAAGGCGUCUACAAGCAACAUCGAUAGGAAGUAAAACAAAGAAAGUCCUAUCCUGAUAUCAGAGCAAUGUACAAGUCGAUAUAUAUCAACAAAAGAACAAAGAGUGUACAACCCCAAAAUCUCGACAGAAGAGAAGUAUCACAACUAUAGUGACGGUCCAAAAGUACAUAUACAUCACCGGGGAACAAAAGAAUAGGUACAACGGUGGUCUCCUCUAUACAUAGGGACAUCACCUCGGCCGUAGCCGAGUAGCAAGGUGAUCGACUAGCACGCUCCUGUAGUCCCUAGCUAGGCGCGACUCCCUAUGCCACGAUCCCUAGCCUCUCCUGUAACAGGCUCUGUAAAAACAACCACCAAAAGGGCGUGAGAACUAUAAAACAAUAGUUCCGCCCAGUGGGUAAGCCGCCACCCUCGGCGAAUUACACCACUAGGCUCAUGAUGUACUAAUUGAAAGCAAUAACGAUAAUUGCAUAAUUUAUAAGCAUGAUGCUAACCAGUAAUGAGCAUCGUAAUCAACAUGUAAUACAUUCUGCAGUAAUGAAUCAUUUGCAUAAUGGGGAUAUGGCAAUUUCUGUAUCAUGAACAUUAGACAUGAAUAUAAGCACAAACAUGAAGUGACUACUGUACACUUUGAGUAGAAUAAGCAUUCAUUACUUGUCUUUUUCAUUAAGUACUAUCCUUUCAUUCACAGGGAACCAACCAAGGUAGUCCAGCUUUGCGCGCGCCUAAUGGCUCCGUGGUAGUAUACACUCCCCACCCGGCAAUCCACUUCGGCACCACAUUCCCGCACGGCGAGCAACUGUCGCGUAGGCCAACUCCGGAGUGCGGGCUUGUAGGGAGCUACCUCACAAGCGUGUGCGAAUGAGACCGAUGGCAAGCAAAGCAAAAUCUAUGUCCACAUACCUCAGUUUUCAUAUUUUAUUGCGAAGUUCUUACCCUCGAUCCUUUGAUCGGAAUAUUCAAUACACAAAUAAGCUCUAGUAUCCACUAGAUUGUAAACAUGUAUGGGUAAAGCUAAAUCACAUAGCAUUAAUAAUCUUUCCACUAGUAUGGCACUAUCAAAUAGUCAUGAGCAUGUCAUAGUCUCCUACGUAGAGUCAAGAGAAUGUCAUUGUUCUCUACUUUAAGUGCAUCAUACACUUAUUCAUAAGUCAUUCAACUGAAUUGAAUGUAAAUGGAAAUACUGUCAUGUAUAUAUGUUUCUCUAUAUCAUAGAAACAUAAUAAACUGAUCUCCUAAUUGUUCUACUGAAUUAAACAAGAUUGUCUUAAUGCAUGAACACUUUUAUGCAUGAACACUCAUUUCACAUAAGGUAAAGUCAUGAUGACGAAAUCCGAGUCCCUUAACCAUCACAUAGGCAUAUAAUUAAACCACGUCUAUAAUACAUAUAGAACAUAGGGGAGCUUCACUUGCUCUGGUUAGGUCCGACCCACCUAGUACUAGCUCCAAAACAGUCCAAGGAGUUCCAAAGAUCAGCUCACUAGGUCGCAAUCCUGCUGAGCACGAAGCAUACAUAUCGUAUCAAAAAAUUACGAUCGAAAAGGCCAAUUUCGGCGCAAUUACACUUCGUACAUUGGAAUAGCUUAAAUCCCUGUUUUGUUAGCUUAAUACCUCACGUUAAGCUUCCAGAAGGCCCUCCAAGGCCAAACGAAGGCGGUCCAGGGUCAACACCCUCUCGGCUGCGAACACACCAACACGACAUCAAAAUCAUCAAUAUUAUUAGCAAAUAUAGUCGAAUCUUGCGAAUUCAGUUUUCUAACUGAAAUCCCUGCUUACCUCAGGUUAGAAUACCUUCCCAAACCAGCUUCUAAGAGUACAGUUUCAGCUCAAACGAGACUCGAAGACCUGCUGCGAAGAGAAAAUUCCAAAUUGCAUCAAUAAUCCGCGUAUAGUUCCGAUUAAGCUUCCGAAAUGGCUUAAUUCUUCCAAUUAAGCUUCAAAGUAGCUUAUCCCUGGUCUACUGAGAUUAAUUCACAGUUAAAUAACUCAUCUUCUUUAAGUGCUAAAACCUCAGUUUAAAACAGCUAGAAGCAACAACUCCAAAAACUAUACAUAAUUCGUCCAAGAAAUUGCCGAAAAUGGAAAACGCUGAGCUGCUUACCUCGCAAGCUCCAACCAGUCAGCUCGCUGGUCCAGAGCCUCGAAAAGACUUCCAAAGUAUUCUCUCACACGUUUCACAAGUGCUCCGUAACACUCGCACAAGCGACGAACAAGCGAGGCGACGAAAACGAGCAAAUCGUCGAUUUCUAUAUAAGAGAGAGAAAAACUAAGAGAGAGAGAGAGGAGAAGGUGGAAGACAAUCCGCCUGAGCUCCAGCAACCUUCACUAAAGCCCCCAGAGUCGUGCUGGGUUCAAAUAGAUAGGUGUCAAAAGUGAAAUGACAAAAUACCCAAGCUGCACGAAUCCUGCCAGCUUGUACCCGUACAAGGUGAUGUCUGUACCGGUACAGCAAGCAGCAAAAGCGCUGAUUUUCGCCAGUUUGAUGCAAUUUCUCACCUUUUAACAUUCCAAGCAUCCUCUAACUUAUCCAACACUUGUUCUAACUUUUUAGAACAUGUAGGAGUGAUCCACACACCAUUCCACAUACUCGAACUCGCAAUUUGCAAAAGUUCAGUGUAUUACAUUCACCCCUCCUAAAAAGAAGUUUCGUCCGCGAAACUUGUGAACACUUACCUCACGAUUCCAUCGAGAAUAGAUAGGGAAUGCUCUUGCAUUGCACUCUCCAGUUCCCAAGUGGCUUCUUGUUCCUCGUGAUUACUCCAAAGGAUCUUCACGUAGGGUAUUUCGGAUUUCGAAGCCUUUUUACUUCCCGAGCUAGGAUUUUACUGAUGCUCCUCAAAGCUCAAAUCUUCAUGUAAAUCCACUUGGGUACUCUCCAAUAUGUGAGUUGGAUCAAAAACAUAUUUCGUAGUGUGGAUACAUGAAAACACAUUGUGGAUUCCCGAAUGGUUCGGCGGUAAGGCAAGCCGAUAACUACGGGCCUAUUCGUUCCAACACCUCGUAGGGUCCAAUAAAUCGAGGACUCAACUUUCCCUCGAAUGCCAAAUCUCUUAACUCCUUUCGUCGGGGAAACUUUAGGAAUACAUGAUCGCCAACUUGAAAUUCCAAUUCUGCCGACGUGUUUGUCCGCAAACUCUUUGUCGACUUUGAGCUGUCAGUAGACGUUCCUCGAGCAAGCGAACUUUAGCUUCAGCCUCUUGUAAUACAUCUGGACUCAACACCAAUCUCUCACCCACUUCAUCCAAUGAAGUGGUGAUCUCUACACUUUCUACCAUACAGGGCUUCAAACGGUGCCAUCAGAAUACUUGCGUGAUAACUGUUGUUAUAAGCAAAUUCAGCCAUAGGCAAAAACUGUGGCCAACUGCCCUGGUAAUCAUCACACACAGGCCCGUAACAUAUCCUCCAAGGGUCUGGAUAUAGUCGCUCGGACUGCCCAUCACUCUGGGGGUGGAAAGCAGUACUAAAAUCCAAUCGGGUACCCAAGGCCUCCUGUAAACUUCUUCAAAAAAUGUGAAACGAAUCGGGUGUCUCGGUCCGAAACAAUGGAAGCAGGUACUCCAUGUAAUCGCACAAUUUCAUCAAGAUAUACACUUGGUGCGAGUUUUUCUCUCUGACCAAGUCGUGUGGAUUGGAAUAAAGUGGCAGAUUUAGUCAAUCGAUCAACAAUUACCCAAAUUGCAUCGUGACCUGCUUGUGAGCGAGGUAAUCCAACGAUGAAAUCCAUAGUGACCUCUCCCCACUUCCACACUGUAUGGGUAAGCUCUGAAGUUUUCCCGCAGGAAGUCGAUGUUCAGCUUUAACCUGCUGACAGGUUAAGCACUUAGCUACGAAUCUGCAACUUCCCUUUUCAUUUCAGGCCACCAAUAGGUCAACUCAAAUCUUUAUAACAUUUUCGUAUCCCAGGGUGUACAGUAUACGUGCCCGAUGUGCUUCUUUUAAAAUCUCCUCUUUAAUGUCUGGAUCUGCCGGCAACAAAGCCUAUCACGAAAUCUUAACAGUUCUUGAAUUAUCCACUCGAAACUCACUACCAUCCCGAUCAGCAGUGAUCUUUGCUCGAAUCUUUUGCAGGAAUUCAUCUUGAGCUUGCUUUUCUUUAAUUCGAUCGAUCAGGGUAGGUUGCACCAAGUAANNNNNNNNNNNNNNNNNNNNNNNNNNNNNNNNNNNNNNNNNNNNNNNNNNNNNNNNNNNNNNNNNNNNNNNNNNNNNNNNNNNNNNNNNNNNNNNNNNNNGAAUCUUGCGAUUUGCUAAGAUCCAGUGUAUUACAUAGUCGCAAUGCCAAUGUCACGAUAGGUCUCUACCUAUUCAUUCUUGCCACUCUCAAGGCUUUACCUUUGACGAUGUCGAAAUGGGUUAAACUUUAUUUAACGGUUCAUCUCUCAAUGCAACUCUUGUUUCUAUGUCAAUGUCACCCUUGUUUUCUAUUGUCCAAGUCUAUUCUCACAUUCAUACAACUUGAGGGUCCAAUCACACAUGUCAUUUUGGUUCUAUCAUUCUCUAUGUUCAACUACGUUAGAAGCAUAUAAAUGAAGUCAAACCAAGUCCCACAUGUAACUACCCUACUAUGCAUGAAUGGGUAUAUAUAAAACAUAUAUGCUCAAGAAUAGAGAAAACAGACAUAGAAGGGAAUCCAACGAUUCCGGCGUGCACCCCCCACCUCUAUUGGUUGUGUGGGUGAAGAUUACGAAGGCUCCCGCACUUUACGAAAGCCGAUUCCGCGCCCUAUAAUCAAAAUAGUGCCAUAUUAGGCCUUUUUGUACAUGAACUAUGUUCUAACAUUUUCGUAAUGUUAAACGGAGUUGUCCAACGUGUUUAGGGCACCCCCAAUUAGGUUUCUACGGGGUUAAUUUGUCCCCAAAAAAUCCUAGGGCAAAAACCCCAAAUCCAAGCCCUAAUAUUGUCAUUUAGGGUUUUCCCAUAACUCGAUCCCAAUCCUAAGCAAACGAUAGCUUAGAAUCAUCUAAGAAGUACUCUAGUGAGGUUUCUAGACCUUUGGUAUCAACCCUAGGGCUCCAAACACCACUUCCAAGGAUUCACCAUGAGAGCACCUUGAGCUCUCAUGGGUACCAUGGUAUUCAUGGCUCAAAAGAGCCCCUAAAGCCUCUAAGGAGCACAAAGCUCCAAAUCCCUAAGCCAAAAUCCAAACCCUAGAGGAAAAACUUACAAAACUUACCUCUAGUCCAAGCUCCACCAAGAAUCUUCUUGUUGGAGAGCCCCUAGAACCUCCAAAGCAUCAAAUCCACCUUCUUCCCCAAGUUCUUCUUCUUCUUCUUCUCCAAGCCCUAGAGGGAUUCUAGAGAGAGAAAGUGAGGAAAUAAGAGAGGAGGAGGAGAAUGGCUGUGGGAGAGAGGGAUUGGGCCAUAUAUAGUGUUGUAACAAUUGCACUUAAGCCCCUCCACAUGUUUCCUCUUGAACUGCCCAGACUGGGCAUUUUUCGCCUUCGGUGACCGAUCUCCCCGACCAGGGACUGGUUCCCGAACGGGGGUUUUCCAGGACUUAGCCAAAUUUUUGAGUCUCUCAACUGUUGCGCAGCGAGGGACCGGUCUGCCCGUCAGGGACCGGUCUCCCGAGGACCGGUCUCACCACCAGGGACCGGAUGCCUCAGGAUUUCCUGGCAGGCUACGCGCACGGGGACCGAUCUCUCUCCUUCAGGGACCGGUCCCCGAGAGCUCAAAAUCUGGGACUUAGCCAGAUUUUCAAAUUUGCUCUCCGGGUCCCUUUUUGCUCUGUUUACGAACUCUAAUGCACUUAGGGCCCAUUUUAACUCGUCCAAUCCCGCGUUCCGCUCGUUUUGACGGGACUCGGCACGAUUUACGAGGGAUGUGGUAUGUUACAUAUGUAGUAGCUCAUGUAUUUCGGAUAUGGUAUUUGGAUAUUUGAGGCAUAGUAGCAUGUUGCAGGAUACAUUACUAUGUAGUAGCGCAUCCAUUUGACAUUUGAGGCAUAGUAGCAUGUAUAGAUUGCAUACUAUGUAGUUGCUCAUACAUUUGAUUAUUGAGGCAUAGAUCAUAUACUAUGUUGUAGCUCAUUCCAUUGGUUAUUGAAGGCAUGGUAGAAUGUUGCAGAUUACUUUACUAUAUUGCACUUCAAUUUCAUAUCUAUCUAUCUAUCUAUCUGCUUCUGCCUGCUUGGACCUAGUGGGAAGAUCGGCGGAGUCGGCGGCCGAACCCAUUGGGAACUAUAUUAUAUAGUUCUCACCCCACUUUGUUGCAGGGCCUAGCGAGAGAGUACCGGCAGAGAACCGUGGUAAGAGCAUAGUGCCUUAGUUAGCUAGCAGCUUCCAUCUUGUAUUUAGAGUACCCUCGUGUACAUGGUUAGUGGAUGUUAUAUUUUGGGAGCUAGCAUGUAUUCAUUUUAGGAGAUAAAAUUGUAAACUCAUGUAUUCAUUUUGAAGGACAAAAAUGUAAAUCAAUAUGUAAUGGUUGAAUGAUUGUAAUAACUAGAAUUAUCUCUCUCCUUAUUCACUUGUAUGUACUCGUGACUCUUGCUCUUACUUGUUGGCACUUGUAGUGCCCCUGGUUGAUCAUGUAUGUAUUGAAUUUCUUUUCCUGGGCAAAUUCUUGUACUCGAUCAUGUUGUUUAGCCUAGGACGGACAGGGGAGGUGCUGUCCGUUCGGCGUCUGUUCGACGCGCCCGAACCGGACCAAAUUGGUGGCGGUCUCGGGGCGUGACAGAUCAGGUCGGUGCAGAUUAGUUACAGGCAACGCUUGAGGUCUGCGGACCAAUAUAGCAGGCACAGAUUGGGUACAGUUUCAGUUUGGUUACUUUGAGGCAUUCUUAGCAAUAUUUUCUAUACAGUAGCAGGUUUAUUUAUUGCUCCUUAUUUAUCUCUUAUAGCUACUGUAGUUUCUUCAUAUCAGCAUAUAUAUUGUUUACCUAUCUCCUUUGGUUUUCGGUGAUUACGGCUUGCCUUCGUGACUCUGUCAUACCCACUGGAAAACCUUGAUUGCGGUUUUUCACCCCCCAUUUUCCCAGGUGAUUCGGGCAUGGAGUUGGCUUUUUGGCAUGACGAGAGGACGAUCUAGCUAGCUUGUCGUAGCGACCGUCACCCUGGUUAUGUUUUGUUUCUGCAUUUAGUAACUUAAUAAAUAAAUGGUUCAGUUAGAUGAUCUCUAUGAUUGUUUGAAUGUUCGUGAAUUGGUUUCGGUGGAUCAAUGGAUGUUUUCGUUAUUCAUACAUAUGAUCAGAGGUUUGUGGAUCUGUAGUUUUGGUAUUUUGGAUUCUUGAUUCUUGUAUUUACACAUCGUGGUUUUCUACCCCUCAAGGUAGUCGGUUUUUAAAAUGGAGUUUCCGUGUGGGAAACAGUUUUAAAAAGGCUUUCGAAUGGUUUUAUAAAUGAUUGAAUUAGAGUUUAAAAACAAAGCUUCCGAGUGGGGAGCACUUUUAAAUAGGAUGAUUGAUGUACUGUGCAUUGCAUCAUCCAGCACCUAAGAAGUGUUUAGAGACAUGCAUCAUUUCUAAGGAUUGUUAGCUGUAUGGAAAUGCAUGGCAUGAAUUGAUUGUUUAUUGGUAAAUGUAGAUUGUGGUUGAGAUCUUAAUGUAACUGUUGGUACGCCGUGCAAAUACAAAGGAGACUCUGUUCGAAUAAACAGAGGAACAUGGUAUUUGUGGCGGGUCUAUACGUCACGUGGGCCAGGUUGAAAAAAAAGGCACGUUUUCCGCAACUCUAAUUUCAAAAAUAGUAAUCGUUUUAAAAAGGCUUUUAAAACCGGCCCCAGGGCGUGACAGAUUAAGAUGGUAUCAAAGAGUGAAACAAUUACAACUACAUUUGCAAUCUUUCUAACUAAACCAUUGGUUAGGUCGACCAUAGGAUGACCAUGAUCGUAGGCACGUGCGAGCGCGGGGUAUUCGAGAUUUAGUCUCGAGGUUAUCAAGCUAGGAGGCUCGAAGGGUGAUUUGUGUUUAUUAUUUCAUGUUUCUUGUGCUGCAAGAUAUGACAUGUGCUCGUUUUGGUGUUAGGAGUGGGGGGCAGUGAGUGGACUAGCUCUGAGCAGUGAGAUGUCGUCAGACUGCUUUUACUAUUGUUAUCGCCCUACCUCCAACGCGGGACAUAGAAGCCUUUGUAGGUCAAUCCACAGGCACAUAGGGUUCAUCUUUUGAGCUAUGUGGGAUGGUUUUUGCUGGUGGAGUUACUGUAGCACACUGGACCUUUGCAAAUUGUGAGGUUCGAGUGUUUGAUGUGUACUCCGAACUUUUCCACACUUGGUGGAAGGUCGUAGAUGGUAUUCUUGCCUAAAAGUUCGAUCUUUAGAGUUUUGGCAAGUCUUGAGAGUUUUCACUCUCGGGGACCGGUUCCUGAUAUGAGAGAUCGGUCCCCUCAGAACAGUGCUGCGGCAGGGCUUGAGGCAACCGGUCCCUGGCUGGGAAAGACCGGUUUCCGAAAGUGUAUUUUGCGAGAAGGGUCCGAGAGACCAGUCCCUAGCGGGGAGAGACUAGUUCCCGAACGUUGGUUUUGCGGGACGAACUGAGAGAUCGGUCCCAGGUGUCGGGAGACCGGUCCCUCAGCGCGAAAACUGCCCAGACCGGGUAGUGCACAGGUUGCAUUUUAGAGGGACCUAAGUGGAUUUUGUUACAUUUGAAGGCUUAUAGAGCCUCUCUCCUCUCCUUCUCAUCCUUAUUUUCUUUCCCUCACACCCUCCUUACACUUCUAGAGAGAGAAGAAGAAGGAGAAGAAGAAGGAGAAGUUGGAGAGCAAGCUUGAGGGAGCUUGGGAGCAUCUUCCUCUUUCCUAUUUCUCACUUUUGAAGGCUUAGAGCUUGGACUUGGAGCGUUGCGGUGGAUUUAUCUACAACCCUAAAGCAUUUGGAGCUUGGUUUGGAUCUUCUCUUCAGGUUAGUUGCUCAUUUCUCCCCUCUAGACCUAUUUUUGGUAGAUUUUGGGAGAUGAAACCCUAGAUUUAGAUUUUAGGGUUAGAUUUGGGGAUUUUCAAUUUGAGGGCUUUGAGACCCAAUUGAUUGACUUAGAACCUUCCUCUAAGUUGGAUUGGAAGGGUUCUUGCCCCCAUUUGGAGCUUGAGAGAGGAUUUCGUCACUUGAGGUGAGUCUCCUCCACCUUAGCCUAGGUUGCUUGUUGAUUGAGUUUAGGGUUGAUCGUAAGGUUCAUUAACCCUUGUUCCAACAUCUUUAGGGUGCUAGGAGGCUAGUGGACACCUUCGUCGGAGCUUACAAAGGGUUUCGGUAUCAUCGGUGGGUUUUGCUUCAUGAACACGGGGCAAAAUGGCCCCUAUGUUUUCUAUACUUGUCGUAAAGUAUUUUUUGUGAAUGCAAAUCCAUGCUAAAUAUGAAUCAUGUGAAUUUUGGAACACAUAAAAUGCAUGCAUUAUGUAUGAUGAAAAUUUCACUCUAUAUAGUAGAGCCUUAUGGAUAUGCUGCAUGCAUGUGAAAAGUAAUCGCAUUAGCGAGUGGAAAACUACUCUUCUAUGUUUAAAAUGACUCAUAUUAUGCAUUCGGGAACAUAGUUACCAUGCUUGGAUGUAUUGAACAAAGUGUCAUAAAGGGGCACUUGAAACUAGUAAACUAUGAAAAUGCAACAUAGAGACAUAGUGAUAGGCCAUUGCACAUCGACUAUAUUCCAUGUUAGAGACAUGACGACAUAGUGAUAGGCCUUUGUGACAUUCGAUAUAUUCCAUGUUCUUAGACAUGAGGACAUGAGACUUGAGACAAACUUAUACGCAUGCUUGCCAUUGUGCUCAUUCGCACAUGCUUGUAAGAGUCGCUCCCUACAAGCCGGCACUCCGGAGUUGGCCAUCGCGAUACGUUCGCCGUGCAGGAUUGGGCGCCGAAGUGGAUUGCCGUAGGAAAUGCUCAUUCCUAGGAUGGGGAUGUUGACUACCACGGGGCCAUUAGGCACGGUAAAGCCAGACAGCCUUCGGAUGGGUCUUAUGCCAGACAGCCUUCGGGUGGGUCUUAUCAGAGUUGAACUUUAAACAGUUAAAGUGACAAGUGGACAUUGACUAGAAUAGUGAACAAUGACAUUAUUGCUAUUCACAUUGUGGACAUUGGGAUAGUUGCAUAGUCAUGCAUUUACAUAUUGGUUACUCUCAUGUACAUACCUGUGGUAGUUGUUUUAUUACUUAUGCAAAUCAUGCUAAGUAGAGACAUCAUGGUUGAGUAGUAAUCAUCUUUACUUAUCGUUGUGUUUAUCGCUUUUGCUUAUGCUUAUACACUACCCCCUUUUUGUAGUUUUGGGCCUAGUGGCGCAUUUCACUAAAGUCAGUAAUUGCCCACUGGGAACUAUUAUUUAAUAGUUCUCACGCCCCUGAAAAGAACUAUUAUUCUUUUCAGAGCCUUCGGCACCGGCGGAGGCACGGGAUCGCGGCAAGGGCGUCGCGUAGCUAGCUCGAAGAGAGUCCGUUUUGCUAUAGGUGGUUACUCCUUCUUUGGUUUGUGUUAGAGAGAGGGAGAGAUUUUGGGGUUUAGGGUUUAGGGUUUAGGAGAGAUUUUGCACCAUGUAUAGAGAGACCACCUUGUAUUCAGAUUAGUACUUGUUAUGGGACUCCUUUUGUAUUAUCUUAUGUUUUACUUAGUGGAUUAUCAGUUUUAUGUUCUUCUCCAUGUUGUAGCACUUUGUAGCAUUUUGCUCUGAUACUCCUGGAUGCUUCCUUUUAUUGCUUUAUUUACCGCUUCAUUUUAGACGCCUUGUAUGUUUUAAACGUACGGCGGGUCUGUGCACGUGCCGGGUGGGCUUCCGCUGGGUCCCCGGGCAUGACAGAUUAGUUUGGUAUCAGAGCCUAGGGUUGAGUCUUAGUGGACCUAGCAAACCUUUGGCCGGUUGGACUAUAGGAAAUAGGCUCGUGAGAGACGAGGUCUAUUCGACUUGUAAGCGAAAGUAUCUUGAUUGGGUAUCUUUGAUAACUCUAGAAAGUGGAGUUAAAUUGAAGUGUAUAGCUUCUAACUUCGCGGAGGGUUACGUUGGCGGCCGACAACGUAACAUCGGGAGUUAGUAGUGAAGCACACUUCAUUACUUUCGCAUGAUUUGGGGUAUUACCUUCUUGAGUGGGGAUUCGAUGGCGUGAGUUUACUAACUUACGCUUUUAUGAUAUUGUAGUGUGAUGCCGAUUACACGCUCCCAAUCUGCCGGAGCGGAAAACGCAGCAAAUCUGGAGAAGGUUGAGACCUUCACUACCUCCAGAUUCGGCGAGGUCCGAGAGUUGAGGGGCCAGCUUGCGGCCCUCACUUAUAUGGUGGCACAGCAGACUGAGGCGGCGCGCCGACAGGAGGCGCGGAUGAAGCGUCUGGAGGAUCUCCUACUGCAGCAGGCGGAGGCUCGGGAGACUCAGGUCCCUACACCGCCAGCACCAGUCGUGGACAUCGCACCGAGAGCCCCAUCCCCCGCGCCCAGUUCUUCGCGAGCAGCACCCGCGGUAGCGCCUCAGGAGGAGACUAUUGCGGCACCACCUGUGCAGAGGCCUCCGGUGGGAGUGGUCUUCCCCGUGAUGGCCGAGGGAGCAGAGCGGGACAGACUGAUGGAACGCCUCAAUGAGUUCAGGAGGUGCAGCCCUAGGAUUUUCGAUGGCGAGAAGGUCGACCACUGGAUCGUGAAAAAGUGCUUGAUGCAUAUGGAGAAACUCUUCCGCGACACCUUCGUGGAGGAGAGAGAUCGAGUUUGACUCGCCACUCAUCAUCUGGACGGCGAGGCCUAUCGUUGGUGGUUGGAUCUUCAGGAGAACCCCAGCACCGACCUGGCGGCUAUUACAUGGAAGAAGUUCAAAGAGCUUCUACUGGCGUACUACUUUCCGACCAGCGUCAAGAGGAAGAUGGAGCAGGAUCUGCGCAACUUGCGCCAAGGUGAUCGGACUGUGGCCGAGUACGAGCGGGAGUUUUCUCGGCUUCUUCACUGCGUGUCUUUCGUCAUGCGGGGCGACGAAGACAAGACCCGCAUCUUCGAGCGAGGGUUGCGACCGUCGAUCUUCCGGUUUGUGCAAUUCUCUAACCUCCAAAUCUACCGGGAGGUGGUGGAUCGCGCGCUCAUAGUGGAGAGCAGCGCGACAGAUGUCCAGGAGCGACGAGAGGCGAUGGACAAAGGUAAGGCCAAAAGGCCUCCGGCUGAGGGUGCUAGCGAAAUGCACUCUAGGAGGCCGCCGAAGCAUCCGAAGAGCCAGCAGCGUGGACGCGGCUCAGCAGCGCAGCGAGGAGGUCCUUACCGUCGCCGGCCUUCCUCGUGUGUGAUAUGCGGUGGCCCUCAUCACCCACCGCAGUGCCCGCAGGAGGCGGGCAGGUGCUUCUACUGUGGCCAGGAGGGCCACGUGCGGACUGAAUGCCCGAGAGGUACUUCACCGGCACCGUCGUCUGCAUCGUCACCGGCUUUACCAGUCGCCAACCACGGGACUCCGUCGACACCGUACCAGCCUGGGCGGCCACCCGUCCAGUGGCAGAACGAGGAUUUUCGACAGGCCCCAAGUGGGCGCAUGUAUGCCGCUCAGACCGAGGAGGCGGCAGCCGCCGAGGAUGUGGUUGCAGGUAUCAUGUUACUUGAUGGCAUUAGAGUUCGUGCAUUAUUCGAUACUGGUGCAUCGCAUUCAUUUAUAGAUCGGCUGUUUGCCGAGUUGCAUGGCAUCCCUUUGGUCUCCUUGUUGCAUCCGGGACAUGUUGUAGUACCCGACCACACCCUAGAUAUUAGAGAGUAUUGCCCUAGUUGCCCUGUUCGGGCAGGAGAUUGGAUCAUACCUGUAGAUUUGCUAGCCCUGCGCAAGCUAGGGGAUUUCGAUGUGGUCUUGGGUAUGGAUUGGCUAACCAAGUAUUAUGCCACCAUCGAUUGCAAGAAUCGCACGGUUACUUUUAGAGAACCGGGGCAGGCUGAGGUUGUCUUUAGUGGAUGCCGGAGUUCGCUGUUUGCGAUGACGAUCAGCUCGUCACGAGCUAGGCAGUUGAUCAGCAGAGGCUGUGUAGCCUAUUUGGCUAGUGUUGUGCUGAGGAGCGUAGGUGACACCCCUAGGAUUAAGGAUAUUCCGGUGGUACGGGAGUUCCAGGACGUGUUUCCAGCUAAGUUACCGGGUAUGCCACCCGAUAGGGAGAUCGAGUUUGUGGUAGAUCUUGUUCUUGGGACUACCCCAAUCUCAAAGGCACCCUAUAGGAUGGCACUGGCGGAACCGAGCUGAGGGCACAGCUACAGGAUUUGUUGGACAAAGGCUUCAUUCGACCGAGCGUUUUGCCGUGGGGAGCGCCGGUUUUGUUCGUCAAGAAAAAGGACGGAUAACUUCGCCUAUGCGUGGAUUAUCGUGAACUUAAUAAAGUCACGAUAAAAAAUAAGUAUCCGUUGCCGAGGAUCGACGACUUGUUUGAUCAGCUUCAAGGAUCAUGUGUGUAUUCCUAGAUAGACUUGCAGUCGGGAUACCACCAGUUAAAGAUCAAACCCGAGGAUGUAUCGAAGACGGCCUUUAGAACACAGUAUGGACAUUAUUAGUUCACAGUGAUGCCGUUCGGGCUUACUAACGCCCCGGCAGCUUUUAUGGAUCUGAUAAACCAUGUUUUCAAGCCUUACCUCGACAGAUUUGUCGUGGUGUUCAUUGACGACAUUUUGGUUUAUUCCCGGAGUGAUGCGGAUCACGAGGAGCAUUUGAGGCUUGUACUUCAAAUGCUUCGGGAAAAGGAGCUUUAUGCCAAGCUGAAAAAGUGUGAAUUUUGGCUUCGAGAGGUAGCCUUUCUUGGACAUUUGAUAUCGGAAUCGGGUAUAGUCGUGGAUCCCAAGAAGAUUGAGGCUAUCAGGGAUUGGCCGAGACCGACGAGCGUCACGGAGAUUCGGAGUUUUCUUGGAUUGGCCGGCUACUACCGGAGAUUUGUCGAGGGGUUUGCCAAGUUAUCUACUCCCCUCACGAGGCUCACGCACAAAGGUGUUAAGUUCAUUUGGAAUGACGCGUGCGAGCGAAGCUUCCAGGAGUUGAAGCAAAGAUUGACGACCGCCCCAAUCCUAACCAUGCCGAUGGCUGGAGUAGGGUAUGUGGUUUAUAGUGAUGCUUCACUUAAUUGAUUGAGCUGCGUUUUGAUGCAGGAUGGCCAGGUGAUCGCGUAUGCUUCGCGCCAACUAAAGGAUUAUGAAAAGAACUAUCCGACGCAUGAUUUGGAGUUGGCGGCUGUAGUCUUCGCCUUGAAAUUAUGGCGCCACUACUUGUAUGGCGAGCGAUGUGAAGUAUAUACGGAUCACAAGAGCUUAAAGUACCUGUUUACUCAGAAGGAGUUGAAUUUGAGAUAGCGCAGAUGGUUGGAGCUACUAAAGGAUUACGACCUGACGAUUCUAUACCACCCCGGCAAGGAUAACGUGGUGGCUGAUGCGCUAAGUCGGAAAUCAAAGGAAAACUUAGCGAUGCAUGUUAUUACUCAACCGCAGUUGAUCGAGCAGAUGAAGCGGUUGGAGUUCGAGGUGGUGACUCCUGACACGCCUUUGAGGUUGAUGACCUUGGUAGUGCAACCUAUACUCUUGAAUAGAAUUAAAGAGAAGCAAGCUUCCGAUGUGGAGUUGCAAAAGACUAAAAGUAAAAUGGUUGAUGGUUGUACCGGCGAUUUUCUUGUGGAUGACCAAGGAUUGAUGCAUUUUCGUGGACGGAAUUGUGUACCGGCUGAUUCGGGAAUUAAAGAGGAUAUUCUUCAAGAAGCGCACCGAGCGCCCUACGCUAUACAUCCGGGAGGCACCAAGAUGUAUAAGAACUUGAAGUUGCUUUAUUGGUGGCCCGGGAUGAAAAAGGACGUUGGCGAGUUUGUAGCUAGAUGUUUGACUUGCCAACAAGUGAAGGCUGAGCACCGAGUUCCCGCGGAAAAACUUCAGAGUUUGCCUAUUCCCGUGUGGAAGUGGGAGAAGAUCACCAUGGAUUUCGUGAUUGGAUUGCCCCGCUCUCAGGCCGGGCAUGAUGCUAUUUGGGUGAUCGUGGAUAGGUUGAUGAAGUCGGCGCACUUCAUAUCUAUUCAUACUACUUGGAUUGGGGAGAAGCUCGUACAAAUGUACCUAGAUGAGAUUGUGCGACUUUAUGGAGUGCCUACCUCGAUUGUAUCGGAUCGAGACACUCGGUUUGUGUCUCACUUUUGGAGGAGUCUACAGGACGCCAUGGGCACCCGACUCGACUUCAGCACUGCUUUCCACCCUCAGAGCCAUGGGCAGACGGAGCGCACCAUUCGGACUUUAGAGGAUAUGCUCCGAGCUUGUGUAGUAGACUUCCACGGAAGAUGGUCGCAGCAUCUAUCGAUGGCGGAGUUUGCUUAUAACAACAGUUAUCAAGCAAGCAUUAAGAUGGCGCCAUUUAAAGCACUUUAUGGAUGGAAGUGUAGAUCGCCACUUCAUUGGAGUGAAGUCGGCGAGAGAUUGGCAUUAGGCCCUGACGUGCUCCAGGAAGUUGAGGACAAGGUUCGAAUUACUCGGGAGCGACUUUUGAUGGCGCAGAGUAGACAGAGGAGCUACGCCGACCGACGACGGCGAGACUUUGAGUUCCAAGUGGGAGACCAUGUUUUCAUGAAGGUCUCGCCUACUAGAGGGAUCAAGAGAUUUGGGAUUCAGGGUAAGUUGAGCCCCCAUUUCAUUGGACCGUAUGAGAUCUUGGAACGCGUAGGUCCGGUAGCGUAUCGACUUGCUCUACCACCGAACCUAUCUGGCGUGCACAACGUCUUUCAUGUAUCGGUCCUUCGAAAGUAUGUCUUCGACCCGACUCAUGUGUUGGAUGCUACACCUGUGGAGUUGCGGGACGACUUGAGCUUCGAGGAGCAACCAGUGAGGAUUUUGGCUCGCGAGGUGCGGAAACUGCGGAAUCGGAAUAUUCCGUACGUGAAGGUUCUUUGGAGCAACCACGGGGAGCGGGAGGCCACGUGGGAGCUAGAGAGCACGCUGUGGGAGCGCUAUCCUCAUCUUUUUUAGAUGGAGCUUUGAGGUAUGUGUUGUCGUUUGAGUUUCACGGACGAAACUCCUUUUUAGGAGGGGUGAAUUUAGCACACUGGACCUUUGCAAAUUGUGAGGUUCGAGUGUUUGAUGUGUACUCCGAACUUUUCCAUACUUGGUACAAGACCAUAGAUGGUAUUCCGGCCUAAAAGUUCGAUCUCUAGAGUUUUGGCAAGUCCUGAGAGUUUUCACUCUCGGGGACCGGUCCCUGAUAUGAGAGACCGGUCCCCGCAGAACAGUGCUGCGGCAGGGCUUGAGGCAACCGGUCCCUGGCUGGGAGAGACCGGUUCCCGAACGCGUAUUUUGCGAGAAGGGUCCGAGAGACCGGUCCCUGGCGUGGAGAGACCGGUUCCCGAACGUUGGUUUUGCGGGACGAACUGAGAGACCGGUCCCAGGUGUCGGGGAGACCGGUCCCUCAGCGCGAAAACUGCCCAGACUGGGCAGUGCACAGGUUGCAUUUUAGAGCGACCUAAGUGGAUUUUGUUAUAUUUGAAGGCUUAUAGAGCCUCUCCUCUCCCUCUCAUCCUAAUUUUCUUUCCCUCACACCCUCCUUACACUUCUAGAGAGAGAAGAAGAAGGAGAAGAAGAAGGAGAAGUUGGAGAGCAAGCUUGAGGGAGCUUGGGAGGAUCUUCCUCUUUCCCAUUUCUCACUUUUGGAGGCUUAGAGCUCGGACUUGGAGCAUUGUGGUGGAUUUAUCUACAACCCUAGAGCAUUUGGAGCUUGGUUUGGAUCUUCUCUUGAGGUUAGUUGCUCAUUUCUCCCCUCUAGACCUAUUUUUAGUAGAUUUUGGGAGACGAAACCCUAGAUUUGGAUUUUAGGGUUAGAUUUGGGGAUUUUCAAUUUGAGGGCUUUGUGUAAUAUACCAGAUUUUGGUAUAAAAAUAAAAAAUAAAUAAAAAUAGUGUGGGAUACUAUUUUUAUUGGAUUUAGAGAAGUAAAACAUAAGUCAGAAGUGACUUGUGCUGAAAUCGGAAUUAAAAUAGAAGAUCUAAAAUUUUCUGUUGGAAACGGGACAGAUAAAUUAGCAGAAAAUGCACAGUCUCAGAAAAUUAUGAAAAUUGGCAGAGAUGUCAGAAAUAUUUUUGUGAGGCUAGAUUUAAAGUUUCAUAUUUUUCUGACACCCGAAAGGUGGGAAAUAAAAUCCCACAGCUAUCUGUUAAAGAUUACAGUUCGGUACAGUUUUCGGUAACCGAACGGGGUCGAAACUGAACCAGUGAUCGUCAGCUUGUUAAGUUAAGUAAAACCGAGCAUGACUGUCAAGUUUGAGCUCAAACGGACAUUCAGAGAGCUCCGGUGAAAGAUAUCAGAUUUUAAGUUGCCUGGAGUGAAUAGUGUUCGAGGGGUAUUAUAAAGAAGCUGAUGCUUCUUCUUCUCCUUCGGCCGCACCCCACGCACGCACACGACACACACACACACGCAAGGAAAGGAAAAGAGAGAAAGCCCCUUUUCUCUCUCUAAAUCUCUCCCAAAAUUGAUGAAAUUGGAGGAGAAGCAAGAUUGGAAGUUGAUUUUCAUCUCUUUUAUCAUCUUCCUCUCCAUUAGAGCAAGCUUUGAAGGUAACGAAACGCGUUGGCGAAGACGGUUCGGCAAUCCGACGAGCCGUUACAAAGUUAUUAAAGAAACGGACGUUUAGGCUUCGUUACCGCUUGGAGGGCCGAGGCGACGUCGUAAAAUCAUGGAAAUGAAUUUGAAGCACCGUGGCACAUAACCGAAGACCUUUAAUUUUCGGAUCGUGGAUCGGAGGCCGUUCGGGUGGUCGCGCAAAAGAUCGGGCCAAACCGGGUUACGGGUGCCGCGGGAGGCCGAUUGCAAGUGUCGACAAGCAAUCGGAAAGCGUUUUGAGGUGGGUUGUGCUCACCGAAGCGAUUAGGUCGCUUUCCAUGCUAAAGUGUAGUAUGUUUACUAUUGAUGCAUGAUAAAGUAUGCUAUUUAAGAA